Molecule: long non-coding RNA, 92436 nt
Filed under: Physcomitrium patens
Lineage: Eukaryota; Viridiplantae; Streptophyta; Bryopsida; Funariales; Funariaceae
Description: long non-coding RNA (PPAT_LNC008025)
Source: RNAcentral
GGGAGAGAAAAAAACAUUCGGAAAUGAUUAGGGUGGAGGAGAGGAUUCAGAGAUUUGGAAAUUAGGGAGGUUAAGAAAAAGGGAGGAUACAAGGUUUUUGGGUAGGGGUCAAAAAUGGCACUUCUAGCGAUCAAUGCUGAAAGAUCGAUGUGUUAUAUUAGUGAAUAGGGGUUUUAAUGAAGUGAGUGUGAUUACUCUUGACUGCUUUGUAAAAAUCGAAGUUACGUCUAUGAUUGAAGAAUUAAAAGGGUAUCUAUAGGAUUGAGUAUGUGGAGUGAAUGAAAAUUUUUGGGUUAAUCUAACAAGACAGUCAAUGGAUACAAGGUCGUGAGUAUACAGCGGUAUUGGGGAUUAGCAGAUUGGGUUGUUCGGGGUUCUCUGUAACAUCUAGAGACGUACUGGCUAGGGCAAAAGGGAUUUUGAUGAGCAAUCGAAGGACAUUCGUAUAGAUUUACAGUAUAUUUUUAUAAUUAUUUAUAUUCCAACAGUCAAAAACUAAUAAACUGCUUGAAUAUUAGCGAAUCUCCAUACUACCUCCUACAGCCAGACACUCGAUGCGUUCUCGAGCAGAAAAGUACAUAAUACGACAUCAGGCAUCGGGCUGUAGGAGGUAGUAUGGUAUUUUGCUAGUACUCAAGCAGUCUAUCGAGUUCUUGACUACCCAAAUAUAAUCUAUUUCAAAUUAUAAUGUAAAAGCUUAAUUCCAAUAUAAAUCAUCUAGAGAUCCUUUAUAACUUCAAUCUCUUUUGUUAUUUUUAUUUUAUUUUAUUUAUUUUAUAUUUUUUAUUUUAUCUUUAUUGUUAAUUACCUUAAUCUUAGACCAUGAACUUUGGCAAGCUGUAAUCUUCAAUCUGUCCUUCCGACUUGUUGUGAAACAUCUAUGACUAGUGUCUCUGCAAGCCCUUUCAAAUGCUCAAGAAGAUCCAGUUCAACCCCGCUUACAGAUUGUGAGGCUAUGCUGCAAUCCGCACCAAUGUCCCUUGGCCGCUCACCGAUAUUCCUCUUAUCCCUGUCGGUAGGCCCCCAGUUAUCAUAGAAAUCCUAAACAAACCCCAAUUUACCAACUCCCAAUACCUCUUUAAAUUGUUGGCAUAUAUCCUCUAUCCGUACAGUCAGAUCAAUACAACCACACAUGCAUUCAGAAUACUCAACCUUCUAGACAACUCUGAAUUUCAACCACAGAAGUAUCUCCCAUUUCAUCAACAAUCAAGAGUACCAGCCUUUCCUCUCUUACGGAAAAAAUCCAGUUCACCAAUAUAACACUAACUUUCAACAAUCCCCUUCUCAGUCUCUCCAAAAUCCUAUAUAUAUCAAAAAAUCCCAAUUCUCCAUCUUUUUCUCAAAAGCAUGAAGCUAGCUCUCCCACCUAAAAACCCCGAUUCUCAAAAAAAAGGUCCAUUUCUUAACCUACCCACUCCUUUUACCCUGAGAAGAUCCUAUUCUUCUCCUUUAGACUCUCCGAAUUGGAACAACCGACCUUCUGCUUUUCUCCCCUAUUUUUGCCUUUUAGAAAUCCUUUUAUAGAAAGGAUGUUCCCGGAACGGCACAAAGAAUAGAACAGCCUGAAACAAAAUCAAAGCCCUGUAAUUGGACUGCAUUGGGUUUCCCGACCAAGUCAAGUCUCAUACUAGGUAAGAGGCCUGUAAUAGGAUCUAGAUUAGAUGUCUUCUGAAAUUGAUCACCCGAUGUUGACUUUCAGAAGUAACAUAUAACACUGACUUUCAGCAACUUUGAGCAACUUGUUGAAAGUCUGACUUUCAGAAGCAACAUAUAACACUAACCAAUUUCAGAAGACUUCUGAAAGUUAUAAAAUAUAACACUGACUUUCAGAAGCAACAUCUGGUGAAAUUGCCUCAGUAGUCUGCCAACCUUGGCUGCUUUCAAAGGCCGACAUAUCUCCCUUGAAAUAUCUUUCUGGACUGAAGUCGCUUGAGUCAUCAGCUCCUACCACAAUUUCUCUAAUGGAAAGACACACCACCUUUUCCAGGAUUGUUCCAUCAAUCUCGAUAAUUUGCCCUUGUACCAUACUCGAUCCAUCAUUUGGGUCAUAGUUUGCGAUAUAUUCCUCCACUAAUGAUAUAUUAAUUAAUGGUAAGCAAUCUGAUAGGUACAAAAACUAGAACAACUGCGUAUUUCAAAAGUUUUUUUAUUCUUUUCGACGUCCAGCAAAUAUCCAACUUUAUCGACUUCAUAUUGGUAACGAUUAUCACAAAAGGUGGUUUUGAUGCGUGUCUAGCUCUCAUAUUUUGGCCAAUGUCCUCUUUGUUUGUAGUUCACUUUGUACUUUCAAUUGCCAUGAUGCUCCCUCUCUCAAACUCUUAACUAGAACUACUACGCUUGAAAAUAUAAGAAAUACAAGAAAUAGAAAUCUCAGAAAACAACCAAGAACGACAACACAGAAUGACUUCUAACUGGUGCCCUACUUCUAUUUUCUUACUACUGGUGAUCAUGACAACAUAUUAUCCAUACUGUCCAUUUUUCACCUCCGUCCAAUCUGACACAUUAAUAAUUACUAACUAUCUUUUCAACCGCCUCUACAUCCUAAUGCACUUAUAUCAUACUUAGAUCUACCUUGUGUCCAUUCGAAGUCACCUUUCUAAAAAAAAUAAAAACCCGUCCCAGAUUUUAUGUAUUAUAUAACCAUAAUUGAUUCCCGUUAAUGCGGGUACUGAAGCGAUAGCCCAUGAAAUCCUCCAAUUGAACAGACCCAUUGGAAAAACCUUCAAUCACGCGAUACAGCCCAUGCCAACGAACUUGAAGUUUUCCCAGAAAAUGAUUAAAUUAGCUAUCAUACAGUAAUACCAAAUUACUAGGCAUAAAAAUCUUUGGAUGCAAUUUACUAUCAUAGUAACUUUUUCUCCGUUUUUGAGUUGCUUCCAUGUGCAAAAGAGUUGUAGCCCAUAUUUCAUCCAAUUCUUCCAAUUUCACCAACCGAGAAUGUAAUGACUCUUUGUCACUGAGUCGUUCAUCCAAGGCAAUCCGUAAACUUUGAACCUCCAACUUGAUGGAUAAAAUUGCCUCUUGAUCGUAAAGUAGUUGAAAUGGAGUAGAGUUGGUAGUUACUUUAUAUGCGGUGCAAUAUGCCCACAAAGCUGCAAAGAGUUAGGUCUCCCAAUCGGUACCCGCUAUCGGGGUAGAGAGAGUUUGCCUAAAGAAAACGCUAGGCUUCUGGUUAUCAUUAAUUAUUCAAUCAAGAAUGAAAAUAAGGAAAGCCCUAAGUUUAUAUAUAAUUUUUUCUUUUUGAGUAAUUACACCUAAUACACAAUCCUCAAGUAACCUACAACUUCCAAAAUAUGAUAAAAUCUUCUAAAACCUUGUUUAUUCUUAUGUGGAGAUUUUUUCGAAUUUCAACGCGUCAUAUCUUCUAAUCCGACCGUCCAAAAAAACUCAAAUUUUACAUGAGAUAAUGAUGUAUUCUUAUUAACUUCUACAACAAAUUUCAAUUGCAAAUUCGUUAUAGAUCUUGAGAUAUCUUGAAAACCCUUCUAGCCACUUCAAACCCUUAUCUUUAUACAUCUACGUGCAAUUUUCUUCAUAUCUUACAAAAUAUAAGUUCAAAUUCCACGAAAUUUGUAUUUAUAGCUUUUUAACAAAAAAAUUUACAUUCUCCUAAAGUUUGAGCCAAAAAUUCAUCCGAAUACUCAAGUUAUGGCUCCAACCAUUACUACAAACAAAACCGCUUACUUACUACCUUUGAUUUAGAAGUGCUGCCUUGAACUCCUUACAACUCCUUCAUAUGAACUCCAAAAGCAAUAAUUCUUUUGUAAAAGAUGUAGGCCUUGAAAUCGCCGUUUUAGUUGCACCUUCCGAUCUUCAAAAGCUACUGUGAAACUCCUCGUACUCUCAAAAGAGUAACAGUAUGUCUUAAAUAAACACCUUAACUUCAAACAGCUAUAACUUUUUCACCUUGACUCCAAAUCCUCUCAUUUUUGCACAAAAAUUGUACCUCAAAUCCUAAAAUUUACAACUCUAGCUUGUUAUCUCCGAAUGCCCUCGAAAGAGGAACCCUAAUUCCUAAUAAGGCCUCGGGCAGCCUUCUUGAAGCCCAUUGGGUAUGGUAUUCGACCAAUAGGGAUGUAGUUUCCCAUUCCUUGCCUUCAUUCAACCAUGCUUUGCUUUUAUCCCUCCCGAUUAGCCUCCUAUUAGUUUAGAUUUUCAUCCUUAGGCUUCCACCUUCUCCCAAGGCUUCAUACUAAAUAUUUAGGUCUUAUAUAUAUUUUUUUAAUGUCAAAAUGAAAACAAGUAAAGAAACAAAGUAAAGUUUCUUGUACCAACUCCUUUUAAUUUAAUCUACUAGCUACUCUAAUACACAUCUAGAUUUAUUAACAUAUAAUAUGUUCUAACUAAUUUUUACAUACUAUAAGCAUUUACAGUACGACGUCCAUCUCCUCCAAACCUGUACAUCGUCCGGUAUGUGCCACAUGUUGUUCUUCUUCAUCUUCUUGAGAUUUCUUUGAAUUAUUCAUAGGCUCUUCUUCUUCAUCUUCUUGGUCUAAAUAUUGAGGUAAGAAUUCUUGAAGGUCUUCUAUUUGAAAUAAUCCAUCUCUUUUCUUGAAAGUUUUCAUCCUCUUUCCUGCUAUUGGAUUCCUUAUGAUAGUUCCAUCUAACUCACGUAAAGUAUAUGUAGCAUUAUCAUGUAUUGUAACCACCACAUAUGGUCCAAACCAUUUUUUUGCAAAUUUCUUUAUAGUACUAUGUUGAUGCUCAAGGCUGCUAUCAUAAACUAGAACCUAGUCUACAAUCUCUAUAGGCUUAGGCCUCAACCUAUGAGUCUUAUCAAAUCUUUCUUUAUUUUUCAAUCUUGCUUUCUUUAACCUCUCAGCUGCAAUUUGUAGGUCUUCACGUAACCUAUCCACUUGUUGGAUUCAAAGCUCUAAUAAUCUUUUUCUAUUUAUAUCAUCUUUCCAAGAUAAAAACAUCCACGUAAGAUAGGUUUCUUCAGUUGGCAUCAUAGGUUUUUGUCUUAAUAUUAACUCCAUGGACAUAUAACUAGUGACAGUACUGUGAGUAGUUCUAUCAGCCCAUAAAGCAAAUGGAAGCAGUUUAGGCCAUUGAAUUGACUUAUCUUUACAUGCUUUAACCAAUGCAUAAAUGAUAGGAGGAUGAUCCCUCUCACUCUUUCCAUUGGCUUCAGGAUUAUAAGAAGUAGUCAACUUCAAUUGAACUCCAUACCUGUUGAAAAAUUCUCUUACUUCAACAACAUCCAAUUCUCCUCUAUCAGCUCUCAUCCUCCCAAUGUUACCAUAUCUACUAAAGAUUUCUUCCAAUAUAAAUCUGCAUAUUACUUUUGUAGUUUUGGUUCUUAAAGCCCUCCCUUCAACAUAAUUUGAUAGCUCUUCUCUUGCCAAAACCAAAUAUUUCAUACCCCAAAGUCUUAAUGGCAUAGCUACCAAAUCAAUCACCCAUUGAAAAUAUAUUGAAGGUGGAUAAGUAGGAUCUAAUCCAUCUCUAUAGCUAACUUUAGAUUGUAGUUGACACUCUGUGUAGGAGCUCACAAUGUCUUCUAUAUCCCUAUAUAAAUCCUUCCACCAAUACCUUUCCUUGAUCUUGAUAUAUGUAGCCCAAACUCCUCUGUGCCCUACCCAAAGUGUAUCAUGAUAUUCUCUUAAAACCUUAAACUUAGUUUCAAGAUCUCCUACUAUCCUCAAUGAGAUUUUAUCUCCUCAUUUUGGCCUCUUCCAUAGGAAUCCAUCUCUAGGCAAAUAACCAUAAGAUUGAAGUCUAAUAUCUUUGAAGAUUUUAUCCAUCCACCUUUCUUGUUUCUUCAUUGUACUUAAAUAAAUUCCAAUAUCCUUCAAUCUACCUUCAUACAAACCUUCAUAGAAUUUUUGAAACUUAUCACCAAAAUCCAUUCAACCAGUAGCAAAUAAAUUUCCAUAAAUCUUCUCUUCUUGAUCUUCACCUCCUUCAUGUGCCAUCAUUUCCUCUUUGAAGGUAUAUCUAACUCUAGACAAUAUAUCCGCCAUCAAGUUUUCUUUGUCAGUGAUAUGUACUAAAACAAGAUUCAAUGUUUUUAUGUAGGCUAUCCAUCUUAAUAUGGCAAUGUCUGGAGUAGUACAGUUAAUUAUCAUUCCAAAUAAUGGGAAAUAGUCUGUUUUCAAAACCAUACUUGCUCCAAUUAAAUAAUUCCUCUCAACCUUUAAAGUGGUGAGUGCUCCCAAAAGCUCUCUUUUAACUUGUCGAUAUGUGCUUUGCCUCUUGGUAAGAAUCCUAGCUCCAAACUUUAUAGCAAAUCUUCUCCCUUCUACAUUAUCUUGUCCAAUAGCCCAUCCAAUUGCUAUAGGGCUUGUAUCUACUGUUACAACUAAUGGUCUUCUACAUUGAUAAUCCACUUGUCUAAGCACAGGUCGUGAAUUCAACAUCUUUUUUAGAUUUUCCAUAGCUAUUUUAUGUUUUUCUUCCCAAACAAAUCUUUUACCCUUCUUUAAUAAUUUAUAUAGUAGCUCUGAGAUAUGGACAAAGUGAGGCACCCAAAUGUGAUAGAAUAUACAUGCUCCUAAAAACCUUCUGGCUUCCGUAACAUUUUUACAAGUCUUCAUUCUAGAUAUAGCAUCAAUUUUAUCAGGGUUUGGUUUCCUACCAUACCUGAUACACAUGUGUCCCACCACUAGAAUCUCAUCAACUCCAAAGCUUGAUUUCUCCAAAGAUAACAUGAGAUUAACUGAUUCCAAUCUCUCCAAUAUUCAAGCCACAUCUUCAAUAUGCUUCUUAACAAACUUUCUACAACCUUCAACCUCCAUAGUCUCAUCCUUGUCUUCUUCUUUAUCUCUUUUUAUAGGUAUAUCAUCCAAAAAUGGUAUGGUUUUUUCAAGAAUAAAUUCUUUCAAUAUUUGGUUUAUAGCAUUUUGCAUAUGAGCCACUGAGUUGGUUGCACCUUGAGGUAAGGUACAUAUCCUCAUUAAACCUAAAGGAGUCUUAAUGGUAGUUAAGUCCCUACUCUCUUUAGCCAAUUGAAAUUGGUCAUAUCCCGAAUAUAAGUCUCCAAUAGAAUAAAUGGCAUGACUUACAAAUUGUUCAGCCACUUCAUCUACUACAGGACCUAAUUCCAUAUUUUGAAUAGUUACUCUAUUUGCAAGUUGCAUAUCCUGAAUAAACCUUAAUGCCCCCGACUUCUUGGGUACUGUGAACCAUCUAUUAGAAUAAGGAGCAAUUGAAGAUUCUAAAAUACCCAUCUUCACCUUCUCUUUUAAUAGUUCUAUCAACUUUGGAAGUAAAGUUCUGGGCACAGGUAUAGGCUUUAAAUCCCAUAGAACAUGUGGCACAGUAAAGAUUACCAUAGAUACUACAACAUGAGGAUCCACACAUUCUAUUUCAUUAGGAGUUGAGGCAAAUGCCUUACCAUGCCUAAUAAGCAUUUCUUGAAAUAUAAUUUUCUCCGUUGAUGUCAAGAAAUCAUCCCCUCCAAUCUUCAAUUUAAUUAAUGAUUCUUGAAUAAAUUGAUGCCCAAUUCCUCGUCCUUCUCUUAGACUUGGCUCCUUAAUUGCUUGGUUGAUAUGAUCUAUAGUAUCAACUGGUAAUUGAAUAGCUGUAGGCUUUACCUUUCUUGCUACAACUUUAUAUUUAGUUUGUAUUUUAGCUUCAUGUUUGAAUCCAUAGGUUGUAGCAAACCCACCAAUUACCACUAUUUUUUCUAAUUCUUCAUAAGUCUCUUUUGAAUAUAUUUCUACUAUAGCAUUUCCAUCUAUGCUUAUAGCUAAAUUUUCAAGAACCUUUAUUAAAUCAUCUUCCAAAACUAUUUCUUCCAUUACUCCAACUAUGGCUUCAUCACUUGAAACUAAAUCCACUCUUUUUAAGUUUUUCUCUUGUUUCUUCACCCUUCUUCUAUGUACAGAAUCUAAAUCUUUAAUCUUUCAAAUAUUCACAAAUCCAUUACUAGUCAAGUUUAAAAAUCCAAAAUUCAUAUUAUCUAAAAUAGAGUUUACAAAUGACUUAUUUGCACCCAUGUGUCCCCAUAUGAACUCCAAAAGCAAUAAUUCUUUUAUAAAAGAUGUAGGCCUUGAAAUCGCCAUUCCAGUUGCACCUUCCGAUCUUCAAAAGCUAUUGUAAAAAUCCUCGUACUCUCAAAAGAGUAACAGUAUGUCUUAAAUAAAUACCUUAACUUCAAACAGCUAUAACUUUUUCACCUUGACUCCAAAUCCUCUAAUUUUUGCACAAAAAUUGUCCCCCAAAUCCUAAAAUUUACAAUUCUAGCUUGUAAUCUCCGAAUGCCCUCGAAAGAGGAACCCUAAUUUCUAAUAAGGCCUUGGGCAGCCUCCUUGAAGUCCAUUGGGCAUGGUAUUCGACCAAUAGGGAUGAAGUUCUCCAUUCCUUGCCUUCAUCCAACCAUGCUUUGCUUUUAUCUCUCUCAAUUAGCCUCCUAUUAGUUUAGAUUUUCAUCCUUAGGCUUCUACCUUCUCCCAAGGCUUCAUACUAAAUAUUUAGGUCUUAUAUAUAUUUUUUUAAUGUCAAAAUCAAAAUAAGUAAAGAAACAAAGUAAAGUUUCUUAUACCAACUCCUUUUAAUUUAAUCUACUAGCCACUCUAACUCACAUCUAGAUUUAUUAACAUAUAAUAUGUUCUAACUAAUUUUUACAUACUGUAAGCAUUUACAAUAUGAUAUCACCUCCAAAAUUGUCUUAGUCAAGACCUUGCACAAAAUUUUGUCGGUCUUUUCUGUUUGCAUAUUAGCACGAGGAUGAUAUGGAGUAUUUUUUUGAUGCGUAAUCUCAUAUGCGUUCGUCAAGGUAGCUAUGGUAGCAUUUAGGAAAUAGGUGCCACGAUCGCUAAUCAAAUCCUUUGGACAUCCAAAUCGAGUUAUAAUAUUCUUGUAUAGAAAAGUAGCCACCAUAUUGGCAUUAUCAUGGUGGGUAGCUAUAGCCUCUGCCCAUUUUGUUACAUAGUCCGUGGCGACUAAAAUAUAUCGCUUUUGGCUAGGUUUUGACGCUGGUGUGAUGGAACCGACAAAAUCAAUAUUUCUUUUUUGAACGGUGCUUGUGCUAAGAUUAGAACUAACGACAUGGCAGAAGUGCCCAUAGGUCGACUAAUUUUUUGACAGGGAUCACAACGACGAACAAUUUAGUGUGCAUCAGAAAACAUUGUAGGCCACCAAUAUCCAGCCAUUAAAGCUUUGUAAGCAGUACUAUCUCCUGCAAAAUAACCACCACAAGUAUCCAAAUGGCAACCUUUGAAGAUCGACUGUACUUCACUUGGAAAGAUACAACGACAUCAAAUGCCAUCUUUGCCUUGUUUAUACAAAACAUUGCAAAUCAUUGUGUACAGGGCACUCUUCAGAAUGAGUCGCUUCUUAAGCUUCUCAGUGAAAGUUGGCAGAAAUGUAUGGAAGAUCAGAAACUAAAUGAUUUCACUAUACUUGGGAGAAAUCACAUCCACCACAAAUAAUUUGGCGUCGAGAAGAGCAUUCAGGAUAGGCUCAUUGCCGAGAAUGUUAGACAACCAAGAUAAAUAAUUAGCAUUGGCAUAUUUCUUCCCAAGUCCUAUGAUAAUCAUAAAAUUGAACUCUUGUAAGAGUAAGAUCCAUCGGGCAAUGCACCUACUCAAUUGACGCUUAUUAAUCAUAUAUUUGAGGGCAUCAUGAUCCACAUAAAAAACAAACAGAUAUCCAAGCAAAUAAUGUCAAAAUUUCUGAACCGAGUAUAUCUUAUCCAACACUUCUCGUUUAGUAGUAAUAUAAUUACAUUCGGUAGCCACUAAUUACUGACUGGCAUAAUAGAUAGGAUGAUCAAGACCCUUGUCAUCCUUCUGACUUAAGACCGAUCCAAUAGCGAUAUUGGAUGCAUCAACGUAUACAUAAAAGGACUCCAUCCAACCAAGAGCCACCAAUAUUGGUGUACAGAUUAAUUUUGACUUCAACGCUUCAAAGGCCAGAGUACACUCUAUGGUGCAGAUGGGACUAGUCCCAUCUGAUGGAGGUUUCUUUAGUAAGUUUGUUAAAGGUUGACAAAUAACUGCAAAUGAAUGAAUGAAUCUUUGAUAAUAGCUGACAUGGCCCGCAAACCCAUGAACACCAAAGACCGUCUCUGGGCGGGGCAAAUUCAUUAUAUGUUGCACUUUGUGAAGAUCUAUAGCAAUACCACGGCUAGAGAUGACAUGUCUCAAUAAUUUACUAAACAAAACACCAAAUUGACACUUGUUCAAGUUCAACGAUAUUCCAAACUUAACGCAUUGAGCCAAACAUUUGUCUAGACAAUUAAGAUGAUCAUGUUUUGUACUGAAUGUCCAAAAGUCAUCUAAAAAGAUCUCCAUAAAUAGCCAGAGAUAGUCUUGGAAGGCCUGAGUCAUCACUCUCUGAAACAUGGCUGGGACGUUACAUAACCCAAAAGGCAUCACGCGAUAAGCAAAUGUGCCACAAUCCGUAGUAAAGGUCGUCUUAUGUUGAUCUUGCGUUGUAAUUUGAACUUGAUUAUAUCCGAAAAAUCCAUCGAGGCUACGAUAUCCAAUAUACUAUCUGUAAAAGGUAAUGGAAAAUAAUCCUUCUUGCUGGCCGCAUUAAGUUUCUAGAAAUCCUUACAAAUAUAGAUUUUUCCAUUCUUUUUUGGCACCAUGACAAUUGAAGAAACCCACUCGCUAUUCGACACCGGGUAAAUGAAAUCAAUUGCAAGAAGCUUGUCCAAUCCUUCCUUCACCAUGAGAGAAUAUUUAAGAUUAAGGCGAUGUUGCCUUUGCCAUACCAGUUUAGUGUUCUCCUCUAAAAUGAUACGAUGCUUAUAGAUGUUAGCGGGAAUACCCUUUAAAUCAGUAUAAGUCCAAGCAAAAGUGAACUUAUGAUGUAAGAAAAAUUCUGUCCAAUAGGUCAACUCCUGGUCCUUAAUACCUUCAUAGACCUUAAUUGUCUAAGGCUCUGCUGUGGUCGCCAAGUUAAUAGUUUGACAUAAAGGUACAACAGUGAUGUUCUGUUUCAAUCCUCGUGCGAGUUGAAAAUCAGUCGAUAAGUUCGACAUGUGUAAAGUACUGAAUCUUAUGUCGAGGGCAAUAAUAUGAUGCACAUCAUACUUGGUCAUCCAAUCAUUACUAACAUACUCAGAGUUUUUUCAAUUCGUCGGGUAUAUCAAAUACUCCCCCGGACCUCUACAUUGGUACACUACUCCAGGGUGUUGCACUGCCUCCACAGAUGCCUCCUUUAAUCGGUGCGACUGCAUCAUCAUUGGAGCUAAGCUCAUCGUCUGAUGUCCAUUCAGAUGUUGGCAAUUGAGACUUCCCGUGAUAGUGUACUGGAUACAUUUGUAAUACCAUUUUGUCGCUGUCCUUACCAAUUGCCAAAGUACCCCAACUCCAAUCAUUCUUGGCCUUCGCUUGAUAAAGCCAAGGUCGUCUCAAUAAAAUUGAAUAUGAUAAAGUCAAAAAUUGUAGCCAAAAGACCAUAUAGUCAAUUGCAUAUGCAAUACCAACAAUCAUAGUUUGAACACUCCAUAAAAUACCCAUUGAUUUAACCCGGCUAUGAUCUGCCAUCCGUAAUACCAAUGUCGUAGGUACUAAGUGUUUUAAAUCUUAAGCAUCCAUUGUAUCAACGUUCAUUAAAUUGACACUAGAACCACCAUCGACUUGGACAUCCAAGAUUAUAACACCGUCAAUCGCAACAUCGAUGGUUGGUGCACUUGGGUCAGGGUUCAAACUGACUUCACAAACUUCCUUAUUAUAUUGCCUAUGUCGUGUUAACGAUGAAUUCAAUGUAGCACGGUACUCUGAUGCGAUUGCUAGAAGUUUCUUCAUAGAAAUAGAAGGCCGAAUAGUGUCCAAUCCUUCAAAAUAUCAUAAGGUUACCAUAUUUAAGGUAAUUUCCAAUGCCAUUUUUUUUUUCAUAAGAUUGAGUUUAACUCCUUGAAGAUAGAUAUUUGUCCGCCCUGGACUCAAAAUUGGAAUAGCAAAUGGAGCUUUCUUGGAAUUUGUAUCCUUGAGAGGAUCUUUCAACAAAUAGGACGUUUCUUAAAAUUACGUAGAGAACGAAACAGCUUGGAAUGGAAUGAAAGCCUCCGUAAUUAGGACCUCAUUGGAUUGCCCAACCAAGUCAAGUCUCAUACUGGAUAAGAAGCAUGUAACAGGAUGUGGAUUGGAUGUCCCCAUAAUUGGGUCAAAUUGGUGGGAACAUGGUCUGAUUACUGAAUUGUUGUUGCCUUUGCAAAUUCUAACAAUUAGUUGUUAAGUGCUUUCUUCUGCAAAAUAUACAUUGAUCCAUCAUUUGGGUGAAGGGCAUUUUGUUACCAAAUAACUAUGGCCCUUACAAUUACUACACCAAACAUUGGUUCUAGUAUUGGUAGGCUCUUGUCUCUUCUCCUUAUCCUUGGCCAUAUUGAUGGCCAUUUCUUCCAUUUUCUUCAUCAGGUUCAAUAAUAAGGCUUCAAUGAAAUCUUUUGAGACUGGUAAUAUUAGUAACUCUGCCACAGUUAACACUUGUUGUUGAUACGGAAAAUAGGGAGCAUACACUGUUGUCACAUUUGGUGGUAUAGCUUAUAAUGGGGUGACAUCUAUUGGCCCCUGAAUAUUGACACCGAAAUUGACCCUUAUAUCUAACAUCCGUAGAUAAGUACCCAGUGAUUCAUUCCAAGUCGGAUUUUGAUAACUACCUUGAAUUAGAAUGAGUGUAGCUCUCGCAAUUAAAAAUUGAUCAAAAUGGCAUUCCUCCCAAACCUUGGCUCUAUUAAGGGAUGCAGACACUGUAACGGUGUCGUGAUGUAACACGAUUAAUAGGUGAAAGAGUGUAGAGAUUAUUAUAAUUUAAGAGAUCUUAGUUCAAAGUAUUAAAACAAAUUAUCUUAGAAAUAUAGUUAAUAGCCAAAAGGGUAGAAAAAUUAAAAAGUAUCAAUGCUGCCUUUUAGAAAAGUGACUUCUACUUACUUUGUAGUACCAUAAGUAAGGCAAAUCAAAGUAGAUUGGGAAAAUAAAUGAUAUAGGAUUCUUUAAAAGAAAAUUAAGAGUAAGUUCUAGAAAAAAGUUAGAAAAACUAGAUAUUGAUACCCGGAGAGGGCCGGUUAUGAACCAGGGUCGAAAUCAGACCCUGAGGCACAAAACCGAGUCUCGACGACGACUCUAAGACUCUUUGGCAGAUCUGAGAGUAAGGUUUGAGAGAAGAUUGGAUAAGGUUUUUAUGGGCAUUGAUUUUGGGUGAUUUGGAGUUGAUAUGAAUUUGUAAGAGCUUUGCAAAGUUGAGUUUUUUUCAGAUGACUUGGAUUUUAUGAAAUAAAAUAGGGUUUAUGUUUUUAGUGAUUUUGAGAGUUUUGUUGCAGAUUUACAGGUGGAUUUUUUUGGGUUCAUGGUUAUAGUUGUGUUAAAUAUAUGUUGUGAAUUUGAACUUGAUCUAACGGUUGAACUAAGAGAUAUUGAAGUUUAAUUGAGUCAAGGUCUUAGAAAGUAGAAUUUUAGGUUCAAUGAAGGUUUUUAAGAUAUUAGCAAUCCAUUGGUUGGAGUAAAACUUAUGUAAAAAGAUAUUAGACUUGUUUUCCUAUGUCCAUGAGAAAUUUGAAACCAAUCGAACGACGCAAAGAAGUGAAAUUGGCUCUAGAAGGUUGGCAACAAGAUUGGAGAGGGAGGCCAGCUAACACCCGAAUACAUUUUUGAGGUUUUCGUCAAUUUAGUAAUUCCGGUCCCUUUUAAAAAAAAAUUUGCUUGUUUUGAACUUGAUUUUUAAGAAGUGUGCAAAUUUUGAAUUGAGAUCAACGGUUUAUUCAUUAAAUAUUGAGGUUUAAAUCUGUCAAAGGAAUUACUAGGAUUUGGAUUAGGGUUUGGAUUAGGAUUUGGAUUAGGAUUUGGCUAGGAUUCGGUUUAAGGUUUAGAUUAGGGUUUAGGGUUUGGUUAGGAUUUGAUUUAGGAUUUGGAUUAGGGUUUGGAUUAGGAUUUGGUUAAGGUUUGAUUUAAGGUUUGAUUUAGGGUUUAGGAUUUGGAUUAGAGUUUAGAGUUGGAUUAGGAUUUGGAUUAGGGUUUGGAUUAGGGUUUAAGGUUUGGUUAGGAUUUGAUUUAGGGUUUGGAUUAGGAUUUGGUUAGGAUUUGAUUUAAGGUUUGGUUUAGGAUUAAAGGUUGGAUUACGAUUUGAUUUAGGGUUUGAUUUAGGGUUUAGAAUAGGGUUUAAUUUAAGAUUUGGUUAGGAUUUGACUUAGGAUUUAGGAAUUAUUAGGGUUUAAGAUUUAAUUAGAUUUGAUCUAAAGUUGAGUGAAAUUCAAUAGGGUUUUAACUAGAAUUAAAUUAAGGUUUAAUUGACAUAUAUUUGAGUAAAAGUUGUGAUCAUUCUAAUAUUUCUUUAAGAAUUUUAUUGUUUGUUUGAAAUUUCUUUGAGUUGUUUUGAAUUGGAUUACAUUUGUUUACCAUUAUUAUAGUCUAAUUAGAGCAUUGUUAGUAUUCUAUUUAGGAUUUUGUUAUCGCAAUUUCUAUUCUUCCUUCUAUAGCCAGGUGCCUGGAGCAUUCUCAAGCAAGACUUCACACAUUAUGACAACGGGUUGAGCUUCCUUCACAAACAUUUUUAAAUCUAGUUGUUGCAAACCAUUGAUUAAUAUGGAUAAGAUAAAUACCUCCAAUAUUUGGUGAUUUCGCCACUUAUUGAGUAUAUCAGCCACCCAGCCAUAAUAUGAUUCCACUGCCUCCCCUAGGAUCAUUUUGCUCUUCAUUAACCUCUUUCAAAGACGAUCCUUAAAACCUAUUGGUCGAAAAUGUGUUAAAAAUGCAUUCUUCAAUGCUUCCCAAUUUGGAAAUCGAUCUACUGGUUGGCGGUUGUACCAUUCAAAUGCUGUGUCCUUUAAGGUUGUUGAUAACCAUCAUAAUCAAAUAUCUUUGAUUCUACCAUUAAUGGCUAUACAUGCUGUUAGAAACUGAGACAAAUGUUGAUCGAGGUCCGCACCCAGAAAGCCUCUAAAAGUAGGUAAUGGAGCCAUGCUCAUUGUGCGAUCGCUCACGUGACUCAUUUGUACCACUAUUGGAACCGCUGGACCACCUGUCGCCAUUGAAGAAGAUAAUGUGCUGCUUAAUCUCUUAUUAAAAUUACCACUGCCUUCUCCAAUUGUCUUUUCCAGACUUUCGAACCUCCGUAAUUUAUUAUUAUUAUCCCUGAAUAAUUUUAUUGGUUGAAUUGGAGGUGAAAACGAUGGAUUUUGAAAUACGCUGAAUUGGCCUUUAUUGGCAAGUAAUUUAUGCCAUUCUACAGAACUAGUUUUUACAGAAUUGAUAGUUUCCACUAUUGGGAAGGUAUCCAAUGGAGUACCCAAUUCUUUUGUGUUUCUUCCACUUGUAGUUAAUGAGCUCAAGAGAUACGCUGGAUUAUUAACAAAAAAUUUUGAGAGUACUCUUGGCAAUUUUUUUAACAGUAUAUAUGUCUGAAAUAUUAGAGAAUAGUCAGCUUGUAGGUAUGCUCAGAUAUGUCGAUAGGCAUGCAACCAUGGCUUAAUCCAACUUUAUCGAUGCUUCUUUUUUAACUUACAUUCUUGCUUAUUUUGUAAUAAUUCUCUUGCUUGUGCUCUCUCUUGUCUUUUUUUCGACUUUCAUGUUUUCUUUACUGCAAUGUUUUCAUUCUUAAUAACCAUAAUCUUUCAUUAUAUAUUACUGAAUUUGCUUUCUAUUUUCCAUCUAUUCAUCCGGUAGUUAAUUCCUAACACUCAAUGCUAUUGUCAAUCCUUGGCAACAGUGCCAAAAAUAUGAUUGUCAUUUUACUUAUUCUACAAUUCCUUCCAGAAUAAACUUGUAUAGGAGAAUUCAAACACAAGGAAAGACUAAGCGCAUGAGUUUCACUUGUUAGGGUCAUACAAUUAACUGUAUUUUGAACCACUAAAAUACUAAGAAAUAAUACAAUGCUUCUUUCUAGUAACAAUACUCCUUCAUCAACUGAUAACCACAAUGUACAAUCCUACACUCUCAAAAGACCGCUCAAAACUCAAUAAAUUCCAUCCAACACCAAGAAUAACAGACUUCACUCCAACCAAUCUGAAUUCACAAAAUUCCUGCAAUCAGAGACUUCCUUUGUCGAAACACACACAUACAACUCUCAAUAAAUAACAAUCAUAAUCUUCCAUCUAUAAUCAAUCUUCCAAUAACUUCUCAUAUAAUUCAAUCACUGAGUAUUCCAAUUACAUAAUCAAUAACUCAUAAAUCAAUCUCUGAUUUAUUCCAUAGAUUCACUUCUCAAUAUUCAAAAACUAUCCAUUAUUCUUCAACAACAAAAAAAACAAAUGAAACAAAGAAAAAGCACCAAGCUUAAUCCCGGCUCAUGACUAUCACAGUCUGGCCUCCCAACAAACUUUUACAACUCCUAUAUAAUUACUACUGAUUUCUAGAUUCUAACCGUAAUCCUAUAAUAACCGCUUUUAAUAAUUGAAUCAAUCAUCCGUCCUCCUAAACUGACUAUUCUAUGGACUAUUAAUCUAUUUAACCAAUAUUUUAUAAAAACGAGCUAAUGUCUAUUCUACAACUGCAGCUUGGCGACAACUCGAUGGUAGUUUUGCGACUAUUUGGCCGCAGUUUGGUGGCAGUUCGAUGGCAAUUUGGCGGUAGGCACGGGGCGCAGCAGGCAGCAAGGAGUAGGCUAGGGUAGAAUUGGGCUGGAUCAAGUAUUCUAAACAAGUAUUCUAAGCAAGCAAGGCAGAGAGUGGAACAAGUGGUUUAAGCAAGCAGCUAAUGUGUGAGGGGCCAGCAAGAAGAGCAACAAGAUCAUGAGGCAAACAUUGAGCAAGAGUAGCAAUAGGUUUGAAGAGUUAAGACUAGAGCAAAAAAAAAAUUGUGAUAGUGUGUAGAAGAGAGUCAUGUUGAUAACGUGUUGAAAAUGUUUAGAAAGACACAAGAGUAAUAGUAAGUCAUACAUACAAGAGGGUUUCUAAAGAGAGAGAAUUUCACAUAUAAAAAUCUAUUGAUCUGGUUGUGUCUCGUAUACAAGAAGAGAAAUUUGGGAGAGGAUAAAUAGUAGUUGUCAAUUAGACUCUAAAUAUUAUAGCUAUGGUAUUUACUAUAGUCUACAAUAAAUAUUAUAGAGAGCGUCGACUACAUUUAAUGAUCUCAACAAAAUCAUUAUAUCUUUUAGUAGAUGUGUCCUUUUGUUUCCUAUUCGUGCAUGGAGUAAGAAAGCAACUAAGAAUCUACCCUGAUACUAGCACGAGAAAGGACUAAAAUUUUAUACCAACUUGCAUUUAAAUAGAAAGUGCAUGCAUGUCUCUUGAUUUUCAACCUGAUUUCUUUAGUUGACAACUAAAUUGAAGGGAAGAUAGAUGCUUAGCCCACAUCAAAGUAAAGCCAAAGGGAAGGCAUAUAAAAACCUUAGUCCAAAGUAAUUGUAGUAUUCAAAGAUUACUAAAACUAUACAAUACUUUUAAAUAAGUCAAAUACAUUAGAUAGGAUGUGGCCUUUGUUGCCACAUGGUAUCAAAUUCAAGUUUGUUACAAAUCAAUGCACUACUUUUAUUUUGGUUGAACAACCUAUACAAUACAUGCUCAAAUUAAUGCACCACCUUCAUUUUGGUUGAACAACAUGGAUGACAAGAUAUAAUUAUUUUGUCGUAAUAUCAAGACUACUCGUCCUUAUGACAAGGUGGACUAUUGUAAUCUUGUUCAAAUCAUAGAAAUAUUUAUAUACUUAUCUAAAUACAUAGCCUUUAUUUUUUACAUAUUAUAUUAUUUUUAAAUUUAAGAGUAAUAAAUAGAGAAUAGGCAAAAAAUAAAAUUAUCUAUUUUUACUUGACUUGUAUAAAUAAUAUUUUACUAAAUAGUUUUUUUUAUAGAUCAAGUGAAGAGGUUAUUUUUUAAAACACAAAUGUUACAUUCAUUUUGAUAUGUCUUAAAUGAAAUAAACUUAAGUUGAAAAAAUAAUAAUUUAUAUUUUAAAAUAUGAAAUAAUUUAUAUUUUUACUUAAAAUUAUAAUUAUAAAUUUUUUAUCUUAUAUAAUUUUUUUAUUAAUAUAGAUAUCUAUUAAUAUUAGUAAUUAAGUAAUAAAGAUUAUGUAACAAAGAUUACAUAAUCUGCAAUGAUAUUUAGUAGAUCUUAAAUACAUAUAAUAUAAAUAUUUUGAAUAUUUCAACUAAAAUAUAUUAUCAAGGACAUGAACUUUAAAGACCUAAAAUAUUAAUGCACUUUUGUGUCACUUGAAAAGACUAAAAAAUCACUCAAAGAUGAUACAAUAUUAAAUUAGAAUGGCUAUUGCCAAAGACAAGAAGACUAAAAAGUCUUGAAAGAAGACUAAAGACUAGAAAGAGAUUCAUAAGAGUAAAGAAGGCUUUACUCUUGCCUCCAUAUAUAUUCUUAACUAGAAGUUAUGUUGCGAUGUCUUCUAGAACCUCCAAAAUGUGUUUACUUUGCAAGACACAUAUCUUAAUUUACAAAGGAAGUUUUUUAUAUAUAUGCCACAUGGUUAGCUUAUUCUAUAAGUUAUCAACAUGUGGUUAACUUAUUGACCAAGUUUCUAACCUACCAAUUAACUACAAAUACAUGUAAAGUCAAAGCAACAUCUACAAAGCUUCUAAAAAGCUAUUUUAAAAAAUAUUAUGAAAUAAAUUUACUUUUAUCUACUUCUACUUAAUCAUAAAGAUAACUAUUGCUAUAAAUAUUUAUGUCUAUGACAUUAUCUCUCCUUCUAAGAAUGAGUUCCAUAAGGAGUGGUUAUUAUAUGUUGAAUAAAUCUAGGAUGCAAUGUAUUGUAUUUGUUAUAUACUCUAAUAUUUAUUCUUUUUGAAGAUGAUUGAUAGGUCUUUUUAGCUAUUGAUAGUACUUCAUAUCAAGGCAAUAAGAUUUCCUUGUUAUUUGAUUAUUUUUAGGCCUGUAUAACUCUUUUGAAAUAAAACAUUUAGAAUACUAUUAGGAGUUGUUCUUACCUCUAAUAAAAUCACCAAACAUUGGGAGUCUCUUCCAAAGUUGUGAUAUCAAAAAAAUUAUAACUUGUUAUGUAUUCAAGGAACGACAUAUUGUUUUUAAAGAUCUUCAUCUCAAUUUAAAGGUUUUGACAAUUCUUCUAUUCUUCAUCUUGGUUUUGAUAGAUGUUGUCAAAUAAAGCGUCAACCUUCUUUGUUGCAUUUGCAAGAUUCUUUGUUGGCUCUUAUAUGCGUUUACUAAUAUCAUAUUUGUGCCAAUGAAUAAGAUAUUCUGAUCUAUUUCAAUGUUGAAGUGAAUCUAAGACUUCUUUCACCUUGAAUUUUUGAUUAUUAUCCACUUUUAUAGAAGAAGGUGGCAUUUAUCUUAUUUUCAAGAUAUUUACUAUCUUAUAUGGCUCAAGAAGAGAUAUUUAGAAUGUGGGAUAGAUUUUUAUAAACUUUGGUAGAAUAAUCAAUAAAUAAUAGGAUUGACUUAUUUACAAAUAAAAAAAGAUCCAAGCUUACAAUAGUCCAAAUUAUCAUAAAGAUAAGUUAUUUUGAUAUUACAAUGAAGAAGCUAUAUCUUAUCACCUACGAUGAAUUAUGAUUGUUUCUUAUUAUAGGCAUGUGCAUUACUCUUUUGUUGUUCUUGAUUUCCUUUUAAUUGUGCCUUUAUUUUUACAUGUAGCUCUAAUAAAUGAUCUGUCAAAUCUUAUACUAUAGAAUUAUCAAAUUUUAAAAAUUCAAAAAUAAAAAUUUGUUAAUGAUAACCAUAAUUAGUAAAAAAAGGUAUUUAUUGAAUAAAAGAAUAUAUUGAAUUAUUAUACAAAAACUCUGCCAAUGGCAAAAGAAUUAUCUAAUCAUCUUAAUGUCAUGGACAUAUGCAUGUAAGCAAGUAAUUACUUAUACAAAUAGGUAGAAGUAAGUAAAAGUAGGUAAAAGUAAGUUAAUUCUAUAGUAUUUGAUAUAAAAGCUUCUUAGAAGCUUCAUAGAUAUUACUUUGACUUUAUAGGUAUCUUCAAUUGACUUUUUGGAUUAGAAAUGCGGUCAAUAAGUUGGCCAUGUACCAUACAUGUUGUUAGUUUGAAGACUAAGCUAACUAUGUGGCUUACACGUAGAAAAACUUGCCUUGUAAGUCAAGGCAUAUAUCCUACAAAGUCAACAUAUAUUGGAGGUCCUAUAGAACGUCACCAUGUAGCUCCUAGUAAGAUAGUAUAUAUAGAAAUAAGAGUGAAGCCUUCUUCAGUCUUGUCAAUUCCUUCCUUGCUUCUACUCUAGCUUCAAAAGUCUCUAGUUUUCUUGGCUUUUGGUAAUAGCCAUUCCAGUUUCUUUCUUAAUAUAUAUAUCAAGUUAUUUUUAUUUUUUCAUCUUUCUUUGAGAGAAGUCUCACUUGUUUAUUUGUCUUUAUCAUGUUCUUGUCCUUGACAGAUUAACAAGAGUAAACUUAGAAUAUCAGAGCUUUGUCUAAUCUUGAUUAAGAGUGGAUUACCUCUUUUUCUUAAUAAGACAUAAGCAUAUUAGAAGGUGUAGAUUAUCCUCUUUUAAACUGAUAUUAUCCUUAGUAUUUUCUUUGUUCUUAAGUCCUCUCUUUUAUUUGUCUUGAGCGAUAUUAGACAUCUUCUCUUUUUUUAGUGUUAUCAUGGCAGAAUUUGCUGAAAUGAAGAGUGCAAUGGUACAAAUGCAAGAGCAAUUGAGGGAGUUAAUACUUGCGAUGUAUCAACUCAAUUUACCACCACAAGUAGCAACAAGAUUGGUAGGAAGUAAAGAUAUAAAAAUCAUUGGAGCAGCUUCAACAUUUGCACCAAAUCAUGUCCCUUCUCUUAUAGUGGAACGCCAUUCUACUAUUAGAGAACCAAGAAUUAUCCUACCCAAGAAGUUUGAUGGCACCAGAUCAAAGUUUAGAGGAUUUAUCAAUUAAGUACAACUUGUGAUUGGACUUCAAUUCUAAAGCUAUCCAACUCCAGGAUUAUAAAUUAGAUUCAUUGGUAUGCUUCUUUCAAGUUCAGCAUUAUUAUGGUUUUUAUCUUUUUUUGAAUGACAAGAUCUAAUAUUGGAUAAUCUAAAGGCUUUUUUGGUAGAGUUUUGAUCCAUAUAUGGAAAACAUGAUGCAAUUCGUAUUGCAACCAAUAAGAUCCAUAUUUUAUGACAAAGCAAUCGAUCAAUAAUAUUAUAUGCUUCACAAUUUUGACAACUUGCAACUGAUAUUAAGUGAGAUGAUGCUGCACUUAUUAGCCAAUUUUUCUACGGAUUACAAUAUGAGGUAAAAAAAUUAAUGCUCAACUUACCUGAUCCUCAAAUAUUGAGUGAAGUAAUUGAUUUUGCUGUGAAUUGCAAUAAUCGCCUUUUUGAAUUCCAAUCUGGGAACCGUAUAAGUGGACCUCAAUGUUACUAUAAUUCAAUAUGAACACCAACAUCUCUUCAACACAUAUAUUUGAAAGUAGAGGAUAUGCAAAUUAAUGUAGUAUGUUUCAAACAUCUUAUUGAGCCAAAAAAGACUCGUCAUCAUCAAGAAGGAUUGUGCUUAUAUUGUGGAGAACCUAAGCACAUUGCUCAACAUUGCCCAAAGAAGCGACACAACUAUAAAAUGAAGAGUACGGCGAUGAAAGGACAUAGCAUGUCGGAAAACAAAUUUGUCCAGCUAUAAUACGGACCGUGCAGCUAGAACCUUGUACAACGCCUAGUGGAGGUCCUAUCCUCUCUUCAGAACCUUCUCCAUGUUUUACGAUAAAUGUUAUUCUAAGACCUCAACAUCUCAAAGCAUCUGUCUUGCUAAAUUCAGGAGCCUCAUCAUAUUUUUUAGAUGAAAAAUUUCCUAAAAAAAUAUUUGGACUUCUUGAUCAGUUGAAUCAAGCUAAGAUCUAUACAAAAAUAGAUCUAUAGAGAGCAUAUAAUUUGGUACGCAUCAAAGAAAGAGAUGAAUAGAAGAUUGCAUUUUGAACAAGGUAUGGAUAUUUCAAAUAUAAUGUCAUGCCUUUUAGACUUACAAAUGCACCAACAAUAUUCCAAUAUCUAAUGAAUGAUGUCUUUCGGGAGUUUUUAGAUGAUUUUAUUGUCUGUUAUCUAGAUGACAUCUUAAUCUAUUCUAAGAACUUACAAGAACAUGAACUUCAUGUUUGCCAAGUAUUACAAAAACUAAGAGAUGCGGGACUCUAUGCCAAGAUAGAAAAGUGUAUAUUUCAUAUUACUGAAGUUGACUUCUUAGGAUAUAUCAUUUCAAAUGAUAGACUUAUGAUAGAUCCUAAGAAAAUUCAAACUAUUAUGGAUUGAAAGAUACCAAAAACGGUAAGAGAUGUCCAAUGCUUUUUAGAAUUUACCAACUAUAUCGAAUCUUCAUCAAAGACUUCUUUCAAGUUGGAGCUCCACUUACACAUUUGACUUGCAAAGACAAAAUUCAAUGGAAUCAAGAAGCAGAAGUAGCAUUUGAAGCUUUGAAGACAGCCUUUGUUUCUGCACCAAUCUUGUAUUGCAUAGAUUUUUCUAAGCCAUUUUUUAUGGAAUUUGGUAUGCAUCAGACUUUGCUUUGGAUGUCGUAUUGUGACAAAUGGAAAUAGAUAAUAAACUUCAUUCAAUAGCUUUUCAUUCUAGAAAAUUUUUAGUAGCCGAGAUCAACUACGAGAUUCACGACAAAGAACUUCUUGUAAUCAUGGAUUCAUUUUAAGAAUGGUACAAUUAUCUAGAAGGUGCUUCUAGCCUAGUCAUAGUGUAUACAAAUCACAAGAACCUUGAAUAUUUUAUAUCAGCAAGUAUUUUGAAUCGUCGCAAAGCCCGUUGGAGUAUGUCUUUAUCAAGAUUCAAAUUCAAGAUCACUUAUCGACCAAGAAAACAACAAGGUUUGUCAGAUGUACUGUCUAGACAAUCUUACUUUGCAUCAAAGGAGGGAGAUGCUGCUUUUGAUCAACAACGAAUAAUUUUCUUGAAGCUAGAGCAUCUUCAUCUUCGAGCAAUGAAAUCAAUACUAAUUGUUGAUUCAACUUUCAUUAAGUAAGUUCAGUCAAGUAUGUCUUCUGAUCUUCUUAAUCAUGAUAUUAAGAAAAAUCUUUCAACGUCUCAUAAUACUUCAAAGUUUGAAUUCAAGAAGAAUCUACUAUAUUUUGAGGGAUGCCUAUAUGUUCUAGAAGUUGAAGCUUGAUUAUGUAUUCUUCAAGCUCGUCAUGACUUUCUAACAGCAGGACAUUUUGGAUAUAGUAAAACUUUGGAACUAAUAUCUAAGAAUUUUUAGUGGCCACAAACGUGGAAAGCAGUCAAAGAUUUUAUACAAUCUUAUGAUGUUUGCUCAAGAUCAAAAAAAUCCUUGUCAUCGACCUUACAGACUAAUUCAGCCAUUAUCCAUUCCAGAACAACCAUGGUCUUCUAUUUCUAUGGAUUUCAUCAUGGAUCUUUCAAUCUCACGUUCUUAUGACUCUAUAUUCGUGAUAGUAGAUUGUUUUAUCAAGAUGACACAUUUUGUACCAUGUACAAAAUCUAUCACAGGUAAAGAAAUAGCCAAGCUCUUUCUUGACAAUUUCUAUUGUUAUCAUGGAUUAUUCAAAGAUAUUAUAUCAGAUAUUAAAAUUCAAUUUGUAUCAAGAUUUUGGCGGACUCUUUUCAAGAUUCUAAAAGUGCAUAUAAAACUAUCUUUGGUAUUCCAUCCUCAAAUUGAUGGACAAACGGAGCGUGUUAAUCAAGUUUUGGAGCACUAUUUAAGAUAUACCACUAACUACCAACAAGUUGAUUAGACAACUCUUUUGCCAUUGGUAGAAUUUGCUUACAAUAACACAGUACAUUCUUCUAUAAAACAAAUACCUUUCUUUGCAAAUUAUGGUUAUCAUCCAUGGCUUGAUACUUUUGACUUUUUAAAAGUUGAUAAUUCUACUGUGAAAGAUUUAGCAAUUCAUUUAUUAGAGCUACAUGCAAUGAUGAAGGCACAGUUAAAAGAAGCUCAAAAAUAUUAAAAGGUCAAUGCGGAUGUCUAUCGAAAUAAACAACCACCAUUCAAUAUGGGUGAUAAGGAACAACCACCAUUCCACAUGGGUGAUAAAGUUACUUCUUCACAAUAUCAAGACCUCUCGUCCUUGUGACAAAUUGGACUAUCAAAGGCUUGGACCAUUUUUGAUUUCUGUACAAAUCAAUCCAGUUGCAUAUCGUUUACACUUAUCGGAAUCAAUGAAAAUCCAUCUUGUAUUCCAUAUGUCUCUUCUUGAAUCAUACGAGAUAGUGGACAUACCAAGAAGAAGACAAGCUCCACCUCCUCCUAUAGAAGUGGACAAUAAUAAAGAGUUUGAAGUAGAAGAAGUCUUAGAUUCAAGGCAGCGCCGAAAUAAAUUAGAAUAUCUUGUCCAUUGGCACGGAUAUGAUAUUAGUAAAUGCACAUGAAAGCCAAUAAAGAAUCUUGCAAAUGCAGCAAAGGUGGUAGAGGCUUUUUAUCGACGACAUCCAUCAAAAUCAAGAUGAAAACCUUCUUUAUAAAAGCAAUAAGAUCUACGCAAGAUAACAUUUUACUUUCAAUCUUUGUUUGUAGCUUCUUUAUAGUUGUGACACUCAGGAGAUGAAAAACCAAUAACCAGUGAAUUCAACUCAAGAGCCUUUAUUUUCUGACCUGCCAAAUGAGACAUUAUAAUUGUUACAACCUUCAAGACGACGCAAUCAAGAUGAAGAUCUUCAAGAACGACAUGUUCUUCCUCAAAUAGAUGGCAAGAUACAACGUAUUUGGUAUCACGACCUUGGAAAGGAUUUCCAAUGUUUGGUGAUUUUACUAAAGGUAGGAACAAUUCUUAAUGGUGUUCCAAAUAUUUUAUUCGAAAGAAGUUAUGAAGGCCUCAAUAAUGAUCAAAUAACUGGGUGGACUUCUCACCCUAGUAUGAGACACUAUUGAUGGUUGAAAGGCCCUAUUAAUCAUCUUCAAAGAUAACAAAGAUCAGAGUAUGUGGCAAAUAUAAUUUUUUGCAUCAUAGAUUUCUUUAACAUAUGAUUAUCACUCCUUGUAGAACUUGUUUCUAGAAGGGGAGGUAAUGUCAUAGUAUCAUGAUGUAAUACGAUUAUAUAGUAAAAAUAUAAUCAAAAUUAAAUUUUUAAUUAAUAUCUAAUUAUCUUAGUUUAAUUAUAAUUUGAGGUAUGUAAACAUGGCUUUUAUAAAAGCCUCUUAGGUUAUUUUCUUAUCUUAAUAAUUAGUAGAUUGAAGGUUAGUUAGUAAUUUUACUUUCUAGGUUGUAGAGUCUCUUCUACUAUCUUCGAAAGACCAUAAAUUGAUGAAAUUAGAUUAGAAGAAAUAAAUAAUUAAUAUAGUUGGUAUUAGAAUUAAGUUAAGAGUAGGAUUGGACUAAAAAAUCCUUAAGAUAGAUUGAUAUCAGAGGGUCGAUCGUUUGUGAGAUAGGGUCGAAAUCAGACCUCUGGGCACUAAAACGACGGCCUCGGGCAAAAUAGGGUUUCAUUUGAAGAUCGGAAAUUAGAGUUUGAGAGUUAGCUUGAAGUUCAUUCCAAAAAAAUAAAAAAAAAAUUGAGAAGAUUUUAGAGGAGUUAGAAAUUAUUGUUCAAAGUUAGGGUUUAUAUCAGUGAUUUGGAUUUUAUAUAAUAUAAUUAGGGCUAGCAAUUUUGGCUAGUUUGUGCAAUUUGCAUGACAUCUACAAUUGAAAGUUUUAUAUUUUUUGGAUUAUUGGGUUUGCUAAAUGUAUACAAAAUUUUGUGAUAAUCUAACAGUGCAAUUUAGAGAUAUCUAGUUUUUAGAACAGGAGGAUUUUAGAAGGUGGCAAUUUGAGGUUGGAUAGAAUUUCUAUGAUAUUUGAAGAUCUAUUAAUCGGAUUGAGGUGAAAAUUGGCAUGGUGUUGGAAGACUUAAUAAUCAAGCUACACACCAAUUUUGAAACAAAGUUAAUGGUUAAAAAAGGUGAAAUCAUUGCUAGGAUUUGUGCUUCACUUUUUAAGUUGGUAGCCGAGUGACAUAGGUGCAAUUUUUGGAGGUUUUCUCACAAUUUGUAAGUUAGAUUGGGCUAAAAAUUCUUGAACAAUUAGUAGACUUGCAUUGGCAAUUUCAUGCAAAAUUUCACAUCAAGUGGAUGGUCGGAUUAGAUGUUUUAGCUUGUUAAAGCUCACUGAUUAGGAUUGGAAUUUACAAGAUAAAAUCUAAAUUUUUUAAAUAUGAAAGUAACAAGGCAAUUGGGAUUUAUGUAUGGUUAAGACUAUUAAGAAGAGUGUUUUAAAUACUUUUGAAUUGAAAUUCGGAUUAUAUUCUUCUCGCAUGAAUAAAACCUAUUAGGAUUUCUUAGCAAGUUCUGAAACAUAAUCUCACCUUCUAUAGCUAAGUGCCUGGUGCAUUCCUAAGCAAAACAACACGUAAUACAACAACAGAUAUAUGCAUGUAAGCCAGUAAUUAUAUAUAUAAAUAGGUAGAAAUAAGUAAAAGUAGGUAAAAAUAAGUUAAUUCUAUAGUAUUUGAUAUGGAAGCUUUAUAUACAUUGCUUUGACUUUAUAAGUGUCUUUAAUUGACUUUUUGGGAUUAGAAAUGUAGUCAACAAGUUGGCCAUGUGUCACACAUGUUAUUAACUUGAAGACCAAGCUAACUACAUGGCCCACAUAUAGAAAAACUUACCUUGUAAGUCAAGGCAUGUAUCCUACAAAGUCAUCAUAUAUUAAAGGUCUAAUAGAACGUUGCCACCUAGCCCCUAGUAAGAUAGUAUGUAUAGAGACAAGAGUAAAGUCUUCUUUACUCUUGUCAACUACUUUCUUGCUUCUAGUCUAGCUUCAAGGAUCUUUAGUUUUCUUGGCUUUUGGCAAUAGCCAUUCCAGUUUCUUUCUUAAUAUAUAUAUCAAGUUAUUUCUAUUUUGUCAUCUUUCUUUGAGAGAAGUCUUACUUGUUCAUUUGUCUUUAUCAUGUUCUUGUCCUUGACACUUAAUGAUAGUUGAUAGUAUUGUCAAAGACAUAAAUCUCAAAGAAAGAGAAUCUUUAAUAUACUCUUCUGUUAAAGAAGGGAACUAAAAAGUCACUCAAAAGGUGAUGUAAUAUUAAACUAGACUGGCUAUUGCCAAAAAUAAGAAGAUUAGAAAGUCUUAAAACAAGACUAAAGACUAGAAAGGUAUUGACAAGAGUGAAGAAGACUUCACUCUUGCCUCCAUAUAUACUCUUUACUAGAAGUUAUGUGACAAUGUCCUAUAAGACCUCGAAAAUGUAUUGACUUUUCUAGCCACAUAUCUUAACUUGUAAGAUAAGUUAUCUAUGUAUGUGCCACAUGUUUAGCUUGUUUUACAAGCUACCAACAUGUGAUUAACUUAUUGGCUAAGUUUCUAACCUAUAAAUAUAUUUAAAGUCAAAAUUGUGUCUAUAAAGCUUCUAAGAAGCUUUUUUAGAAUAUUUUAUAAAAUUAAUCUAUAUUUAUUUACUUCUACCUAAUCAUAUAAAUAAAUAUUGGGAUAAAUAUAUAUAUCCAUGACAUUACCUUUCCUUCUAGGGAUGAGUUCUAUGAGGAGCGAUCUUCAUAUGUUGACAAAGUCCAAGAUGUGACAAAUUAUAUUUGCUACAUACUCUGAUCUUUGCUCUCUUCAAAGAUGGUUGAUAGGCCUUAUCAGCCAUUAAUAAUAUUCUAUAUCAAGAUGAAAAAACUACCUCAUUAUUUAGUUUUUAUUGAUGUUUUUAUAACUUCCUUCAAAUAAAAUAUUUGAAACAUUGCCACAAGUUAUUUCUACUUCUAAUAAAAUGAUCAAGCAGCGAAAGUCUCUUCUAAGGUCAUGAUACUAAACAUGUUGUAUCUCGCCAUCUAUUCAAGGAAGAACAUGUCAUUUUUGAGGAUCUUCACCUUGAUUUUGUCGUCUUGAAGGUUGUGAAAAUUGUAAUGUCUCAUUUAUUAAGUCCGUAAAUGAAAGAUCUUGAGUUGAAUCUGUUGAUGAUUGGUUUUCCAUCUCCUUAAUGUUACAAAUACAUAGAAGCUAAAAAAAAAGAUAGAAAGUAGAAUAUUAUCUUUCUUUGAUCUUUUUUCUUUUAUAGCAAAGAUUUGGUAUUUUUCAUCUUGAUUUUGAUGGAUUUCAUUGAUAAAAGCUUCAACUCUCUUUGAUACAUUUACAACAUUCUUUGAUGGCUCCCAUGUGCAUUCAUUAAUAUUAUAUCCGUGCCAAUGAAUAAGAUAUUGUAACCUAUUUUGGUGCCACCUUAAGUUUAAGACUUCUUCCACCUCAAACUCUUGAUUGUUAUCGACUUCUAUAGGAGGAGGUGGUAUUUGUUUUCUUUCCAAAAUAUUCACUAUCUUAUAUUGCUUAAGAAGGGACACGUGAAAUAGAGGAUAGAUUUUGAUAGACUCCGAUAGAAAUAAUUGAUAAGCAAUAGGAUUGAAUUCUUUACAAAUAGAAAAAUGUACUAGCCUACAAUAUUCUAACUUAUCAAAAAGACAAGUAGUCUUGAUAUUGCCAUGAAGUAACCAUACCUUAUCACCAAUGUUGAAUUAUGGUUGCUCCUUGCAAUAGGCAUCUACGUUGGUCUUUUGCCGUUCUUGAGCUUCUUUUAAUUGUAUCUCUAUUGUUGUAUGUAGCGUUGACAAAUGAUUUGUUAAAUCUUCUGUCGGUGUCGUAUUACGUGCUUUCCUGCUCGAGAACGUGCCAGGCAUCUGGCUGUAGAAGGUAGUAUGGAGAUUCACCGAUAGUCAAGCAAUCUAUCAGUUUUUGACUACUGGAAUAUAAACGACUGCAACAAUGUACCGUAAAUCUAUACGGAUGCUCUUCGACUGCUUGUCGAAGUCUUUUUUUUUUUUUUUUUUUUUUUUGCCCCAGCCGAUAGGUCUCUAGACGUUACAAAGAACCCCGAACAAUUCAAACUGUUAAUCUUCAAUACCCCUUUGUACUUACGAUCUUGUAUCCACUGACUGUCCUGUUAGAUUAACCCAAUAAAUUUCAUUCACUCCGCAGACUCAAUCCUGUAGAUACCCCUUUAAUCCUUCAAUCACAGACGUAACUCGAUUUUACAAAACAGUCAAGAGUAUUCAAACCCACUUCAUUUAAAAAUCCCGAUUCACCAUUACAACACUGACUUCAGCAGCGAUUGUCUCAGUCUUCCCAAAACUCUACGAAGAAGAAAUAUCCAAAUUCUAUGUCUUUCCUUCCCCGACCCGAAGCAUGAAGCUCCUCUCUCUAAUUCCCUUGAUCUUCCAAAAACCUCCAAUGAAAACCGAACUCGUAACCUUGCAAAAACUUGAAAAACUCCUCCCUCCCCGAUUCUCCCUCAAAACUAUAUCCCCCCUAACCUUAUCCUCUGAAUUUCUUCAAUCUUCCGUCUUAGAUCCGGAAUUGGCUCCUACCUCAAGCUUGGAUCCGAAAUUGGCUCUCGCAGUCAAGCUUUCUCCUCCGUUUUUACCUUUAAGAAAUCCAUUUACCGAAAACAACGUUCCCUGAAACGGCAUAGAGAACAGGACAGCCUGAAACAGAAUCGAACCCCGUAAUCGGGACCACAUUGAGUCGCGCGACCAAUUCAGGUCUUAUAUUGGGAAAGAUGUCCGUAGUAACCUGGAUGUUCUUGUAAUUAGGUCAAAUUGGUCCUCGCGUCAGAUUGGCUAAGACCCGUAGUAAGACCUGGAUUUCUCGUAAUUAGACUGCAUUGGGUUGACCGGCCAAUUCAGGUCUCAUAUUGGAUAAGAGGACCCGGAUUGGAUUAUCGAAAUUGGAUCCAAUUGGCUCCUCGAACCCGUCGUGUGAAUUGGUCCUUUUCUUCCUGCUGACUCCCGUUAUUGGAAUCGAACGGAGCAUUUCAGUAUGCCCCGGCUGACUGUAACGGAGUGACUGAACCUGACCACUCAGUAUUUGUACUGGAGUUCGUCGAUGCUCCCAAUAUUUGAGGUAAUUGAAUAUUAAUAAAAUUCCCGUUUCUUUUUAUUUUCACUGUAUACUCGUGUUACAAGACGACACCGGAAGAUUAUUAACUUUUGAGAAAUCAAAAGUAUCAAGUCAUAGAUGAUAACCAUAAUUGGCAAAAAAAAGAUGUUUAUUGAAUAGAAGAAUGUAAAAAAUUAUUGUAUGUAAACUCUAUCAAUGAUAAAAGAGUUUUCAAUCAUCUUGAUGAUAGUUGAUGAUAGACCUCAAAUACUACUCCAAAACUUGAUUUAUUUAUUUCUUUUGCCUAUGAGUUUGAAGAUGAAAAAUCGAAGAAAGCUUUAUAUCUAUCUUUAGUAUCUUAAAUAGGAUUUUUCAAAAUCUUGAUACAAAUUGAGUCCCUCUAUCUGAUAUAAAAUCCUUUGGUAAUCCAUGAUAGGGAUAGAUAUUGUCAAUAAAAAGCUUAAUUAUUUCUUCACCUAAAAUAGAUUUUAUACAUAGUACAAAAUUUACCAUUUUGGUGAAGAAAUCUAUGAUUACAAAUAUGGAAUCAUAUAAACCUAAGACUGGAAGAUCCGUCAUAAAAUCUAUAGAAACGAAAGAUCAUGAUUGUUCUGAAAUUGAUAAUAAUUGAAGAAGUCUAUAAGGUCAAUGGUGAAGAGUUUUGGAUCUUGAACAAGUAUCACAUGAUUCUACAAAGUCUUUGACUACCUUCCACAUUUGAUACCACUAAAAAUCUCUUGAUAUCAAAGACAUAUACAAUGAAGUUGUAGAAGAUUCUAGAAGGUUCUAGAGAAGCUUUGUAGUUUGUAGAAGCUACUUGAGAAGUUUUCAAGCUUGUGGAAGCUACUUGAGAAGCUUUCUAGCUUGUGGAAGCUCCUUGAAAACCUUCCUAACUCAUAGAAGCUGCUUGAAAAGCUUCCUAGUUUGUGGAAGCUACUUGAGAAGCUUUUUAGCAUGUAGUAUAUAAAGGAGCCGAGACUAAAGGGAUCCUCAGUCUUGACAACACACCCCUUGGAGCUCUAGCUCACCUCUCUAGUGUUAUUUUUGUUGUCAUCUCAUUAAUCUAGUUCUUGCUAAUUCUUCUUGAGCUUCUUGUUUAGAUUUCCAGUCAGUAUUCUAAAUUCAUGACAGUUUGUCAAGACUACACUCAUCUUUCAUAUGAGAGCUAGUUCUUUCUUGUUAGAGUAUAGAUUAUCUCUCUAUUUGAAGGUAUUGGUAUUUUAGAAGUUACGGAUUACCCUCCUCUAAAUUGAUAUUUCUUCUAUUAUAAUAUUAGAGUCUUAUCUUUCUUGGAGAGAGUGAAUUACUCCUCUACCUAAAGAUUUUAAGGCAUUUUAGAGGUUGCAGAGUACCCUCCUCUAAACCAAUACUACCUUCUUGUAGAAUCAUUUCUUUCCUUCUCUUAGAAUGGCCAGAGGUUAAGAUAUUAGUAUGGCUGAAAGUUUGGAGUCCAAGUUAGAUGCCAUUAUAAAUGAUCUUGCUACAUUAUCAUAGAGAACUAUAGAGAUUGAAAGAAUCACUGCAAGACUUUAUAGUGAUGGAGCAUCCGAGAUGGCUUAAUUGGGGAUUCACUGGCCUCAAGCUUCAGUACCAAGAGAACCAGCUUUACCUCUAGUUCAACAAGGAUUGUUGAUCUUACAACAAAAAGAAUCCCAAAUUAGCCUUCCAGACGAGUUCGAUGGUACGCAUCCAAGUUUCAAGAUUUUGUCAAUUAAAUUAGAUUGAUAACAACUUUAUAGCUCAAAUGCUAUCCAACGAAAGAGUCAAGUGUCAGAUUGGUUGGAACUUUAUUCAUGGGACAAGCUCUAUCAUGGUUUGCUCCUUUGUUUGAGAAAAGAUCAUUAAUUUUGAACAACUUCAAAAAAAUUUUGGAGGCGUGUGCGGAAGCAUUUGACAAACAUGAUAAGGCGUGAUGGGCUACAACAAAGAUCCAGUCGCUAUGACAAGGGGCACGCUUUGCAUCAAUCUAUGCAUCAGAUUUCAAACAAUUAGUGUGCAACAUCAACUGGAACGAGGAAGCAAUGAUGAGUCAAUUUUAUUGGAGCUUGAGAGAUGACGUGAAGGAUUUGUUAUUAUCUCUUUCCGAUCCAUGAAUGCUCAACAAAGCUAUUAGCCAAGGUGUGAAGUGUGAUAAUCACUUAUUCCAACGUCACCAAGACCAACGUUUAAGAACAACAUAUGGCUCAUAACGCUCUAACUAUGUCAACAAGUAGUCUGAAUUCAUAUUUAGAGAUGGAAGACAUGUAAAUUGAUGUGGUACGCAUCAAAUUCCUAACUCUAGAAAAAAAAAAGGGGCGUAUGGAGGAGGACUAUGCUUAUAUUGUGAUGAAGAAGGCCACAGAGUUGGAAACUAUUCCAAGAAGUAAAAUCGAUGCAUUAUCAGGACUAGAAGCACGUUUGUUCAGAAAAAUAAAGAUGCCUAGCCACAAUAGGGACAAUGCAGCUAGACAAUUCAAUACCACAACAACAAUCAAGUUCCUCUCUUUCUGCUCAACCUAUCCAUUGCUUUAACAUUCCUCUAAUUUUUGGCCCUCAAAAACUAAAAACCUUAGCAUUAUUAGAUUCAAGAGCAUUUGCUUGUUUUUUAGACAAAAAAUUUGUGAAGUGUCACGAGAUUCGUCUAGUACAAAAACCUAAACCUGUUCACGUAGAAGUAAUAGAUGGCUGACCUUUAUUGUUUGGUAGUAUCACCCAUAAAUCAGAACCUAUAGAGGUGACAUUUAAAGACCAUAGUAAUUAUAUUAUUUUUAAUAUUGUUAGAACUCCGUCAAACCCUAUUAUUCUUGGACUUUCUUGGUUAGAAAUGCAAAAUCCAUCUAUAGAUUGGAAGUUACGAAGGAUGACAUUUCAUAUAGAAUAUUUUGAGAGUAAGUCUGUUAGAAGAUCUCGAAUCAAAAAAUCCUUAUUUAUUAAAGCAAGAGUAUUUGUAACAUCGUCUACGGAAGGCACAUCGUUUAUCAUUUAUGUGACUCCAACUAGCAAAGAGAAGAUUUUAACAACAAAUAUAUCAGAGUAAUAUAAGGAUUUAGAAGACAUGUUUCAAAAGAAGAAUGUCGACAUGCUACCGAAGCAUUGACUAUACAAUUGUGCCAUAGACUUACAAGAAGGAGCACAACAACGUUUUGGCCCAAUCUACAAUUUGUCACAAAUGGAGUUAGUGGAGUUACUGAAGUACAUUGAUGAGAAUCUAGCCAAGAACUUCAUUUGUCAUUCGAAGUCGCCAACUGAGGUACCAAUCUUAUUUGUGAAGAAGAAAGAUGACUUGUUAUAGAUGUGCAUGGAUUAUUGAGGUCUCAACAAGGUGACAAAGAAGAAUCGUUAUCCAUUAUCCUUAAUAUCAGAUCUUCUAAAGUAACUUGGAGGUACAAAGAUCUUUACAAAGAUUCACCUAAGGGGAGUUUAUAACCUCGUCUAAAUUAAAGAAGGAGACGAAUAGAAGAUAGCUUUUCACACAAGGUAUGGCCAUUUUGAAUAUAAUGUCAUGCCUUUUGGUCUUACCAAUGCUCCGGCGAUCUUUCAACACAUGAUGAAUGAUAUCUUUUAGGAGCACCUUGACAAUUUUGUUGUCAUCUAUCUAGAUGAUAUUUUGAUAUUCUCCAAGAACAUAGAAGAGCAUGAAAAAUACGUUUGUCUGGUCUUUGAAAAACUCUAUGAGCAAGGAUUUUACACCAAGUUGAAGAAGUGCUUGUUUAACCAAAUUGAGAUGGAAUUUUUGGGAUUCAUUGCAACUACAAAAGGCUUGAAGAUGGACCCUAAGAAAGUGGAAGAAAUCAUAUCAUAGAAAGUUCCAAAGAUGAUUAAAGAUGUACAAUGCUUUCUUGGCUUUGCUAACUUCUAUCGGAUCUUUAUCAAGAAUUAUUCGCAAGUUGCUGCUCUGCUCACUUGAUUGACAUGUAAAGACAAGCUCGAUAGAAUAUGUUGCUAUCUAGAUUUGAUUUUAUUAUUUUUUAUUGGCUUGGGAAGCAACAAGAACUAUCCGAUGCAUUGUCAAGGAGAUUGUAUCUAGUACCACAGGCUAGAGAAGCAGCGUUUGAUCAAGAGUGUAGAACAUUAUUGAAGUGAAAAUAAUUUAGGCUUUUGCUCUGCUAAGUACCAAUUGAUGCUGACUUCCUCAAUCAAAUAUGUACUGUGGCUAUUGGAGAUUUUGUAGUCCUCGAUAUCACGUAAUGUAUCAAUAAUGACAAGUCCAAGGUAGAAGGAGAUCUUUUAUACUUUGAGAAGUGGUUGUAUUUUCUAAAGAGACAAGCAUGACUCCGAGUUCUCCAAUCUCGAUACGACUUUCCAACUGCAAGAUAUUUUGAAUUCAAUAAGACAUUGGAACUUAUUCCUCGAGAUUUUUGGUGGUCCUAAAUAUGGAAGGAUGUCAAGGAUUUUGUCCUCUCCUAAGACAUUUGUUCAAGAUCCAAGAACCUCCUUAUGGUCUUCUUCAACCAUUGCCUAUUCCACAUUGGCCAUGGUCUUUAGUUUCUAUGGACUUCAUUAUAGACCUGUUGCCAUCAAAUUCAUUUGACAUCAUCUUUGUUGUGGUAGAUCGACUUACAAAGAUGGCAUACUUUAUCCCUUGCAAGAAAAUAUUGUCAAGGAAAGACACAGUAAGGCUCUUCCUUGAUAAUAUGUAUCAAUAUCAUAUUGGGUCAAGGAACCCAAUUCGUAUCAAAGUUCUAGAGAUAUCUCUUUGAGAUAUUGAAGGUAGAUAUCAAGCUUUCUUCGGCUUUCCAUCUUCAAACUGACAACCAAACAGAACGUGUGAAUCAAACUUUGGAGCAGUAUUUACAAUGCAGCAUCAACUAUCAACAAGAUGAUUAGACUACAUAUCUAUCAUUAGCUGAGUUUACAUAUAACAACACCCUUCAUGCGUCGACUCAACAAACACCAUUCUUUUCCAACUAUGGAUAUCAUUCGAAGCUUGAUUUUUUGAGUCCAUCAACUAAUAAGAAUCCCACAGUUGAAGGAUUUGUGAAACAACUAUCGAAGCUUCAAACUACAUUAAAGCUUCAAUUACAAACCGCUCAAGAAGCUUACAAGGCGUCUGCAAAUAAAUUUCAGAAUUAGGCACCUACUUUCAAAAUUAGAGAUAAAGUAUGGCUACUUCGACAGAAUAUCAAAACCAAGCGACCAUGUGAUAAGUUGGACUACCAAAGAUUGGAACCAUUUGUCAUCCAAAAGCAAAUCAAUCCAAUGGCAUACCAUUUGGAGUUACCGGCUGUUAUGAAGGUAUACCCAAUCUUUCAUGUUUCUUUAUUGGAGCCUUAUCGAGAGUCAUUUUUUUCUAGAAGAGUGCAAUGUCCGCCACCUAAUAUUGAAAUUGAGAACCAUGAGGAAUACGAAGUAGAAAAGGUACUAGAUUCGUUGUAUAAGUGGGAGAAAUUAGAGUACCUAGUGCAUUGGAGUGGCUAUGAUAUCAAUAAGUGCACAUGGGAACCAGUGAAAAAUCUUAUCUAUGCAUCACAAAAAAUACAAGAGUUUCAUCAAUGCUAUCCUCAAAAACCUAAGUCCUUUUGAUGAAAGUUUUUUAGUGAAGUUCCUUCUCUUUGAAGCCUCUAAAUCCUCGGUCUUACAAAGAAGGGAGAGAAGGAACCUCUAAAAGACAUAGUUAGAGACUAUAAAUCUGUAACUUGAGCCCAUUGUUCCAUGUUUAGUACUUGUUUUUUUGAUUUGAUAUGGAUAGCCAAGAAAUAGAUACCAUAUCACUCAUGUCUUCUCAACCGAGUAUCUCACAAAGACAAUUCCAAGAUGAAAAUUGUUUGUACUACAAAGUCGACAAAGGAUACCUAGUAACAAGUCGCUAGUGAUUGUGUUUGAGGUAGAACCUGCCUAUGGUAAUCUUCCCAAAUGAGUGUUUGCACGGCAUUUUUAUAAUGAAGAUGCAGAAGUUCAUGUCUAAUUAGAAAUUGAAGGUGUAGGGUACUAUCAUUGGUUACAAGGACGAAUGAACUACUUGGCACCCAAAUAAGAAUUGGAAUAUAGUAUAGAUGCUAUGUGAUAAAUUUUUAACUUCUUACGUUGGUACUGACUCGCAAUAGGAGUGCUUCUCGGAGACCUCAAAGCUAAGGGGGAGGGGAGGUAACGUCAAGGACAUACAUUAGGAAGUUGUAGAAGAUUCUAGAAGGUUUUAGAGAAGCUUUGUAGUUUGUAGAAGCUACUUGAGAAGUUUUCAAGCUUGUGGAAGCUGCUUGAGAAGCUUCUUAACUUGUAGAAGCUGAUUGAGAAGCUUCCUAGUUUGUGGGAACUACUUGACAAGCUUCUUAGCUUGUAGUAUAUAUAAGAGCCGAAACUAAAGAGAUCCUCAGUUUCAAUAAUACACCUCUUAGAACUCUAGCUCACCUCUAUAGUAUUGUUCUUGUACUCAUCUGAUUAAUCUAGUUCUUAUAAAUUCUUCUUGAGCUUCUUGUUUAGAUUUCGAAUCAGUAUUCUAAAUUUGUGAAACUUGAUAUUAAUUCCAAAUUCUUGUUGUAUCCAAAAUAUCUAACUGUUGAAAAAUCAUGACAAGCUUGAAGGACAUGUAAUCUUGCCUUGCCUUUUGGAUUAUAUAUGUAAUCUUUGAAAUAUAAUAGGUUGUUCUUGAACUCAAACUUUGAAGUGUCAUAGGACUUAGCAAAAGUAUUCUUGAUAUCAUGAACAAGAGGAUCAAAGGACAUAUUUGAUUGAAUUUGCUUGAUAAAAGUUGAAUCAAUAGUCAAUAUUGAUUUUAUUGCUCAAAGAUGAAAAUUCUUGGACUUCAAGAUAAUUAUUCUUUGUUGAUUAAAAGAUACAUCUCCUUCUUUUAGUACAAGAUAAGAUUAUCUAGAAAGGGUGUCUAAUAGACCUUGUUGUUUUUUGGGUUGAUAAAUAAUCUUGAAAUUGAAUCUGGAUAAAAACAUACUCCAACGAGCUUGAUAAUGAUUCAAAACACAUGCUAAUAUGAAGUACUCGAGGUUCUUAUAAUCCAUAUAUAUGGUAUCAUAAUAUAUAACAUUUGGCUUGAGAAUGCACCGGGCACCUAGCUAUGGAAGAUAAAAGAAAAAUUGCAACAACAAGUCCUAACAAUUCUAAUAAAUCCGUAAACAAAUUACAAUUAAAGAUUAACAAAUAUAAUCAAAUAUUAAUCAAAUUCAAUCAAAAUUUCAAAAGAAUUAUAUAAGAAGCUCAAAAUAUUCUUAGAAAUUCUUUAAAGAAUAAAAAAGUAAUAAUAUAGAAAUUUAAAAAUAUACUAAAAUAGAAACCUUAAUAAAAUAUUAAAAUAGAAACUUUAAUUAAAUUCUAAUCAAAACCUAAUCAAAUUUUAGUCAAAUCUUAGUCAAAUCCUAAUUAAAUCCUAAAAAAAUAUUAAUCAAAUUCUAAUCAAAUCCUAAAUAAAUCCUAAUCAAAUUCUAGUCAAAUCCUAAACAAAUCUCAACCAAAUCCUAAAAGAAUCCUAAAAAAAUCCUAAUGAAACCUUAAACAAAUCCUAGUCAAAUCUUAAAUAAAUCCUAAUCAAAUCUUAAACAUAUGCUAACCAAAUCCUAAAAAAAUCCUAAUGAAAUCUUAAAAAAAUUCUAAUGAAACCUUAAACAAAUCCUAGUCAAAUCCUAAUCAUAUCUUAAAUAUAUGCUAACCAAAUCUUAAAUAAAUCCUAGUAAUUCCUACAGCAGAUUUGAACCUCAAUAAUUAAUGAAUGAACCAUUGAUUUUAACUCAAAUUUUAUACACCUCUUAAUAAUUAAGUUAAAAGAAGUAUAAAUAUUUUGAAGAAGAUUGAAUUCACCAAUAAGAAGAUCAAUCCUAAUAUUUUCUUGGAUGUUGGUCGACCUCCUUUUCCAAUCUAAAUGUUGAAUUUUCAAUGCCAAUAUCUCCUUAUCAAACUAUUCAAUUGAUUUCAAAUUUCUCACAUAUAUAGGAAAAUAAGUUUAUUAUCUAUAUACAUAGGUUUAUCUCCAAUCCAACUGAUAGAUUUUAAGAAAUCUUAAAAAAUCUUACUAGACCUAAAACUCUACUUUUCAAGAUCCUAAUCCACUUAAACCUCAAUAAUCCUUGAUCCACCCUUCCAUCAAGCUGAAACUCCCAGCAUAUAUUGAACACAUAUAUAUCUAUAAAUUCUCAAAAUUUCAUCUAUAGAUCUAUUGUUAAACUUAUAAAAAUCUCCAAAAUGUAUCAUCUUUUUUAUUUCACAAAUUCAAAGUCAUUCAAAACAAAUCCCAACUUUGCAAAGCUCUUAUAAAGUCAAUAUAAAUCCAAAUCACCCAAAAUUAAUGCUAAAAAAAUAUAUCAAGUUUGCUCUCAAAUCCUACUCUUUGAUCUCCAAAAGAAUUUCAAAAUCAUUGUCGAAGCUUGAUUUUGUACUUCAAGAUAUGAUUUCGACCCUAGUUCAUAACUGGACCUUUUCGGGUAUCAAUAUCUAGUUUUUCUAGAUAAUUUUUGCUAGAAUUUAUUCUUAACUUCCUCCUAAAUAUGCCUAUAUUAUUUAUUUUUCUAAUCUAUAUUAUUUUGCUUUAUUUAUGGCCCUACAAAGUAAGUAGAAGUCACUUUUUAAAAAAACAGCAUUAUUACUAAAAAUUUUACUACCUUCCUAUCUUUUAUCCAUAUUUUUUAAGUUUAUCUUUUAACUUGGCUCUUCUAAAAUAAGAUCCUUAUUAUCAUCUUUUACCAUAUAAUUGUGUUACAAUAUGAUAACAAUGACUGGACUUGAAGCCUUUUUUAGAUAAUGAUGCCAUUCUUGAAAUGAAUCUACAAUUACAAAGAGCUUUUUGUCAUGGAUCUCAUAAUUAAUCCCGGUUGCUGAAAAUUUCUUGGAAUGAAAAGUUAUUAGAUGGAAUUUAUCAUUUGUUUCCAUUUCUGACAACAUGACAUCCAUAGCAAAGUGUUAUGUAUGUAUUUCCACAAAAAGUGCAUUGAAAAAGUUGAUACAAUGUAAUGAUAAACUCACAAAAAAUGUCAUUUAUAAGAUGUUGAAAAGUGAUUGAUACAUGUGUGAGUCGAAAAGGUAUGACAUUAUAUUCAAAAUAUCCAUACCUAAUUCAAAAAGCAGUCUUGUAUUCAUCUCUUUAUUUAAUAUGAACUAAGCUAUUUUUUCUUUGUAUAUCUAUUUUGGUAUAGAUCUUUGCUUGAUUGAGUUGGUCAAGAAGUCCUAAAAUCAAACGUAAAGGAUAUCUAUUUUUGAUGGUGAUCUUAUUGAGUCCUCAAUAAUCUACAUACAUCUACAAAGAUCCAUCUUUCUUCUUCAUAAAUAAGAUAGGAGCCUCAGUUGGAGAUUUAUAAUGGUGUAUGAAGUUCUUUGCCAAGUUCUCAUCAAUAUAUUCCUUUAAUGUAGCAAACUUAUUUUACGAUAAGCUAUAGAUUGGUCAAAAUGGUGGUUGAGUUUUUUCUUGCAAAUCAAUUGAACAAUCAUAAGAUUGAUGCUCUGGAAGAAUAUUUGUAUUUUUUUUUUUUCAAAAAUGUCUUGAAAUUCUUGAUAUUGGCUAGAAAUACCACUUGACAUUUUUUCAUCAUUAAAAAUGGAUAAAGCAUAUAUAUCAAAAGAUGAUCCUUCUUUUGCAGCAUUCAUGAAAGCUUUUACUUCUACUACUAAAAGUUUAGAUAUACUAGAUUUAUAUACUUCUAUUUCACUAAUUUGAUCUUGAAUUAUAUUAUCAGAGAAGUUAAGGUUAUAAGAACUCUAAUCUAUUUGAAGGUUAUAUUUUUUUUAGCCACAAUAAUCCUAAAAUAAUUGUAUUAGAGAGAGAUCUUAUUAUAUUAAAUACUACUAAAUUAUUACAAUCUUUAAUUGUUACAUCUAAAAGAACAGUUUCAUAGAUAAUAUUUUUAGAAGAUAACAAACGACCAUUUAUGACUUCUAUAUGUAUGAGUUUAAUUUUCUUGACUAAAGAUAUUUUUUGAUUUUUGAUAAAAUCUUUGUCUAUGAAAUAGGCUAAGGCUCUUGAAUCUAAUAAGGUAGGGAUUUUGUGAUUUUUAGGUUCUAAAUAUACAUUUAUUAUAAAACAAGGUAAAGGAUUUGAGGAGAAAAUAAGACCUUUAUUAGGUGUUGUACGUGAUUUCAACCGCAUGGUUCCUAUUGUAGCUGAAGAAAUUUAUUUUCCAACACAUUAUCUUCUUUGGUAUUUGUGCUCAUCAUUUUGUAAUUGCAUUGCUUCUUUAGACAAUGUUGAGUAGUGUGGUUAGCUUCUCCAUAAUAUAAAUAUAAAUCCUUCUGGCAAUAUCUAGUCUUUUCUUAUUCCAUAAGAUAUUUAAAAUGUAUUACAUCAAUUUUUAUUGAUUCCAGUUUUGAUGAAUAAGUUUUAAAAAAUGUGGGAGCUACCACCAAUACUUGACUUGUUCCACUUUAGCUAAAUCUUUGUUCUUGAUGCCUUUCAAAUAAUCAAUUGUCACAUACAAUGGCUUGAGUAAUAAAUUAUUUCAAAGAUUCUAUUUUUGGCAUUAUUAAUAAUAAAUCUUUGAUACCAUCUUUCAAUCUAUAUCAAAAUUGAUUGAUAAGUGCUUUUUCAUUCUAGUCCAUGUUGCAAGUGAGAUUUUAGAAUUUAGGAGCUUAUUGAUAGUUGAUUGUGAUCCUUGUUAUAAAAAUAAGAGCUUGGUCUUUAUUACGAUUUUUUGAUCACUUUCUUCAAGUGUGGUUGUAAAUUCUUUUAGGAAUGAAUUCAAAUCUUAAAAGAGUCGCAAAUCUUUUUCCAUUAAAGGUGUAAAUCAAGAAAGAUCACUUCCUGAUAGAAAUGUACCUAUGAAGCUGACUUGAGAAAAUCCAUCGGGAUAUUGGAAAAGAUGCAGCCUUACAUAGAGCUUGACUUAUUGUAAAAAUCUUCGAAAUUUUGAUCUUGUUUCAUCAAACAUCUCAAAUAUAUUAAUCCUUGCCUCUGUCAUACUUGCAGAAGCAAAAUUCCUUAGAUUUGGUUGUGAGGUUAAUCUACUUUUUUUAACUGUACAACUUCUUACCAUAGACUCUGAACUUCUUCCAUAGACAUAGAUAUAGUACUUCCAUGAUUCAGGUUGAAAAUACGUGAAAUUUCUACUCUUAGAGUGUUGAUAAAUUCAUGAAGAUCUGUAACAGUUAUAAAUCUAUUUUCACUUCCACUAAGCGCACACCAUCCAUACUCUUUUCUUCCAAAAAUAACUCAAAUAAAUUCAAAAAGUUAAAUUAGAGAAGGAUAAUCCACAACCUUUGGUAAAAAUUUCUUCAAAAAUGAAUAAUUCACUUUCUUUAAAGAAAAGAUCAAUGUUAAAAAAUAAGGUUUUUUGUUUAAAGGUGGAUAGUCCAAAACCUUUAAAAUACAACAAUAGAAGUGAAGUAAUUCAUUCACUUCUAAAACAAGACAAAAAUAAUAUGUUAGCACUCUUGUCAAACUGUUAAGGACAUGAAUCUUGAAGAAAGAGAAUCUUCAAUACACUCUUGUGUAAAAGAAGAGAACUAAAAGUCACUCAAAAGGUGAUAUAAUAUUAAACUAGAAUGACUAUUGCCAAAAAUAAGAAGACUAGAAAGUCUUGAAACAAGACUAAUGACUAGAAAGGUAUUGAUGAGAAUGAAAAAGGCUUCAUUCUUGCCUCCAUAUAUAUCCUUAACUAGGAGCUAUAUGGCAAUGUCUUAUAGAACCUCCAAAAUAUGUUGACUUUUUUAAUUACAUGUUUUAACUUGCAAGGUAGGUUAUCUAUGUAUGUGCCACAUAUUUAGCUUGUUCUACAAGCUAUUACAAAGAAUUAACUUGUUUCACAAGCUACCAACACAUGGUUAACUUGUUGGCUAAGCUUCUAAUCUAAAAAUAUAUUUAAAGUCAAAAUCUUAUCUAUGAAGCUUCUAAGAAGCUUUUCUAGAAGAAUUUAUGAAGUUAUUCUAUAUUUACCUACUUCUACCUAAUCAUAUAAGUACCUAUUGGGAUAAAUGUAUAUAUCCAUGAUAAGUAUACUUCAAAUAUUACUUUAGAACUUGAUUUAUUUGUUCCGUUUGCUUAUCAAUUUGAAGAUGAAAAGUCAAAGAAAUUUUUAUAUUCAUCUUUAAAAUCUUGAUACAAAUUAAGUCUCUUUAUCGAAUAUAUUAUCUUUUGGCAAUCCAUAAUAAUAAUAGAUAUUAUAAAAAAAACUUAGCCAAUUCUUUACUUAUGAUAUAUUUUGUACAUGGUACAAAAUGUAUCAUUUUGGUAAAAUGAUCUACUAUCACAAAUAUAGAAUCAUACAAAUUUGAGACUAGAAGAUUUGUAAUAAAAUCUGUAUAAACAAAAGACCAUGGUUGUUUUGAAAUAGGUAAUGGUUGGAGAAGUCCAUAAGAUGGAUAAAAAUAAUUUUUUGAUCUUAAACAAAUAUCACAUGAUUGUACAAAUUCAUUAACUUCCUUUUACAUUUGAGGCUACCAAAAAUCUCUUAGUACUAUCUCCAAAGUCUUAUUGUAUCCAAAAUAUUUAGAUGCUGAAAAGUCAUGAUGAGCUUAAAGAACAUAUUAUCAUAUAGUAAUAUGACUAUAUAGUGAAAAAUUAAAAUACAAAUGUUUUUAUAAGAGAGCCUAAUAAGAUGAUGUAGUAGAAAAAUAAGGAUAAAUGAUAGGAAGGUAAUAAAAGAUUUUAGUCUUAAUGUUGCCUUUUAGAGAAAGAACUUCUAUUUGUUUAAUAAAAGCAUAAAUAUCUCAAAUCAAAAUAAAUGAGAUAAAUAAUUUAUAUAGAUAUAUUUAGAAAUAAAUUAUUAUUAGGUUCAAAUAAAAAUUACCUCAAAUUAUUAAAUAUUGGUACUCAGAGAGGGCUUAUUGUCAAAUAGGAUUUAAAUGAGACCUCAAGGUAUAAAAUCAUGUACCUACAAUGAUUAGAAGGUUCUUUAAUAGAUCGAAGAAUAAGAUUUAAGAAUAAACUAAUAAAAAUAUUUUUAGGCAUUGGUUUUAUAUCAAUCAAGUUAAUAUUCAAUUUUUAAGAGAUUUUCAAAAAUAGUGAUGUUCUUGGUUGGAUUAGAUUUUAAAAAAAUAAAGUUAUAUUUACAAAAUUAAAGAUUUCUUGAGUUUUUCGGUGUGUGUAUAAGUGAAUUUUGGGCAAUAUGUUGGUAUUUUAGUUGGUAGUAUAUGUGAAGAUUUAGAGAUAAAUUGAACAUUUAGAUCAAAGUACUUGAAGGUUUUUGUAGGUUAAGAUCUCAAAAAUCAGAAUUUGAAGGUUAGUGAGUAUUUUUAAGAUCUUUAGAAAUUCGUUGAUUGGAUUGAAGUGAAUUUUUUUUGUAUAGAGACUAAACUUGAUUUUCCAUAGUUUAAAUAUAUUUUGGAGAUAAUUCAAUAGUUUAAGAAGGAGAUAUUUGCACUAGAAGUUCAACAUUUAGAGUGGAGUAGGAGGCCUCCCAAUACUUCAAUGGAAUUUAGGAUUGAUCUUCUCUUUGGUAAGUUUUAUCUUCUUCAAAUUUUGUAUACUUAUUGCCAACUUAGUUUUUAAAAGGUGUAUAAAAUCUUAAGCAAGAUCAAUAGUAUAAUUGAUAGAUAUUGAGAUUCUAAACUGCCCUAGAAUUAGUUUAAUUUGAUUAAAGCUUGAUUUAGGAUUUAAGAAUUGAUUAGGAUUUAGUAUUUUUUUAGGAUUUAAUUAGGAUUUUACUUACAAUUUAAAUAAGGAAUAUUAUAUUUUUAACUAGGAUUAAAAUAAGAUUUGAUUAAAAUUUAUUUAAAAUAUAUUUUAGAUUUUAUUUUAAUCAUUUUUUUGAAUUUCUUUAGGUUUUUUUCAUGCUUCUUUUAUAAUUUUUUUGAGGUAUCUUUAGAUUGACUAAAGCUUGAUUAGAAUUACUAAGAUUUAAUUAGAAAUAUUUAAAAUUCUAUGAAAAUUAAAAUCUUGUUGCUGUAAUAAUCCUUCUACCUUCUACAGCCAAGUGCUUGGUGCAUUUUCAAGGAAGGCUUUACGUAAUACAACAACAUAAUCAUGCUUUGCCUUUUAAAAUAUAUAAUUUUUUUUCAAAAUAUAAUAGAUUAUUUUUAAACUUAAACUUAGGAGUAUCAUGAGACUUAGAAAAAUUAUUCCUCAUAUUAUAAACAAGAAGACAUACUUGAUUGAAUUUGCUUGACAAAAAUUGAAUCAACAAUCAAUGUUGAUUUUAUUCCUUGAAGAUAAAAAUGCUCUAGCUUCAAGAGGAUCAUUCUUUGUUGAUCAAAAGCUUCUUUUCUUUCUUUAAGUGCAAGAUAAGAAGGUCUAAAAAAGAUAUUUAAUAAACCUUAUUAUUUUUUAGAUCAAUAAAUAAUCUUGAGAUUAAAUCUUAAUAAAGAAAUGCUUCAAUAGGCUUGGUGAUAAUUCAAAUUAUGCAUUGACAUGAAGUAUUCAAAAUUCUUAUAAUCCAUAUAUACAAUGAUUGGACUAGAAGCACUUUCUACAUAAUAAUGCCAUUCUUCAAAUGAAUCCACUAUUGUAAGAAUUUUUUUUUAUGGAUAUUGUAGUUAAUCUCGGCUACUAAAAAUAUUUUAGAAUAAAGAGCUAUUGAGUAGAGCUUACAAUCUACUCUCAUUUAUAACCAAAAAUCAUUUAUAGUAAAAUCUAAUACAUUUGUUUCUAUAAAGAAUUCUUUAGUGAAGUCUAUGAAAUAUAAAAUUGGUGCAAAAAUAAAUAUUGUCUUUAAGGCUUUAAAAGAUGCUUUAGCUUCUUUGCUCUACUCAAGUUUGUCUUUAUAUGUCAAAUGUAUAAGAAGAGCCAAAAAUUGAGAAAAAUUCUUGAUAAAGAUCUUAUAAUAAUUAAAAAAUUUCAAAAAACAUUGAACAUCUCUAACUAUUUUUAAGAUCUUUCAAUCUAUGAUAGUUUGGACCUUCUUAAGAUCCAUCACAAGAUCAUUUUUUAAAAUGAUGCAUCCUAAAAAGUCAAAUUGAGUAAUAUAAAAUACAUACUUUUCUAUCUUGGCAUAUAUUCUUAUAUCUCUAAGUUUUUUUAAUACAUAACAAAUAUAAAAUUCAUACUCUUUUGUGUUCUUAGAGUAAAUGAAGAUGUCAUCUAAAAAACAAACAACAAAAUUUUCAAGAAACUUGUAAAAAAUAUCAUUCAUUAGAUGCUAAAAAGUAGUUGGUGCAUUUAUGAGUUUAAAAGGUAUGAUAUUAUAUUCAAAAUAUCCAUACCUAUUUCAAAAUAUAGUUUUUCAUUCACCUUGUUUUUUAAUGCAUACUAAAUUAUAUGCUCUUUGUAGAUCUAUUUUGUAUAGAUCUUUGUUUGAUUUAGUUGAUCAAGAAGUCUUAAAAUUAAUAAUAGAAGAUACUUAUUUUUUAUAAUGAUCUUGUUGAAUCUUCAAUAGUGUACAUACAUCCGGAGGAAUUCAUCUUUUUUCUUUACAAAUAAGAUAGGAGCUCUAAUUGAAGAUUUAGAAUGGCAUAUAAAGUUCUUAGCCAAAUUUUUAUCAAUAUAUUCUUUGAAGGCAACCAACUCAUUUUGUAAUAGGCUAUGGAUUGGUUCAAAUAGUGGUUGAACUCUUUCUUAAAGAUCAAUGGAAUAAUCAUAAAGACAAUGCUUUAGAAGAACAUCUGUAUAAUUUAUUUCAAAGAUAUCUUGAUAAUCUUGAUAUUGGCUUAGAAUGACACUUGAAAACUUUUCUCUAUUAACAACAAGUAUGGGAUAUAUAUUAAAAAUUAAUCAUUUUUUUGUAGCAUGCAUGAAAUUUCUUACACCCUACCAAUAAUGGUCUUGAUGUAUUGAUCUUAUGGAAUUUUACUUAUUUAACAAAACUUUUGACUAAACUAUGGAAAAAAUCAAGAAUGCAAGAAAUUCAAUCUAUUUAAGGAUUAUAUCUUUUUAACUAUGAUAAUCCUAAAAUAAUUGGAUUAAAAAAAUAUAAUGAUAUUAAAUAUUAUUAAGCUAUUAUAAUCACUAGUUGCUACUUCUACAAGAAUAAUUUCAUAUUUAAUAUCUUUAAAAGAUAAUAAAUGAUCAUUUAUUAUUUCUACAUGUACAAAUUUGAUUUUUUUAAUUAAGAAUAUAUCUUAUUUUUUGAGAAAGUCUAUAUCUAUAAAAGAAGGUGAGACUCUUGAAUUCAACAAGAUUAAGACUUUGUGAUUUUUUGGUCCUAAAAAAAAUUCUAUUAUAAAACAAGGUGAGGGAUCUAAAGAGAAAAUAUGACCUUUAUUAGGAAUUGCAUAAGUUUUCAGCCACACGGUCCCUAUUGUAGCUAAAGAGAAUUAUUUUUUGACACAUUGUCCUCUUUGGCAACCAUACUCUUUAUUUUGUGAUUUCUUUGUUUCUUUGGAUAAUAUUAAGUAGUGUAUUUGGAUUUUCCACAAUAUAGGCAUAAAUAUGGCAAUAAAUAUUUCUAAAAAUGAAUUCAAAUUUUAAUAGAGUAGUGAAUCUUUUUCCAUCAUAUGUGCAAACCAAAAGAGAGCACUUCUAGAUAAAAGUGUGUCUAUGAAUCCAACUUCAGUAAAUCCAUCAAGGUAUUGGAAGAGAUGUAACCUUAGGUAGAGCUUCACUUAUUGCAAAAAUCUUUCAAAUUUUGAUCUUAUUCCAUCAAACUUCUUAGGCAUACUAAUCCAUAUCUUCAUUGUACUUAUAGAAGCAAAAAUUCCUAGAUUUGAUUAUGAGGUAGAUUUACUUACUUCCUUCAAUUGUACAACUUCUUGAUACAAACUUUGAAUUUCUUUAAUACUUGUAGGAUUAAUAUUUUGUUGAUUAAUAUUGGUGAUGUAUAAAAUUUCUAUCCUAAGAGUGUUAACAAGUUUGUAAGGAUUUGCAAUAGUUGCAAAACUAUUCUCACUUCUUCCAAGUCUAACAUCCAUAAUUUUUUCUACCAUUUCAAACAACUUGACAAAUCUAGAAGUCAAAUUAGAGGACGAUAAUCUGCAACUUCUAAUAUCAAAUAAAUUUUUUUACAAUGAAGGAUAAUUUUUUUCUCUUUAAGGAAAAAAUCAGUGUUAGAAAACUAAAAAAUUUGUGUAAAGGUGAAUAAUUUACAACUUGCAAAAUACAACAAUAGAAGUAGAGUAAUCUACUUACUUCUAAAAAAGACAAAAGGCUUCACUCUUGCCUCUAUAUAUACUUUUAAUUAGGAGCUAUGUGACAAUGUCUUAUAGGACCUUCAAAAUGUGUUGACUUUAUAAGACACAUUAUUGUGAUAUAAUACGGCGAAUAAAUUAAAAAAAGAAGAAAAUAUUAUAUUAUAGAAGAUUUCAUUUUAAAAUAAUGUAGCAAAUUAUUUUAAAAAUAUAGAUAAUAGUUGAAAAGAUAAUAAAAUUAAAAGGUGUUAAUAUUAUUUUUUUUGCAAAAUAGGCUUUCACUUAUUUUUUUGGACCAUAAAUAAGGCAAAGCAAAGUAGAUUGGAAAAUUAAAUAAUAUAGGCAUAUAUAAUAAAGAUUUAAGAGUGGAUUUUAGGAAAAUUUACCUCAAGAAGCUAAUAAUUGAUACUUGGAGAGGGCUACUUAUCAAUUUAGGUUGAAAUUAGAUCCUAAAGUACAAAACCGCUCAUCUUUGGUGAUGUAAGGGUUCUUUGAUAGAUCCAAAAGUGAGAUUUGAAAGUAGACUUGAAAAGAGAUUUUUAAUAUUAAAUUUUUGAAGGAUUUUUAAAAUUAAUAAUGUUCUUAAUUGAUUUAGAUUUUAAGAAAUAGAAUUAUGUUUAUAAAUUUGAGGAUUUUUUGAGUUAUGUGAUGUAUGUACUAGAGAAUUUUGGAUAUUGUAUUGAUGUACUAGUUAUAAAUAUGUAUAAAAUUUUUGAGAUCAAUCAAUUAAUUAGAUCAAAUUAUAUAAAGAUUUUUGUGGGUUGAAAUCUUAAAAAUUGGAAUUUAAGGAUUAGUGAGUGUUUUUAAGAUCUUCAAUAAUUUGACAAUUGAAUUGAAGUGAAAUUAUUUUAUAUAAAUACUAGACUUAAUUUCUAACAUUUAAGUAAAAUUUGAAAGUAAUUCAAUGAUUUAAGAAGGAAAUAUUGGUACUAAAAUUUCUAUAUUUAGAUUAGAAUAGGAGGCUAUCUAAUAUUCAAUUGGAUUAUCUUGCAUUUCUUUCAAUUGAUAAAUGCUAUUGAUUUCAUCUUUCUUAUGUUUAUUACUAACCAAGACAUUAAGAAGAAUUCAAAUUUUGAAUUGAUAUCAAUGGUUUGAUAAUAGUUAUUGAGGUUUUAUUUUGCUAUAGGAUUUAUUUAGGAUUUAUUUAGGAUUUAGAAUUAUAUUAAGAUUUUUAUUUUUAAUAUUUUUUUAGAAUAUGUUAUAUUUAUUUUGGUACUUAUUUUAAAUUUAUUUUAAUAUAUUAAAGUAUAAUUAGGUUUAUUUAGAAUUACUUGAAGUUUAUUUAAGACUCUAUUAGACUUGGUAGAAUUAUUAUUGUAUUAUUACUUACCUUCUACAGCUAGGUGCUUGAUACAUUCUCAAGCAAGAAUAUAUGUAAUACAACAUAUUUAAUGAACUCAACAUGAAAAGCUUGAAGUAGAAGGUGUUUGGAAUUAUUUUUUGGUUUAUUUUAAUUUUGGAAAAAAAAUGCAAGAGAAUGGAAAAAAAGGCUUUUGAUUGUGCUUCAAGUAGAAUUGAAAGUGAAGCUGUAUGUAGAAGAGAAGGUAUGUAUUUUGAUCCCAACUUUGCAAGUAUGUUUGAGGCUUUUUCUAUAUUUAUAAAACAACAAGUUAAAGCUUUCAAAGAAGAUAUGACAAAUAAAGCAUUACAAGUGGUUGUGGACAAGAUUGAUUAAUUUGAAGAGAAGGAUAUUAUAAAAUAUAUAAGAUGUUAUAUAAAAGAAAUAGAAUUGAAGCAUGUUUUUAAAAAAGAGAUGGUUCAAUUAUUUGAAUUAUUCUCUGCAACAAAGAUAAAAAAUCAAAUAAAUUCCCUUCCUUACAAGAUAUUUUAGAGGUUCAUGGAGGAAAUAUUUUCAAGCAUUGAAAGAUGAGUUUAAUUUUUAAUAAUAGUAAUUAACUUACAAAGAAGAUUUUUUUUGAAUAGAUUGAAAGAUCAAAGAAGGAUCUUCAAGUAAUGGAAUUAUUAAGAAAGUUUAAAAGACAAUAUUCUUGUAUAAAAAAGAAAGAAAGAUAAUUUCUAGAUCCAAGCAAAGUAGAGAUAUUUCUUAAAGUGGCUGAUGAAGAAUUGUAAGAGAAGUUGGAAAUUUUUCUUGAAGAUAAAAAAAAAAAAAAAAAAAAAAAAAAAAAUGAUUGACAAUAAAUUGGAAGGAAGUAGAAGAGGAAGUAGGAUUGCUUACAAAAUGAGAAAGAAGAAAGGAUAGCAUGGAUAUUCAAAAAAAUUAAAAAUAUCUAAGAUAAAAAUACCUACUAUCUAUUCUACAUUUGUGAUUCAACCUUCAAUAGCAAUAUCAAAGAAAGAAGAAAUAAAAAUUGAUAAAAUCAUAUAAGAAAUGAGAAAUUUGUAAAUAAAAUUUGUAAAAUUUGAAAAAAAUGAUCAAUCAUCAAAAGUAUUAAGAAAAUAAAGAUUAAGACCAAUAGAAGGUGUAGUAUAUAGGUGCAUGUGGUGUGAUAGCAUGGAUCAUUCAAAAAAAAAAUGUGAAGAUUUUAUAGAGGUAUUAUACAAUGGAGUUGUUUUUUUUUAAUAGAUGAUAUGAUAUACUUAAAAGUGAGUAGAAAAAAACUAGAAACAAACUUUGGUAAGAGGAGAAUAAAGGUGCUUAUGAAAGAAGCAUUUAAAAUCUUAAGAAAUAAAGUAUUAACAUAUUAGAUAGAAGAAAAUUUGGACAAAUAUUUAAGAAUAAAUUUAGGAUUUUUAGAAAAAUCUAUAUCUUUGUAGUUAAAUUCAAUGAAUUAUGCUCAAAAAGAAAAACUUACUAGGGAUGAUUUAAAAUGUGUUGGCAGUAACAUUUGAGAAAUUAUUAGGUCAAAUGAUUUAGUAGAUGGAUUAUUGGUGCAUAUUCAUAUUACAAGGAGUCAAUAUGAAGCAUUAAUAGAAGAAAAAUAGACAAUAAAUAAAAAUAAUGAAGGAUUAUCAAAAAAAACUAUAAGAAGAAAAAAAUAUGACAAAAAAAGAAUCCUAUGCAUGAAGAGACAACAAAAAAUAUUUCUACAAAAGAAAGAAAAAAUAUAUAAAAAAAAAAGAAAAAAGAAAAAAUAUCUUGUUAUAAAUUAAAAUUAGAUAUUGAAGUUGCUAUAGAUCUGAAGAAAGUAUUAGAAGAACAAAUUUUAAGUGGAAAGGUUGAAUUUACAAUUGGUGAAAUCUUAAGAAUUGCAAAACAUGAAUUCUAUGAAAUUAUUAUUGACACAAUAAAGAAAAAAUGACAAUCUAUAGGAGAUACUAUGACAUCAAAUGCAUAAAGAACAUGAGCAAUGGAUAACAAUAAAGAUGAAGAAGAUGAAAUAUAAAAUUUUGGAGAUGUCUUAUAAGUAAAAUUUACAAAAAAAGAGGAUGUCAUUCAAGCCUCUAGUAAUUAUUCUUGAAGUUAUUGGACCAGAGCUACUAUGGAAAUUUUGAUAAAAUUGAGAGAUUUAAAAGAACUAAUUAUAACAUUAAUUAAUCAUGGUUUUGAAAUUAAUUUGGUAUGAAAAGAAUUAUAUAAAAAGAAAAAGUGGCCUAUUGAUAUUAAACAUAGGUCGAUUAUAAGAGCAACAAAUAAUUCAAAGAGAGAUUUGUAUGGAGCUUGUUUAAAUAUCAAAGUGACAAUAGGAGAUGUUUUUUAUGAAUAAAAUUUCUUUGUAAAAGACAUGUCUACAUAUCCUAUUAUAUUAAGACAACUAUAUAUUAUUACUAUACAAAUAAAAAAAAAAAAACUAAUGAAUGAUUGUUUAAUUUAUGUAAGGAUAAGAAGUGAAGAUGGAAAGAAGAUAGUGCAAUUUUUGAUAGUUUGUACUAAUCAUAAAAAAAACCGAUUUAGUUUGAGGAAGCAACCUUUGUCGGGAGUAUGAAAAGAAUUUGAAGAUUUAAACAAUUCAAAGGAUUUUUACUAGAUACCAUUGUAAAGUAGGAUUGUAAUAGUAAAAAAGGUGAUGGCUUUUCAUCUAGUAGAAGAAAUGAGACCAUUAUAGAGUUAUCAUGAGAUGGAUAUAUUUUAUUUAAAAAUAUAAAUAAAUUAGAAAGAAUAGAAAAAAAAAUAUCAAAAAUAUAGAACAUAAGUAGAAAAAAUAUGGAGUGAUUGAUGAAGAUCAAUACAUAUUAGAGGUGUUUGAAAAAACUUGCUUCAGUGAUAUUAUAAAAAAUUUACAAAUGUUAUUGGAUUUAGAUUUUGAAAGAGAUGAUAAUGUAACAAAUAUACAUUUUAAGCAAUUUUAUGAUUGAACGAAAGAUUAUGUAGAUAAGUAUAAAGUGAAGGUGAAUAAAAAAUAUAAAACCAUUAUAAAAAAGGUUAAACAAGUGGCAUUGCCACUAAUAUUGGAUUUUGAAAAAAAGAUUGAAAAGACUCUCAUACAACCUUAAUUAAGAUAUCUAAAACAAAUAGGUCAUGAAUUCAGGGAUGAAUUGACAUUAAAUGGUUUAAAAGUUGGAUGUAAGGAAUUCUUAACAAAAAAUGAAGAGAGAUGUUUUAAAGAAAUGCUUUCAUGAUAUAAUAAGAUGUUUGCAUUUGAAUUACAUAAAAUAGAAUGUGUUGAUUCAAAUAUUGUAGCUUCUAUGGAUAUUUUCAUAAUUCUACAUGAAUCAUUGAAUUUGAAAUCAAUUCCAAUUUUAAAUGCAUAUUUUCCAAAAUUAAUCAAAUGCUUUAAUCUAAAGAUUAUAAUAGAAAUUUUAAAACCAUGUAUUGCACCAUAUUUCAAUUAGUGGUUUACAAUACCUAAGAAAAAUGGAACAUUGAGAUUUAUUUAAGUUAUGUAAUUAGUAAAUAAAGUAACUAUUAUAAAUAUGGAUUCAAGUCCAAUUGUGAAUGCUUUUGCAAAGGCAUUUGUAAAGAGAGAAAUUUAUUCUUUAAAAGAUUUUUAUUUGAAAUAUGAUCAAAUUUGAUUAGCAAUGCAAAGUAGAGAUUUAAUAACCAUGAAGAUACAAUUAAGAUUAGUCAAAAUAUAUACUUUAUUAUAAAGAAAUACAAAUUUUGUGGCACAUAUAAUGAAUGGAAUGCAUUAGAUAUUAAGAGAUUUUAUUUCAACAAUAAAAAUAUCUUUUAUAGAUGAUGUGCUAAUUAAAAAAAUGUGAAGAAGAAAGAAAAGAUGAGACUUUGCAUUCAAAAGGAUGCAAGAAUUUUGUGGCGGAUCAUAUUGAUGAUUUUGAAAAGAUUUUGAUAAGGUUAGAAGAAGUUCAUUUAAUCUUAUUGGAGAUAAAAUCAAUGUUUGGAGUAAAAGAAGUUUUAAUGGUAGAGUACAUGUGUGGAUCAUAUAGAUGCAAGCUAAGUAUGAAAAAGGUUGAUAAUAUCAAAAAAAUGAAAGAAUGUGUAAAUACAAUAGAAAUCAAAUGGUUUUUAGGAGCAUGUAUUUUUUAUCAUAUAUAGAUACCUCAUUUUGCAUAUAUAAUAGAUCUAUUGUAUGAAUUAUUAAGAAAGAAUAAAAAAAUUCAAAAGAAAUAAGAACAAAAAAAAAACCAUGAAAAAAUUGAAAGAACUUCUUUCUUUAUCUUCAACUAUGAAGAAAAUUAAUUAUGAAUGUAAAAGACCAAUAAUAUUAUCAAUUGAUGCAAGUCCAAUUAAAAUAGGUUAGAAAAUUAGACAAGAUGAUGAAUAAGGAAAUAGAUAUGUAAUAAGAUUUUGAAACAAAGAUUUUGAAUGCUACGCAAAGGGCAUAUGUACAAAUCAGAAGAGAAUUAUGGGAUGUAGUAAUAGCUAUGAGAAAUGAAAAAAUUACUUAAUUGGUGCAUUGAUAAUUAUAGAAAUAGAUUAUUUACUUUUAUUGGAUAUAAUUAUAAAUUAAUCAAAUUCUAAUAUUACUAUAUUAAGAUAGAUAAUAUAUAUUAAAUCUAUGAUUUCAAAAUUUAAAUACAUUGCAAGAAAAAAAAAAUUAGUAAUAGAUAUAUUAUCAAAAGUAAGAUAUUAUGAUGAAAAAGAUAUAAUUAACUUAGAAGAUGAUAUAAGUACAAAUUUUUAUACGAAUGCAUUAUCAAUAUACCAUUGAAAAUAUUUUUAAUGGUAUAUUGAAAACAUUUUUAUAUGUUUAAAUAUACCAUUAAAAAUAUUUUUAAGAGAUUUCUAUGAAAGAAAAUGGAAAGAUGUUAGGAAGAUUUUAAGUACAUUAAAGUGACAAAAAGAUUAAAAAAAUAAAAAAUUUAAGAAAAUUGAUAAAAAAAAACCUAUAGAUACUUUUUAUGAUAGAUAUUUAUGAAAGCAUCUAAAAAAACAAAGAAAAGUAUCACAAUAGGUUAUAUGUAGUCUAAAAGCUCAAUAAAAAAUUAUUUAGGAAUUUUAUGAAAUUUUUUGGAUAGGACAUUGAGGUAUUUGGGCAACAUUUAUUAAGUUAAAAGAAAAAUAUUGGUAGAAGAGCAUGCACAAAGAUGUAGCAAAUUUUGUAGGAUCUUGAGAAAUUUACUAAAUAUAUUUAAAAUUUUGACAUUAAGAUGGAUUACAUGUAAUAUAUCUUUUAGCUUUAUAUUAUAAAUCGAUACUCGAUUUAGUAGCAAUGCCUAUGGGACUUGAAUAAAUGAAGUAUUUGAUACUUUCACAAAAUUAUUUAUCAAAUAUGAUUGAAGAUAAGCAUUGAUAACAAAGGAUAGUGAAGAAAUAUGCCAAUUUUUAUUAGAAGAUGUUAUUUGUUGCUAUGGUUGUAUUAGAAAGAUUAAAGCAAAUAGAGGUGAAUUGGAUGUAAGAAAAGCAUUAGAAUUUUUUAAUAGAAUAAAAAUUAAACUUUCUUUAAUAAUAGCAUAUAAUUCAGAAGGUAAUGAAUAGAGUGAGCAUGGAAAUUCACCUAUUGUUAAAGCAUCAAUAAAGGCAUGUAGUGGCAAAGCACAUAAAUGGCCUAGACUACUACCAUUUGUACUAUAGGCAGAUUGCACAAUUUAUAAUUUAGUAACAGAUUAUAAGCCUUCUAAAUUAAUAUAUGGACAAAAAUCAAUAAUGUCAAUAUAAGAGGUAGUACCUACAUAAGAUGUAUUUUCUUAGAAGGAUGAUCUCAAUAGAGAAGAAUUUUUAGCAUUAUGGAUUCAAAAAUUAAAAAAAAAUCUAAUGAUAUUGUAGUAGGAAUGAAGAGAUUAAAAGAAAGAAAGAAUAAGAAUAAAGAAAGAUUUGAUAGAAAACAUCAAUUACGACCUAAGGCAAUUAAAGAUGGUCAUUGCAUGUUAAUUUAUGAUAGUAGUUUGGACAACCAAUAUAGCACAAUAAAAAAAAUUGUAAAAGGAUGGUUUGGGCCUUAUAUUAUCAAACAAGUGUAUGAUAAUAGAAUAUACUUGUUACAAGAACUUGAUGGUAUAGAAUUGAAGAUACCUAUAGCAAGCAAGUAAAUUAAGUUAUUUAAACAAAGAGGUGAAGAUAUUUAUUUUAAUGAAGAAUAAAAUCCAUUACAAGAUAUUGAAAUGGGAGUAGAAGAAUAAAUUGAAUAUCAAAAAUUUGACCAAGAUGAAAAACUCUCUAUAUCAAUGUAAUGAAAUUUUUUUUUGUAUGUCAAAAGAUGCACAUGUUCAGUGGAAGUGGAUGUUGUGAUAUAACACAAUUCAUCAAUAAAAGAAAGAAAAAAUCAUUAUAUUAUAGAAGAUCUUAUUUUAAAAUAUCGUAAUAAAUUAUCUUAAAAAUAUAAAUCAUAGUAAAAAAGAUAAUAAAACUAAAGUAUGUUAAUAUUGCCUUUUUACAAAAUAAGCUUGUAUUUAUUUUUUAGGACCAUAAAUAUAGAAAAAUAAAGUAGAUUAAAAAAUUAAAUAAUAUAGGUAUAUAUAGAAAGAAUUUAAAAAUAAAUUAUAACAAAAUUUAGCUCAAAAAGCCAAUAAUUGAUAUUUAGAGAAGGCCGGUUGUCAACCUAUGUUGAAAUCAAAUCCUAAGGCAUAAAAUCACUCAUUUAUAGUGAUAUGUAGGUUUUUUGGUAGAUCCAAGAGAAGGAUUUUUGAGAAAACUUGAAAAAAUAUUUUUAAGCAUUUAUUUUAUAUCAAUUAAAUUAAUAUUGAAAAUUUUAAGAAAUUAUGAAAUUUAAUAUUAUUCUUGGUUAAUUUAGAUUUUGAAAAAUAGAAUUAUGUUUAAAAAUUUAAAGGUUUCUUGAAUUUUGUGGUAUAAAUAUUAGUGAAUUUUGGGCAGUAUAUUAAUGUGCUAGUUGUAAAUGUGUGUACAAAUUUUGAGGUCAAUCAAACAAUAAGAUUAAAGUAUAUAAAGGCUUUUGUGGAUUGAAGUGCAAAUAAUUUGAGUUUGAGAGUUAAUUAAUAUUUUUAAGAUCUUCAUCAAUUUCACAAUUGAAUCAAAGUGAAGUUUUUUUGUAUGGAUAUUAGACUUGAUUUUAAAUAUUUAAAUAGAACUUAAAAGUAAUUCAAUAGUAUAAAAAAGAGUUAUUGGUACUCGAAGUUCAACAUUGAGGUAUCACAAACAUACAUAUUUAUCUUAAUUUUUAUCUAUAUGAUUAAAUAGAAGUAAAUAAAAAUAGAUUUAUUUCAUAAUAACUUUUUAGAAAAGCUUCAUAGAUAUUUAUUUGACUUUAUAUGUAUUUUUAGUUGAUUGAUAAGUUAAAAACUUGGUCAAUAAGUUAACCGUUUAUUGAUAGCUUACAAGAUAAGCUAACUAGAGUGAUUCAAAAAACUAUUUUAAUGUUGAUAUAUUUUGGAAAGAAUGGUAUAUUAUAGAUGUAUUGUAGUGAAUAAUGAUAUAUGGUUUGUUUAGCAAAUAAAGUAUUUCUUUACAACUGCCAAUAUACCUUUUAGAAUCUUCUAUAAAUUUUUAAAACCUUUUAAAUACUUUUAGAAUCUUCCACAAUCUUUUAGAAUGUUCAUAAAAUUCUAUAAGCUUCUUUAUACUUCUAAAAACUUUCAUAGAAAGUACCAUAAACUUUUGUAACCUUCAUUAUAAUAUAAAUAGGAAUCUUUAGAACCUUUUUUGCUAUCAAUCUCAUUCUUUGUUUUUAAUCUUGACAUAUUUCUUUGUCAAAUUCUUGUGUCCUUAAUAAUUCCUUAAAUAACUAUGAAAUUCAUUCUCUACUCUCUCUCUAAGACAACAUGACUUCUACUCUUCUUUAUUCUCAAAAAUCUUAUAGCCAAAUUGCUUCUGAAUUUGGUUGCAAUAAAGUUAUUAUAUCUUUGCUAGCAAAAAAGAUCACUUUUAAUAAGAAGAAUCUUAAAUUAAGCAGACCAAAGAACCUCACUAUAGUAGAUGAAAGGGCAAUCAUUUGCUAAAUCAACAUUGAGAAGACUGAAAAUGCUCUUGAAGUCACUAAAAACUUUAACAAUAUUAUCAAUAAUCUUAUAUCAAUCCAAAUUAUUUGAAGUAUUUUCAAAAAUUAGAAUAUGAAAGCCGUGGAGAAGAAAAAAAAGCCACUACUAUUUACUUGCUAUUUAAAAUAAUAUUUGGAUUUUGCUUUGAAAUAUAAAGAAUACUUUAUGGAGGAUUGAAAGAAGGUUAUUUGGUCAAAUGAGAUAAAAAUCAACAAAUUUGGAUCAGAUGUUAGAAAGUAGGUGUAGAAACAAAAUGGUCAAUCUUUGCUUGAUAAGAAGAUCAAAGAAACAAUUAAACAUGGAAGUGGAAAUAUAAUGAUAUGAGGUUGUAUGGAAUGGAAUAUUAUUGAGAAGAUGGCAAAGGUUGAAAAAAGGAUGGUAAAGGUUGAGAAAAGGAUGGCAAAGGUUGACGAGAAGAUGGGUGCCAAGUAAUUUGUUGAAAUUCUUAUAAAAAAUCUACUCCCUAGCAUUGAAAAAUUUGGUAUUUUUAAACAAGAGGUGAUUUUUUAGCAAGAUAACGACUCCAAGUAUAACUCAAAACUAACAUAGAAGUAGUUUGAUCAUUAUGGGAUUAAAGUAAUAGAUUGGCUUUCUCAGUUUUCUAAUCUUAAUUCUAUUGAAUAUCUUUGAGAGCACCUCAAAUACUAGCUCAAUACUUGGAAGAUAAAACCAAAGGGAGUUUGAAAAUUAUGAGAAAAAAUAAUUAUAAAAUAAAAUAAUAUUGAAAUAAUUUUAUGCCAAAAGUUAUUUGAAAGUAGGCUUAGGAGGUUGGAAGUAGUUAUCAAGGCCAAAAUAAGCCGUACAAAGUAUUAAUAUGUAAUUAGAUACUAUACUCAAAAAAAUACUUCAAUAUUGUUAUAAAUUAGAUUGAUCAUAGCUCCAUAAUUAUCUAAUGGAUUCUUUUCAAUUUAAACUCAUUUGGUAGCUAUAAAAUAAAACUUUAAUUUCUAUAUAAACCACAUGUCAUUAGUCACUAUAAUUCAUUUGUAAUACACCAUUCUUUCUAAAAUAUGUCAACAUUGAAACAAUUUUUUGAGUCAUUGUAUAUGACGUACAUAUACAAAAUUUGUCUUACAAGUUAAGAUACAUAUCUUGAAAAGUCAACACGUUUUAAAGGUCCUAUAGGAUAUUGCCAUGUAGCUCCUAGUUAAGAGUACAUAUGGAGGUUAGAGUGAAGUCUUCUUCACUUUUGCCAAUGCCUUUCUAGUCCUUAGUCUUGUUUCAAGACUUUCUAAAUUUUUUAUUUUUAGCAAUAUUCUUUCUAAUUUAAUAUUAUAUCAUCUUCGAGUGAUUUUUCAGUACUUUUUAGUAAUAGAAGAAUUUAUUGAGGAUUUCUUUUUUUGAAAUUCAUGCCCUUGGUAUCAAGUUGGAAUAGGAGGCCAUCCAACAUCCGAUUGGAUUAUCUUACAUUUUUCUCAAUUAGUAAGUACUAUUGAUUUCAUCUUUCUUAUAUUUGUUUUUAACUAAAAUAUUAAAAAGUUUAAAAAAUUUGAAUUAAUAUCAAUGGUUUGAUUAUUAGAUGUUGAGGUUUUAUGUUGCUAUAGGAUUUAUUAAGAUUUUGUUUCAGAUCUAUGGUUUGAUUAGGAUCUGGUUAGAAUUAAGAUUUGCUUAGGAUUUGAUUUAAGAUUUAUCUAAAAUUUAUUUAGGAUUUAAAGAUUAAUUAGGGUUUCAUUAGAAUUUAUCCUAGGAUUUGGUUAAGAUUCAAUUAAAAUUUAUAUUAAGAUUUGAUCUAAGAUUUGAUUAAGAAUUAAUUAAAUAGUAGAAUUAGGAUUAUAUUUAUAUUUCUAUUUUAAAUAUUUCUAUAAUAUUCUUUUUAUUUUUUUUGUGAUUUUUUAAAAAUUUAUUUCAAUAAAAUAAAGUUUAAUUGGAUUUUUAAGAAUUAUUUGAAGUUUAUUUAAGGUUCUAUAAGAUAUGUUUAAGGUUAUUUAAGAUAAUUAAUACUCAAACAAGGUUGUGAUAAAUUUUAAAUUAAUAAUAUUUUUUAAUAUUUUAUAUUUAAUAUUAAUUGAAGAAAAUAUCAAAAUUUAUUCUCUUUUGUUUAUGUAAAAGUUAAUUUUUUUAUAAAUAAAUCAAACAAUACCUUGACUUUUGGUCGUGUCAAAAAACUAUAUGAAUUAUUAAAUUUAGGAUUUAUAGUAAAAAAUAUAUUAAUUUUAGGUGAUAAUUUAAAAAUAUUUUUUCCAUUUGAUUUAAGAAUUGAAUACAUAUGUUCAUAUUUUUUAAGUUUAAAUCAUCAAACUAUACUGUAUUUGUUUCAAAACUUAGUUUUUCAUAUGUAGCUCAUAAGAAUUUGUCCAUGUAAUUACUUAUCAAUUUAAAUUCUUCUUACUUAUAAGAUGUUAUUUUAAAACUAAAUAAAUAUAUAUAUAUAUAUAUAUUAAUUAUAAAUAUAAAUAUAAAUAUAUAUAUAUAUAUAUAUAUAUAUAUAUAUGUAUAUAUAUGAUAAUUCUUCAUUACAACUUGAUUAAAUCUAAAUGACUAAAAAAAUAAAAUUAUAUUAGAAGAUUUGUUUAAAAACUUAUUAUUUUAUUUUAUUAACUAUAAAUUUUUUAAAAAUUUUAUCAUGCAUUUUAUAUACUUAAAAACUAAAAUUUGAUUUGAUAUAUUUUUUCAAUUAUAAUAAUCAAAUAAAUCUAAAAAUUAUAUAUUUUUAAAUAUAUUAAGUAUAUUUUUUAAAUUUUUGAUAUAAUAUAAUUAAUAUUUUAUUUUAAAUUUAAAAUAUCAUAUAAUAGAAUAUAAAAUAAAUAUUUUGAAUAUUUAUAAAUUUUUAAUAUAAAAUUUUUAUUUAAUUUGAAUUAAUAGUAGUUGUUGAAAUAUUUCAAAAGAGUUAUUUUUUUAUAAUUUAUAUUUUUAGAAAAAAUAUAGAAAAUAUAUUUUUUAAAUAAUAAUUUUUUUUAUUAAAAUAAAUCAUUUUUGAAGUUCAACUUAAAAAUAAAUAAACCGAUUUUAGUAUACUACUAAAAAAAUUACAUUUUAAAACCAAUUUUGAAUGAAAAAUUUAAUAAAUAAUUAAAAUAUUAAAUUCCUUCAUUAAAAAUUUUAUUAUUUUUAUAAAAUUUUCUAAAAGUUUUUAAAUUAACUAUAUUUAUAAAUUUUAAUAUAAUGAAAUCUUUAUUUUCUAAUUAACAUGUAUUUUUUAUAAUAUAUAAAUAAAAUUUCUAGAUUAUAAGUAAAAUGACUUUGAAAUUUUGUAUUGUUAUAAAGUAUUCCAAAAGUUAUAAUGUGAUUAGUGUUUUUAAGGCUAAAGCAUUAAAAUAUUAUCAAGAUAUAUGUCAAGUUUUUAUUUUUAUUUUUUUUAUAUAUAUAUGUAUAUUUUUUAUGAUAAAAUGAAUAAAUAGUAGAUAGCUAUAUAUAAUCCAUAAAUUUUUUUAUAUAUAAAUAUUAAAAAAAUAGGUACAAAAUCAUAUAUACAAAUAAUUUAAUUUAAAAUAUAGUUUUUCUCACAAAAAUUUAAAACAAUAUACAUAUACAAUUGUAGUUCUAUAAAGCCAAGCAUUGUAGAUCCUAACAAGACUGGUUCUGAAGAUUGGCAUAAAUCUCUUGCCAAUAAAGACCAAUUCAGAGUAUAUCAAAACCUGUCGUUUUCACCUCAUAUUCAACCAGUAAAAUUAUUUGGAGAUAAUAAUAGUCAAUCGGGAAAGCCUGGAAGUCUGAAAAAGUCUUUUGCGGGAGAUAAUUUUUAUUUUAAUAAAAAAUUGAGCGGAACACCAUAAUCUUUAAUGACAUCCGGAGGACCAGCAGUUCCGAUUGUAGUUCAAAUGGGUGCAGUGGGUGAUCGAAUGACUAGCGUCGUGCCAUUACCUACUUUUUGGGAUUUGCUAGGUGCGGAUCCAGAUCAACAUUUGUCUCAAUUCUUGACGGCAUGUGUAGCCAAUAAUAGAAGAAUAAAAGACAUUUGGCUGAGAUGGCUGCCAGCGACAUUGAAAGAUACAGCGUUUGAGUAGUAUAACCGCCAACCUGUGGGACAAUUUAUCAAUUGGGAGGCAUUGAAAAAUACAUUUUUAGCCCAUUUUCGACUAAUUGGUUUUGAAGAACGUCUUAGAAAAAAAUUAAUGAAUAGCAGAAUGGUACCAGGGGAAGCGAUAUAGUCAUAUUGUAGUCAUAUGCAGAUUUAAAAGGGAUUCCAGCUGACGUGUGUGAACACCAGAUUAUUCUGGAGGAGGGUGUUACGCUAGUUCGUCAAAGACAACACCGACUUAACCCAAAAUAUUCCUUUUUAGUGAAAGAGGAAUUGGAUAAACUUCUGGAUGUGGAUUUUAUUUAUCCUAUUCCGCAUAGUACAUGGGUGUGUCAAUCGUGAUGGUGCUGAAAAAGAAUGGAAAAAUCCGAAUUUAUCAAGAUUUCUGGAAACUUAAUGCAGCCACCAAGAAAGAUUACUUCUCAUUACCUUUCAUAGAUAGUAUGGAUAACAUGUUGUUAUUAUCACCACUAGGUAAAAGAAUAGGAGUGGGGCACCAGUUAAAGUCAUUCUGUGGUGUUGUUUUGGAUUGGCUGGAGUGCCAUUUUCUUAUAUUUCUUGUGUUUUCGAGAGUAGUAGUUUCAGUUAAGAGUUGAUAGUGAUGAGCCAGUCACAAGAAAGAAAAUGCAUGGUGGAGACCCACAGGCAAGAACUAUUCUGGGCUCACAGUCAUUCAAUUUUGGAACUAAAAAAAGUGAAGGGUCAGUUGGUAAUAGAAUGAGAAAAGGCCGAGUUAUUGGCACAAGAAAAAUUGGUAUUGAGUGACCAAUACAAAUGUGAAACGGAGUAGUUAAGGGCUGAAAUUGAGGCCUUGAACGCCGAGGUGAUAAGAUUGGCAGAAGUUUUAGUCAAUAUUGGUCAAGCACAAGUAUCAACAUUGCCAGUUCCCGAAGUUCCAGAAGAGAGGAGUCACUUUCAGCGCCAGUUGGAAUUAAGAGAUGCCUAGAUUCUGAAAUUGGAAGCUCAAGUCCGUGAACUGGGCGAGUACAAUGACGACCUUUCAGCUCAGUUGAGGCAGGAGCCAAUGGAAGGAUUGGAGGAGGACGAAGAUUUGCAGUUGGAACCGGAAUCGAUGGAACCAAUAACAGAUAUUGCGGUAAUUAAAUAAUUAGAUAGGCUAGAAGGAUUGCAAUUUUUGUAGAGUUUUGUUAGAUAAUUUUUAGAUAGGUAUCAAUUGAGUGUUUGUGAGGACGCUACACAAUUAGGAGUAAGACUACGUAGAAUAAGUAGUUAUUUUCAGAAUGUAGAUACCUAGUGUAUAGUGUAGACAGGGAUAGAUAAUUGCUGAAAAGAUGGUUCAGUAGGUAGAAUGGAUGAAUAGUCAAAAAAAGUAGUUAUCAUCUGUAGUAUAGGAGUUGGUAUCUUGGGAUAGUAUAAGGAGGAUGGGAGAGGGGAAGAAAAUGCUAGACUGUGAGAGUCGUAAGCUGAGGGCCAGACUGCAAUAGUAUUGAGUUGGGGAUAAGCUUGGUACUAUCUCUUCUUCUUAGUUUUCUUGUUUCUUUUGUGUUAGUAUUGAUUCUAGUGAAGAGAAUCGAUUUAAUGAAUUAAUGUUUGAUUUACGAAGUUAUUUAUGGAUCACUAUUUAUCAAUUGUUGUGAAAGAUUGAGGACGUAUGGAAGUUUCUAGUCACUGUUUAUCGCAAGGUUGUAAGUUUAGUGGAGAGGAAUUGUAAUCAAAGGAAUUAUCUUGAUUAGAUUUUGUGGAUGGGAAGUUGUUUGUUCCAGGGUUUGGGAUAUGUUUGUAUAUUCGCGAAUUACAUAGGAUACUGAAAUCGUUGUCGUGGAUGUUAUUGUAUUCAUAUGAGAGAGUGGACAGUAGGAGGAAAAAUUAAGUGUUCUUCGAUAUGGUAAGCAUUUAGCAGUAGCAGUUAAUUGUGUGACCCUAACAAUUGGAGCUCAUAUAUAUGGUCAUUUCCCAUGUUCGAAUCCCCCUAUAUGAAUUUAUUCUGAGAGGUUUCUUCCGGUGUCAUGUUGUAACACGAGUAUACUGUGAAAAUAUAAAGAAAAAGGACUUUUAUUAAUGUUCAGUUACCUCGAAUAUUGGGAGCAACAACCAAUUCCAGUGCAAAUACUGAGAGGCUAGGUUCAGUCAGCCAUUACAAUCAGCCGAGGCAUACUGAAAUGCUCCAUUCGAUUCCAAUAACGAGAGUCAGCAGGAAGAAAAAGGACCAAUUCAACGACGGGUGAGUCUGGUUCAAAGAGCCAAUUGGAUCCAAUUUCAAGACAUCCAAUCCAGGUCUUACUACGGGUCUCUUAGCCAAUCUGACACGAAGGACCAAUUUGACCCAAUUAUGGAAACAUCCAAGUCUUACUACGGGCCUCUUACCCAAUCUGAGACUUGAAUUGGUCGGGUGACUCAAUGUGGUUCCGAUUACGGGGCUCCGAUUUUGUUUCAGGCUGUUUUGUCCUUUGUGCCAUUCCGGGAACGUCCUUUCAGUAAAAGGAUCUUUUAAAGGUAAAAACAAAGGAGAAAGCUCUGACGGCGGAGCCAAUUCCAGAUCCAAGACGGAAGAUUGAAGAAAUUCAGAGACUAGGGUUUGAAAGAGGGGAGAAUUAGAAUUAAAGGGGAGGAUAGGUUAAGAAAUGAAAGAGAGAGAAUAAGUUUUUUUUGGAGAAGGAUCAGGGGACUAGCUUCAUGCUUCAGAGCGAGGAAUAAAGACAGAGAAUUGGGAUUUUUUUUUUCUUCAUAGGGUUUUGGGAAGAUUGAGGCAAUCGUCUCUGAAGUCAAUGUUGUACUGAUGAAACGAGAUUUUUAAUGAAGUGGGUGUGAUUACUCUUGACUAUUUUGUGAAAUCAAAGUUACGUUUGUGAUUGAAGAAUUAAAAAGGUGUCUUUAGAAUUGAGUAUGCGGAGUGAAUGAAAAUUUUUGGGUUAAUCUAACAAGACAGUCGGUGGAUACAAGGUCGUGAGUAUAAAGCGGUAUUGGAGAUUAGGAGAUUGGGUUAUUUGAGAUUCUCUGUAACAUCUAGAGACCUACCGGCUGGGGUAAAAAGGGUUUCGGCGAGCAGUCGAAGGACAUCCGUAUAGAUUUACGGUAUAUUCUUGCAGUUGUUUAUAUUUCAACAGUCAAAAACCGAUAGACUGCUUGAAUAUUAGCGAAUCUCCAUACUACCUUCUACAGCCAGACGCCCGACGCAUUCUCGAGCAAGAAAGCACGUAAUACAACAUCGAAAUAAGUAAAAUGAGUAAUCAUUUAUAUAUAUAUAUAUAUAUAUAUAUAUAUAUAUAUAUAUAUAUUAUCUAAUUAAUAACCUUGAUAGAUGAUAGUUUUAUAAAAUUAUAUAAGAUUUUAUUAUUUAUAUAGGAUUUCAUAAUUUUACUAUUUUAGUUUCUUAUAAAUUGUCAUUUUUAAGCUUCAAGCUAAUUUCAACUUUAUGAAAGUAUUGUAUAAUUGUUGAUUUGGUAGUUUAAGCUCCCAUUAUACAAUUUCAAGAUAUGAGCUUGAAUAAUAGACAUACAUAUUUAUCCUAAUAAUAACCUAAAUAAUAUGAAUAGAUAGAAAUAAAUAAAAUAAAAUUAAUUUUAUAAUAUCUUCAAAAAAAAGCUUCUUCAAAGCUUCUAGAUGUAGUUUCAUCUUUAUACAUGUUUAUAGGUGAUUGAUAGUUUAGAAACUUGGCCAAUAAUUAGCCACAUGUGGCAUGUACUAAUAGCUUGUUGUACAAACUAAUGAUAUGGUGCACAUAUAGGAAACUUGUCUUGUAAGUGUAGAUAUGUGUCUUGUAAAUUAGAUGCAUGUUAGAGGUCCUAUAGAAUAUUGUCAUGUAGCUUUUAAAUAGGUUAUAUAUAUAUAGGCAAGAAUUAAGCUUAUUUUUUAUUAUUAUCAUUCUUAUCAAUUCUUUUCUUAUUUUUGUCUAAUUUCAAGAGUCUAUUUUUUUGUCUUUUAGCAAUAGCAAUUUUAAUUUUUUUAAUGUAUAUAGUAUCUUUCUUUAAAAAAAAACUUACUUAUUUAUUUGCCUUCAUUGAGUUUUUGUUUUUGUUAAAUUGACAAAAACAUACUUAUAAUAUCAAAGAUUUGUUUCUUCUUAAUUAAGAAUGGAUCAUUCUUUUUUCUUAAUAAAAUAUAAGUGUAUUAGAAGUUACAGAUUACUAAAUUCUAAAGUGAUAUUAUUCAUAGAAUUUCUUUUACUUUCUAGUCUUCUUUUCUAUUUUUCUUGAGAGAUAUUUUACAUCUUAUUUUUUAUUGAGAAAUUAAGACAAGAUUCAUUGAAAUAAAGAAUGUAAUAGUACAAAUAUAAGAGCAAUUGAGAGACUUAAUCCUUGCUAUGCAUCAAUUUAACUUACUACCUCAAGAAACAAUAAAAUUGGGAAGUAGUAAAGAUAUAAAGAUGAUUGAAGCUGCUUCAAUAUCUACACCAAAUUAUGUUAUUCUUCCUAUAGUAGAAUACUAUUCAAAUAUUAUAGAAACAAUAAUUGUAUUUCUUAAGAAUUUUGAUGGCAUAAAUUUAAAACUUUAAAGAUUCAUCAAUCAUUAAACUUCAAUCCUAAAGCUAUUCAACUCCAAGAUCAUAAGUCACAUUUAUUUGUACACUUCUUUCCAAUUCUAUAUUAUCAUAGUGUUUAUAUUUUUUUAAAUAAUAUGAUCUAAUAUUGAAUAAUUUAAUAGCUUUUUUGACUAAGUUUUAAUCUAUAUAUAGAAAAUAUUAUAUAAUUUAUAUUAUAAUAAAUAAGAUUUAUAUUUUAAUAUAAGGCAAUUGUUUCGUAAUGUUGUAUGCUUCACAAUUUUAUAAUUUGUAAUUAAUAUCAGAUAGGAUGAUGCUACACUAAUUAAUCAAUUUUUAUAUAGAUUAUAAUAUGAGAUAAAAAAAUUAAUGCUCAAUUUAUUGAACUUUCAAACAUUAAAUCAAGCAAUUGAUUUUGAUAUAUAAUAUGACAAUCAACUUUUUGAAUUUCAAUCUAAGAAUCUUACAAGUAAAUCUCAAUGUUAUUUCAAUUCAAUGGCAAUAUCAAUAUCUUUCAAGACAUACAUUCACAUGUAGAAGAUAUGUAAAUUGAUAUAGUACAUUUCAAAUUUCUCAUUGAGCAAGAAAAGACCUAUUAUUGUCAAAAAAGAUUAUACUUAUAUUGAAGAGAACCUAAUCAAAGUGCUUAACAUUAUUCAAAGAAAUGACAUAAUUACAAAAUGAAGAGUAUGGUUGUCAAAGAAGAUAGUAUGUCAAAAAAUGAAUUUGUUCAACUAUUAUAGGGACUAUGCAAUUGAAAUCUUAUACAAUACUUAAUGAAGAUUCUAUUCUUUUCUCAAAAUCAUCUCUUUGUUUUAUAAUAGAUAUUAGAUUAAGACUCAAAUAUCAUAGAACCUCUAUUUUUUAGAUUCAAAAACAUCACUUUAUUUUUUAGAAAAAUACUAUUAAAAGAUACAAUAUACCUUUAGUAAAGAAAACUAAACUUGUUCAUGUAGAAGUUAUAGAUGGUUGUCUGUUAUCUCUUGGAGAUAUUAUUCAUGAAACCUUUUCUAUAGAAGUAGCAAUUAAUAGUCAUAGUAGCUUUAUAAUAUUUAAUAUCAUUAGAUCUUCUUAUAAUCUAAUUAUUUUAGAUUUAUUAUAGCUAAAAAAAUAACCCUCAAAUAAAUUGAAUAUCUUAUAUUGACUUUUUUAAAAGUAUAAAUAAGAAUAUUGUUAAUGAAGUAAAAAUUUAUAAGUCUAUUACAACCAAAUUUAUAUGUAUAGAUGUAAAAAUUUAUUUGCAUAUUUUUAAAAAAUGAUCUUCUUAUGUUAUUUAUGCCAUAUUUAUUUUUAAUAAUAAAAAGACUUCAAGUAGAAUUUCAAGCCAAUAUUACGACUUUUAAAAGUUUUUUGAAAAAAAAAAUAUAGAUAUUCUUUUAGAACAUUGUUUCUAUUACUGCUCAAUUGACUUUUUAGAGAGAGCUCAAUUGCUAUUUGGAUCAAUCUAAAAUUUAUCAUAAAAUAAGUUGAUUAAAUUUAAGGUAUAUAUUAAAGAGAAUUUUAUCAAGAAUGUUAUAUGCCAUUCCAAAUCUCCAGUAGGAGCUCCAAUCUCAUUUAUAAAAAAAAAGAUACACCAUUGCAAAUAUGUAUUGAUUAUCAAGGAUUCAAUAAGAUCACCAUCAUCAAUAGAUACCUUCUACUUUUGAUAUCUAGACUUUUUGAUUAAUUGAAUUAAGCUAAGAUCUUUACAAAAAUAAAUUUUUAAAGAACAUACAAUUUGGUAUGCAUAAAAAAAAAAGAUCAAUAAAAGACUAUAUUGCAAACUAAGCAUCGACAUUUAAAAUACAAUGUCAUGCCUUUUAGACUUAUAAAUGCACCAAUAGCUUUUCAACAUCUAAUAAAUAAUGUCUUUUAAAAGUUAUUGGAUAAUUUUAUUAUCUAUUAUAAUCUAUUUUUUAAAAAAUAAAAUAAAAAUAUAUAAACUUAUUACAAAAAUCCAAUUCACCAAUACAAACACUAACUUUGAGCAAUGAUUGCAAAGUCCUUCCAAAUCCUAUAAAAUCCAAUUCUAUACCUUUCGAAGGAACUUGAAGCUUGCUCUCCGACCUCAAAAUCCAAAUCUCCAAAUGCCCUCUUUCUUUUCCUCUCUUUUCCUUUAACUCCGUGACGUCCCCUAUUCUUCUAUCCUGCACUCCGAAUUGGAACAGCAGAUCCGCUUCCAUGGAAUUCUUAUCUCUAAAAGGUUCUUUCUCCGGAAAGAACGUUUCUCCAAAAUGGCAUAGAAAAUAGAACAGCUUGAAAUAGAACUGAAGCCUCUGUAUUCGGGACGUCAUUGGGUUGCCCAACCAAGUCAAGUCUCAUACUAGAUAAGAGGCCUGUAAUAGGACCUGGAUUGGAUGCCCCCGUAAUUGGAUCAAAUUGGCCCUUCACAUUAGACUCAUUCAAAUAUUGAAUUAGUCCUUUUUCUUUUUUGUCGACUCUUAAUAAGAACGGCUCGGACUCAUUCCACCCAAUUCAUUGGAGAAUCUUGAGGACCUCGAUUUAUGUCUUCAAUUUUUCCUUGGCUUUAGAUUUGCUGAUUUUGAUUAUUAAAAUUAAUCGGAGCAUUACAUUGUUGAUAAGUAUGCCUCGACUACUUGCUAUUUCCACACACUAGCGCGUAAUUAUCACUGGCUCUGGGUUUGGGACAUUCACUAGCAUAAUGACCAAUCUAUCUACAAUGAAAACAAUGAAGUGGUCUUCUUGCACUUCCAUCAGGCAUAUUGGGUGUCUCCACUAAUAUAUACCUACUAGGCUUGUUCUAUAUAGGAUUAGAAAAUGAUCUUGGUCAUCUCAUUGGAAUAGAGAGUACUUGAUUUGAUGACAUCGAUGGAGCAUACGUUGUUGUCAUGUUUGGUGGUACAGCUUGCAAUGGAGUGUGAUUAACUGGCCCUUGAAUAUUGGCAUUGAAAUUGGCCAUUGUUUCUAACAUCCAAGAUGACUAAAUAUUAAUAAAUCUUUUCUAUUUAUAUUUUCACUAUAUAGUCGUGUUACUACAUGACAAUAGUUAUUUAAUAUAUAAAAAUCAGGAUGGGUUUUUAUUUUUUGGGGGGAGAGGUGAAAAAUAGAUAGUGUGGAUAACAUAUUGUCAUUAUCACGAGGUAGUAAAAGAAUAGGAGAGGGGCACCAGUUAGAGGUCAUUUUGUGGUGUUGUUAUGGUCACAAGUGUCAAUUGAAGAUGUUCUAGAAUAGAUGAGUUAGUAGCAACAUCAAUUGGAACUUUGGGAUGUCCAGAUCUUAAAACUGGAAGCUCAAGUCCAUGAAUUGGGAGAGUAUAAUGAAGAUCUAUCAAACCAGUUGAGAAAGAAGUCGAUGGAAGGACUGGAGGAGGAAGAAGAUUUGCAAUUGGAACCAAAUUUGAUAGAAAUUACAUUCGAUAAUAUAACAAAUGAUUAAUUGGGUGGGUUAGAUGAAGUAGUAACUUUGUAGAGUUUUGUUAAGUAGUUUUUAGAUAAAAAUCAAUUGUGUGUUUGCAAGGACACUGCACGGAUAAGAAUGGGGCUAUGUAGAAUAGAUAUUAAUUCAUUUUUGUAAGAUAUUGAUAAAAUAGACUAAUAGUCCAUAGAAUAGUCAGUUUAGGAGGAUUAAUGAUUGAUUUAGUUAUUAAAAGUGGUUAAUUACAGAAUUACGAUUAGAAUCUCGAAAUCAGGAGGAAUUAUAUAGGAGUUGUAGAAGUUUGUUGAGAUGCCAGACUGUAAUAGUUAUGAGCUAGGAUAAGCUUGGUGCUACUUCUUUGUCUCUUUUUGUUUCUUUAUUGUUGAAGAGUAAUAGAUAGUUUUUGAAUACUGAGAAGUGAGUUUGUAGAAUAAAUCAAGGAUUGAUUUAUGAGUUAUUGAUUAUGUAAUUAGAGUAUUCUGUGAUUGAAUUAUAUGAAAAGUUAUUAGAAGUUUGAUUAUGGAUGAAAGAUUAUGAUUGUUGAUUAUUGAGAGUUGUGUGUAUGUUUCAAUAGAAGAAGUCUGUGAUUACAGAAAUUUUGUGAAUCUAGAUUGGUUGAAGUGAAGUCUAUUAUUUCUCAUGUAGGAUGGAAUUUAUGAGUUUUGAGGAGUCUUUUAAGAGUGUAGGGUUGCACAUUGUGGUUAUCAGUUGAUGAAGGAGUAUUGUUAUUGGAAGAAAGCAUUAUAGUAUUUCUAGGUGUUUUAGUGGUUCAGAAUACAGUUAAUUGUGUGAUCCUAACAAGUAAAACUCAUCUACUUAAUCUUUCCCUGUGUUUGAAUUCUCCUAUACAGGUUCAUUCUGAAAAAAAUUGUAGAAUAAAUAAAACGACAAUCACAUUUUGGUGCCAGUGCUUCGAAUAGACAAUAGCAUUGAGUGUUAGGAAUUAACUGCCGGUUUAAUUAGAUAGGAGAUAGGAAGCAAAUUCACUAGAAUAUACUAAAAGAAUAUGGUUAUUAAGAAUGAAAACUUAACAGUAAAGAGAAUACGGUAGUCGAAAGAAAGAAUAGAGAGAUUGUAAGUAAGAAAUUUGUUGUGUAACAAGCAAGAAUGGAAGUUAAAAAGGAAUCAUUGAUAAAGUUGGAUUAAACCAUGGUUGCAUACCUGUCGGCAUAUUUGAAUAUACCCAGAAGCUGAUUGACAUCAAAUAUUAUAAAAGUAUAUAUCGUUAGAGAAAUUCCUAAGAGCACUCGUAAAAAAUUUGGUCAAUAGACAAGUGUUUCCCUUGAGGCCGUUAACUGCAAGUAGGGAAAUCAUAAAAGAAUUAAGUACUCCAUUGGAUACGUUUCGAAUAACAAAAAUUUCUAAUUCUAUCAAAACUAGUUCAGUAGAGUGGCAUAAAUUAUUGGUCAAUAAGGGCCAAUUUAGUGUAUUUCAAAAUCUAUUAUUUUUACCCCCAAUUCAAUCGACUAACUUAAUAAGGGACAAUAAUAGUAAAUUAAGAAAAAUUAAAAAUUCAGAACAAUCAAUUGAGGAAGGCGUCAGUUGUUUUGAUAAAAGAUUAAGUGAAAUAUUAUUUUCUUCAAUGACGAAGGAUAGUCUAGCAGUCCCAAUAGUAGUACAAAUGGGUGACAUGAGCGAUUGCACAAUGAGUGUGGCUCUAUUACCUAUUUUUAGGGAUUUUUUGGAUAUGGAUCUCGAUCAAUAUUUAUCUCAAUUUCUGAUAGCAUGUAUAGCUAAUAAUGGAAGAAGUGAAGAUAUGUGGUUACGAUGGUUGCCACCAACCUUAAAGGACAUGACAUUUGAAUGGUACAACUGUCAAUCAGUAGAUCAAUUUUUCAAUUCGAAAGCAUUGAAGAAUGCACUUUUAAUCCAUUUUCGUCCAAUUGGUUUUGAGGAUCGACUUCGAGAAAGAUUAAUGACUACCAAAAUGGAUCUAAGAGAGGCAGUGGAAUCAUACUAUGGUCAUGUGGCAGAUAUACUCCGCAAGUAGCUAAAUCACCAAAUAUCAAAGGCUUUUGUAUUGUCCAUAUUAAUCAAUGGAUUGCACCAUUCCAAACUAAAAAUAUUUUUAAAAGAAGCUCAAUUAAAUAUGAUAACUCUAUCUCUUAAUAGAGCCAAGGUUUGGAAAGAAUGCCAUUAUAAUCAAUUUUUAACUAUGGGUGCCACGAUGAUUCCAGUUCAAGGCGACUAUCAAAAUUUGACUUAGAAUGGAUCAGUGGAUAGUUACCUAUGGAUGUUAGAAACAAUGGCCAAUUCCAAUGCCAUUAUUCAGGGACCAGUUAAUGUCAAUUCAUUACAAGCUAUACCACCGAACGUAAUAAUAGCGUAUGCUCCAUAUUUUUUGUAUCAACAACAAGUGUUAACUAUGACAGAGUUAUCAUUAAUACCAGUUCCAAAAGAUUCCAAUGGAACCUUGUUAUUGAACUUAACGAAGAAAAUGGAAGAAAUGGCCGUUAAUAUGGUCAAAGAUAAGGAGAAGAAGCACAAGCCUACCAAUACUAGGACCAAUGUAUGGUGCAGUAAUUGUAAGGGCUAUGGUCAUUUGGUAACAAAAUGCCCUUUAUCCUCACAAAUGAUGACUCAAUAUACAUUUUGUGGAGGAAAGCACUUAAUAGCUAAUUGUUAGAAUUGACAAAGUCAACAACAAUUGAGUAAUCAGACCAUGAUCCCAUUGACUCAGUAGAAAGUCAAUCAAGUUUAAAUGAGAAAUACGUAUAGAUGGAAUAGAAAUCGAUCUAAUCGACAAAAUUGAACAUUCAAUAACUUUCAAAGUUCCAAUUUUAAUUAGGGGUUUGUAUCAAAUCCCCAGAACUAUGGGAAAGAGCAGUAGAGGUAUGAGCAAUAUGCUCCACCGGUGUCAUCAAACCAAGUACCCUUCAUAUCAAUGGGACAACCAAGAUCAUUUUCUAACCCUGUAUGGAACAAGCCUAAUAGGUAUAUAUCAGUGGAGAUACCAAAUAUGCCUGAUGGAGGUGUAAGAAGACCACUUUGUUGUUUUUGUUGCAGAUAGAUUGGUCAUUAUGCCAAUGAAUGUCCCAAUCCCAGAGCCAAUGAUGAUUUUACGCUAGUGUGUCAAAAUUACAAGCAGUCGGGGCAUACUUAUCAGUAAUAUAAUGCUCCAUUCAAUUUCAAUAAUUGGGAUCAAUAGAUCCAAAAUCAAGGACAAAUGGAGGAGAUAAAUCAAGGUCCUCAAGAUUCUCCUGUAAAUUGGUUAGAAUGUGUCUAAGCUGUUCUUAUCAAGAGUCAGCAAAAGGAAAAAGGAUUAAUUCAACAUUUAGGUGAACCUGAUGCAAAGGGCCAAUUUGACCCAAUUAUAGGAAUAUUCAAUCCAGGUCUUGUUACGGGCCUCUUAUCGAGUAUGAGACUUGAGUCGGUUGGGCAAUCCAAUGAGGUCCUGAUUACGAAGGCUUUGGUUCCAUUUCAAGCUGUUCCAUUCUCUACGUAGUUUCGAGAAACAUCCUAUCCGUUGAAAGAUCCUCUCGGGGACACAAAUUUUAAAGAAGCUCUGGCUAUUGUUCCAAUUCCAAGUCUAGGAUGGAAGAAUAUCUUACCUCUCGGAGUUAAAUUCAAUCCAAUGAAAAGAAAGAAGGCAUUGGAAAUUACCUUAAAUAUGGAACCCAAUGAUAUUUUGAAGGAUCUGGAUACUAUUUGGCCUUCUAUUUCUAUGAAGCAAUUUCUAACGAUCGCACUAGAGUACCAUUCUACAUUGAAUUCAUCGUUAACAUGACAUAGGCAAUACAAUAAGGAAGUUUGUGAAGUAAAUUCAAAUCCUGAUCUAGGUGCACCAACCAUCGAUGUUUUAAUUGACGGUGUUAUCAUCUCGGGUGUUCAAGUCGAUGGUAGUUCCAGCAUCAAUUUAAUGAACGUUGAUACAGUGGAUGCUUUAGAUUUGAAACACUUAGUACCGACAAUAUUGGUAUUAAAGACGGCAGAUCAUAGCCGAAUUAAACCAAUGGAUAUUUUACGGAGUGUUCAGACUAUAAUUAUCGGUAUUGGAUAUAAAAUCGACUACAUUAUCUUUCGAUUACAACAUUCGACUUUAUCAUAUCUAAUUUUAUUGGAACGACCUUGGCUCUAUCAAAUAAAAGCCAAGAACGAUUGGGGUUGGGGUACUUUGACAAUUGACAAAGACAAAGAUAAAAUGGUGUUACAAAUGUACCCAGUAUACUAUCACGGGGAGUCUCAAUUGCCAACAUCUGAAUUGAUAUCGGACGAUGAACUUAGCUCUAAUGAUGAUGUAGUAACACCGAUCACGGAGGCAUUUAUGGAAGCAGCCCAACACCUUAGAGUGGUGUACUAAUGUGGUGGUCUGGGAGAGUACUUGAUAUACCCGUCGGAUUCGAAAAUAUCUGCUAAAGUUACUAUUGAUUAAAUGAUCAAGUAUGAUGUGUACCAUAUGAAUGCCUUGGAUAUAAGAUUCAGUACUUCGUACAUGUCAGACUUACUGAUUGAUUUGAAAUCUGCACUGGAGUUGAAACAAAAUAUCACCGCUAUAUCUUUAUGUCAAAUUAUCAACUUGGCGACCACAACAGAGUCUCGGACCAUUAAGGUCUAUGAAGGUAUUAAAGGCUAGAAGUUGACCUGCUAGACAGAAUUUUUCUUGCAUCAUAAAUCCGCUUUUGCUUGAACUUAUGAUGAUCUAAAAGGUAUCCCUGCUGAAGUUUGUCAGCAUCAUAUCAUUUCAGACGAGAAUGCUAAACCGAUACGAUAGAGGCAACAUCGCCUUAAUCUUAAAUAUUCUCUCAUAGUGAAGGAAGAAUUAGAAAAGCUUCUUGCAUUGGUUUUAUUUAUCCGAUACCGAAUAGUAAGUGGAUUUCUCCAAUCGUAAUGGUACCAAAAAAGAACGGAAAAAAUUGAAUUUAUUAGGAUUUUCAGAAAUUUAAUGUGGCUACCAAGAAAGAUUACUUCUUAUUACUUUUCACAGAUAAUAUAUUGGACGCUGUCGUACUGUAAUUACAUACAAUAUGUAAAAAUUAGUGAAAACAUGUAAUAUGUUUAUAAGUCUUAAUGUGAGUUAGAAUAGUUAGUAUGUUAAUUUAAAAUGAAUUGAAAUAAGAAAAAUUAUUUGGAAGUUAAUCUAGUUUGAUUAUAGAGUUUAUAUUAUAUAGGAUUUAGAUAGUUAGUAUAAAGAUUAAGGGAAGGGAGGAGUUAAAAGAUGAAAAUAUAACUAGAAGGAGGCUUAUUGGGAAGGAUGAAAGUAAGGCAUGGUUGGAUGAAGGCAAGGGGUGAAGAACUUCAUCCCUAUUGGUCGAAUACCAUGCCCAAUGGGCUUUGAGGAGGCUGCCCGAGGCCAUAUUAGGAAUUAGGGUUCCUCUUUCGAGGCCAUUCGAGCUUUUGAGGCUAGGGUCAGAAGGUUUAGGAUUUUGGGUAUAAUUUGGGUGAAGAUUUUGUGUAAUUUCGAGUUUUUAUGGAAAAGAUAUGAAUGUUAAAAAAUAAGGUGUCAAUUUCGUACCUACUGUCACUUCUUUUGGGCAUCACAUACGAAUACGGAGAGCAACGGAAGAUCGGCGACUGGAUUUAGAGGGAGCAUUUUCUCGGCUACACAUUCUACUUACUGUAUAGUGAAUUCUAAGAUUGGGUGAAGGAGUUAUGAGGCGUUGAAGACAGCACUUGUAAUUUGAAGGCAGUAAGUAUAUCGUUUUGUUACUAGUUAUGGGUGAAGUCAUAUCUUGAUUUCUGGACGAAUUUUUGCCUCAAAAUUUCUAUAAAUGUGUGUAAUUGGGUUAAGAAGCUUUAGAUCAAAGUUUCAUAGUAUUUGAAUAAUUACUUUGUGAGAUAUGAAGGAAGUUGUACACGGGUGUAAAAAAGCUAGGGUUUGAAGCUACAGUUAGGGUUUUCAAGAUAUCACAAGAUCCAAGACGAAUUUACGGUUGAAUUUUGGUGUGGUAGUUGCUAAAGAUAUAUCAGUAUUCCAUGUAAAAUUUGGAGUUGUUUAGACGGUUAGAUCGUAAGUUAUGAGCUGUUGAACUUCGGGAAAAAUUCCUCAUAAGGAUAUAUAAGUUUUUUAUGACACCUUAUCAAGUAUUUUGGUGUUCUUUGGAUUUUAAGGCUUGUAUAUUGAUUUAAUUGCUCCAAAGGAGAGGAGUUUAUAUAUAUAAAAUUGUUACCCUUAUAUUUCAAACUUGAUUGAGUAUUUAGUGACAGCCAGAAGCCCAGCACUUUCUUGAGGCAAACUCUCUCUAUCCCGACAACGCUAUAGUAAGUCACAAAUGUUAUUUGUUCCUUGAUGGAUUUUCUAGGUAUAAUCAAGUUCAAAUUACAACGGAAGACUAGCUCAAGAUAACCUUUACUACGGAUUGGGGCAUAUUUGCUUAUCGCGUGAUACCUUUUGGAUUAUGCAAUGCCUCAGCCACAUUUCAGAGAGUGAUGACUCAAGCUUUCCAAGACUAUCUCCAGAUGUUUAUAGAGAUCUUUUUAGAUGACUUUUGUGCAUUCAAUACAAAACAAGUUCAUCUUAAUUGUUUGGACAAAUGUUUGGCUUGGUGUGUUAAAUUUGGAAUCUUGGAGAAGUGUUAAUUUCGUGUUCCGUCCACAAAAUUAUUGGGACAUAUCGUCUCCAACCAUGGUAUUGCUACGGAUCCUAACGAAGUACAGCAUAUAAUGAACUUGUCCAAACCAGAGACGGUCUUCGGUGUUCGAGGGUUUGUCGGCCAUGUCACUUAUUAUCGCCAUUUUAUUCAUUUAUUUGCAGUUAUUUGUCAACCUUUAAUGAACUUAUUGAAGAAACCUCCAUCAGAUGGAUCUAGUCCCCUCUAGACCCUGGAGUGUACCAUGACCUUUGAGGCAUUAAAGUCAAAAUUGGUCUCUGCACCAAUAUUGGUGGUACCUCGUUGGACAGAGCAUUUCCAUGUUUACAUUGAUGCAUCCAAUGUGGCUAUUAGAUCGGUGCUAAGUCAGAAGGAUGUUUUCUGAUAUAUACCAAUUUGUUUGUUGUUAUGAUCCCUGUCAACAAAUUGGUCAACCCCCGGGAACUUCAGCUAUGCCGUUAAUACCAAUCUUGGCUCAAGUACCAUUUGAAAAAUGGGGUAUUGAUUUUGUUGGUCCCAUCAAUACCCCAUUUUUCAAAUGGUACUUGAGCCAACGUCAAAACUUGGCCAAAAGCAAUAUAUUUUAGUUGCCAUAGGCUAUGUAACAAAAUGGGCAGAGGCUAUUGCUACCCGCCAUGAUAAUAUCAAUACGAUGGCCACUUUUCUUUACGAGAAUAUUAUAACUCGAUUUGGGUGUCCGAAAGAAUUGGUUAGUGAUCGUGACAUCUAUUUCAUAAAUGCUACCAUAAAUGCCUUAACGAACAUAUAUGAGAUUAAGCAUUGAAAAACUAUUUCAUAUCAUCCUCGCACAAAUGGACUAAUCGAAAAGACCAACGGAAUUUUGUGCAAGGUCUUGACUAAGAUAAUUUCGGAGAUGGAUACCGAUUAGCAGAUCAAAUUCUUUGCAGGCGUAUCAUAUCACAUAUAAAGUAACUAACUACUAAUACUACUCCGUUCCAACUAGUUUAUAGACAAGACAUAAUUUUACAUAUUGAGUUGGAGGUUCAAAGUUUACGGAUGGCCUUAGAUGAAUGUCUCAAUGACAACGAGUCAUUAUACUCUCGAUUGGCAAAAUUAGACAAAUUGGAUGAAAUAUGGGCUAUAGCUCUUUUUUACAUGGAAACAACUCAAAAACGGAGGAAGAGUUACUAUGAUAGUAAACUGCAUCCAAAGAUUUUUAAGCCCAAUGAUUUGGUAUUACUGUAUGAUAGCCGAUUUAAUCAUUUUCUGACCAAAUUUCAAGUUUGUUGGCAUGGGUCGUAUCGAGUGAUUGAAAGUUUAUUCAAUGAGUUUGUUCAACACGAUGAUUUUAUGGGCCAUCAAUUCAGUACUUCUAUUAAUGGAAAUCGAUUAUGGUAUCAUAUUAUGUGCUAUCUAGCUUGAAAAUGCACCGAGCAUCUGGUUAUGGAAGAUAAAAUAAUGUUUUGUAAGUAUCCAAUUAGUCUAGUGGGUUUCAACCAUCUACACACAAACUAUUUUGGAUUUCAAUGUAAAAGCUUAAUCCCAAUUCAAAGUGCUUAGAACACUAUUUUUAAUAGUUUUUGGAUAUUGUAAGCACAAAUUCUUUUGUUAUUUGUUAUUUUUAUUUUUAUUUCAUUUAUUUUAUUGAUUAUUUUUAUUUUUUUAUUUUUUUAUUUUUUUUAUUUUUUUAUUUUAUUUUUUUAUUUUUUUAUUUUUUUUAUUUUUUUAUUUUAUUUUUUUAUUUUUUUAUUUUUUUAAACCCUAAUCCUAAACAACAAGCUUCGACAAACUGUAAUUUUCAAUCUGACUAUCCGAUUGUUGUGAGACUUCUACCACUAGUAUCUUUACAAGUCUUCUAAAUGCUCUAGAAGUUCAAUCCAAUCCAACUUACAGAUUGCAAGAAAACAUUAUAAAUCCAUGCUAAAGUCCCUUGACUGCCGCCUAGAAGGUUGAUGACAAACUUCAAGUUACAAUUUUUCCUUCUUUGACUAUUAAUUCUCAUUCAAACUUUGUCUGUAGCUCCGCUUUCAAGUCCUAGGGUAACCGCGUCAAAAUUCACUAUAUUCCAGCUGAUAGAUCUCAGAUAUUACAAAAAAUCCAAACAACUCCAAUAUGCCAACUUCUAAUACCUCUUUACACUAAUGAUCAAAUAUCCUCUAUCCAUACCAUAAGAUUAAUACAAAUUUUUGCAUGCACUUGAUAUACUCAACCAUGUAAACACCUCUAAAAUUUCAAGCACAGAUGUUUCUCCAAUUUCACAAAACAGUCAAGAGUACUAGCCUUUAAUUUAUUGCAAAAAUCCAAUUCACCAAUACAAACACUAACUUUGAGCAACGAUUGCAAAGUCCUCUCAAACCCUAUGAAAUCUAAUUCUAUACCUUUCCAAAGAGCUUGAAGCUAGCUCUCUGACCCCAAAAUCUCGAUCUCCGAAUGCCCUCUUCUUUUUCCUCUCUUUUCCUUUAACUCCGUGAGGUCCCCUAUUCUUCUGCCCUAGACUCCGAAUUGGAACAACAGACCCGCUUCCAUGGAAUUCUUGCCUCUAAGAGGAUCUUUCUACAGAAAGGACGUUUCCCUGAAAUAGCAUAGAGAAUGGAACAACUUGAAAUGGAAUCGAAGCCUUCGUAUUCAUGACCUCAUUGGAUUACCUAACCAAGUCAAAUCUCAUACUGGAUAAGAAGCCCAUAACAAGACCUGGAUUGGAUGCCCUCAUAAUUGGGUCAAAUUAGCCCUUCACAUCAGACUCACCUAAAUAUUGAAUUGGUCAUUUCUUCUUUUUUCAACUCCUGGUAAGAACAGCUCGGACUCAUUCCAUCCGAUUCACCAGAGAAUCUUGAAGACCUCGAUUUAUCUCCUCAAUUUUUCCUUGGCUUUGGAUUUGCUGAUCCGGAUUAUUGAAAUUCAACGGAGCAUUAUAUUACUGAUAGUUAUGCCCCGAGUGCUUGCUAUUCCUUUACACUGGCAGGUAAUUGUGUGUGGCUCUGGGAUUGAGACAUUCACUAACAUAAUGAUCAAUCUGUCUGCAAUGGAAACAACAAAGUGGUCUGCUUGUACCUCCAUCAGGCAUAUUGGGUGUCUCUACUGAUAUAUAUCUACUAGGCUUGUUCUAUGUAGGAUUAAAAAAUGAUCUUGGUCGUCCUAUUGAUACAGAGAGUACUUGAUUCGAUGACGUCGAUGGAGCAUACACUGUUGUCACGUUUGGUGGUACAGCUUGCAAUGGAGUGUCAUUAAUUGGCCCCUAAAUAUUGGCAUUGGAAUUGGCCAUUGUUUCUAACAUCCAAGAUGAUUAAAUAUUAAUAAAUCUUUUUCAUUUAUAUUUUCACCAUAUAGUCAUGUUAUAACAUGACAUCCAUCUCCUCUGAACCUAUGCAUCCUCUAGUAUGCAACAAAUAACUUAGUUGUUGUUUGAUUUAUAAUAUGUUCUUCAAGUCUUCGUUCAAAUCCUCUUCAUCACUUUUACUAUCCAAGUCAAAUUCAACUUCCUAUUGAGGAAUAUCUAGGUCUUGACCUAGAUCUUCUAUAUUUAUUUUUGUGUAUCUUUGUUUAAAUAUUUUUACUCGCUUCCCUGCAAUUGAUAUUUUUAACCUUGUUCCAUUUAAUUCCUGCUAUGAGUAAGUUGCAUUAUCAUGAACAGUUGUUACCACAUACGGUCUAAUCCAUCGCUUAGAAAACUUCCUUAAAGUACUAUGUUGAUUGUCCAAGCUACUAUCAUAGACCAAAAUCCAAUCACCUUCUUCAAUUGUUUUAGGCCUCAAUUGAUGCUUCUUAUCAAAUCGUGCCUUAUUUUGUAACCUUGUUCUUUUUAACCUUUCUAAUGCUAUUUGCACAUCUUUUGAUCUUUUUUCUAAUUCUUAAAUUCUAAUAACUAGAAGUUCUUCUCUUGUCAAUCCAUCUUCCCAUGGUAGCACACUCCAAGUAGGUACUUUUUCUUCAAUUGGCAUAAUUGGUUUUUGACCUGUCAUAAGCUCAAUAGGCAUAUAUUUCAUUACUGAGCUAUGAGUUGUUCAAUCAAUCUAUAAUGUAAAUGAUAAAAGUCGUGGCCAUUUUUUUAUCCUUUCCAUUACAAGCUUUAACUAAUACUUUCACAAUCGGUGGGUGACCACACUCACUUUUUACAUUUCCUUUAAGAUUAUAAAUAUUAGUCAGUGAUAGUUUAAUUCCACAUCUUUGAAAGAAUUCACAAGCUUCUUGUGCAUUUAAUUCUCCAUGAUUUGCAGUGAUUUUUUCUACACAUCCGUAGCGGCAAAUAACAUCUUGAAGCAAAAAUCUACAAAUUCCUUUUGUAGAUUUUGUUUUCAAUGCUCUUCCUUCUACUUGAUUUGAUAAAUCUUCAUGAGCUAAGAUCAAAUAUCUCAUUUUCUAUAACCCGAUUGGCAUAACAACCAAAUCAACAAUCCAUUUAAAAUGAAUAGCUAGAGGAUAUGUAAGAUGAAGACCAUCUUGAUGUUGUAUAUUAGAAUAUGCUUGACAAAUUUUACAUGACUCUACAAAUAAGAGCACAUCUAGAUACAUAUUUUUCCACCAAUAUCGUUCCUUAAGUUUAGCAAAAGUAGUCCAAAUUCCUCUAUGUCCUACCUAUAAACUAUCAUAAAAUCCCUUUAAUAAUUUUUGUUUCUCUUCUUUAUUGCCUAUCACUCUUUGUGGCAUUCUAAUUCCUUUCUUUGGUCUCUUCCAUAAGAAUCCUUCUUGAAGCAAAAAUCCAUAUGCUUUUUUUCUAAUUUGUUUAAAUUUUUUUGUAGACCAAUUUUCUUACUUAGUCAAGGUAUUCAAAUAAUGACCAAUAUCUAAUAAUUUUUCUUCAUAAAAUUCUUCAAGAAAUAGCUUAUCUUCUUUGUUAAGAUUUGAUACUGAAUAGAAUUUUGAUCCAACAUCGUCAAUGUCUUCAAUCAUUUCGUCUUUUCUUCAUAUCUUGCUCGAGAUAACAUGUCUGCUACUAAAUUGUCCUUUCAAGAAACAUGCUUAAAUUCUGGAUUUAAUGACUUAAUAUAAACAAUCCAUCUUAACAUUGUAAUAUUCGACGUUGAACGAUUAAUGAUCAUUCCAAGUAAUAGCAAGCAAUCUGUUUCUAUUACUACUGCUGUACCAAUCAAAUAAUCUCAUUCAGCUUUUAUAGUCAAAACAACUCCCCAAAGUUCUCUUUUAAUUUGCAAAUAUGUACAUUGACGAGUACUUAAAACUUGAGCUCCAAAUCGAACUACAAAUCUAUUUCCACUUGAAUCAUCUCGAUCCACACCCCAUCCAAUAGCAAUAGGACUAGUAUCUAUACUAAGAAUUACUUGUCUAUUAUAGUCAUAAUCAAUUCUUCUUAAAAUUGGAGGUGUCACCAAUAACACCUUUAGCUUCUACAUUACUUUAGUAUAUUUUUUUUCCAUUUAAAUUGAUAACCCUUACAUAAUAAUUCAUACAAUAGAUCCGCUAUAUGAGCAUAAUGAGGAAUCCAUAUACAAGAAAAUACACAAGCUCCUAAAAACUUGAGUACUUCUGUUAAAGAGUCACAUGAAUCCUUCAUCCUUCCAAUUGCAUCAACUAUGCUUGGAUCUGGCUUUCUCCGAUAAAACCUACACAAAUGCCCAACAAUAAGAACUUCCUACACUGCAAAUGUAGAUUUUGCUCCUGAAAGUGUAAAAUGAACCUCUUCAAGUCGAGUUAAAAUCUUCUCACAAUCUUGUACAUGAUCAACAACAUAUUUGCGACACUCCUUCUCAUCUAAAGUUUCAUCUCUUUUUCUUUCUUUACAUCCUUUGAUAGGAACAUCAUCUAAAAAAGGCAUAGUUUUUUCAGAAAUAAAAUCUCUUAGUACCUUGUUCAUUCCAUUUAUCAUAUGUGCAACUGAGUUAGUAGGACCUUAUAGGAGAGUAUACAUUUUAAGCAAUCCAAGUAGCAUUUUUAUUAUUAUUAGAUCUCUACUCCUAUGCACAAGUUGAAAUUGAUCAUAACCCAAAUACAAAUCACCUAUUGAAUAAAUUGCCCUUUCCACAAAUGCUUCUGUAAACUCGUCUACUAAAGGUCCUAUACUUGCAUUUCUUAUAGUUACUGCAUUGAUUGGCUCCAUAUCUUGAAUAAAAUAUAACGAUCCAUUUUUCUUAGGCACCAUAAACCAACGACUAGAAUAUGGAGCAAAAAAAGGCUCCAAAAUUUUCAUUCGUAUCUUUUCUUUCAAUAAUUCUAUCAAUUUAGGUAAAUGUGUCCUUGAUAGGAAAAUUUGCCUUAAGUUCCAAGGCACAUGAGAUAUUGUAAAGAUAACCAUAGGAGCAACAACAUUAGGAUCUAUACAUCCUAUUUCACAAGACCCAAAGGCAAAUGAUUUACCUCGUUUUGCAAGCAUUCUUUUAAAAUAUUCAAUUUCUGUUGAAAAUAAAGAACCAUCACAUCCAAUCUUCAAUUCUUCAAAAGUCUCCUUUGUAAAUUGAUAUUCAAUCUUCUUUGGAUCUCUUAAAUUCUCUUCUUUUGAUGCUUCUUCCAUUUGUUCCUUAGAAUCUUCUGGUAAAUGUCUGGCAACAGGUUUUACUUUUUUAUCUAAUGUUUCAUAUUUUGUCUUUAGAAUAACUUCUGUUGCUUGAAAAGAUUCAAGUAUAGAAUAAACCUCCCUCGAAUGAAUUUCCACAAUCUUAUCAUUAUCUUCUAAUCCAAUAGAAGUAAUUAAUUAUAAAAAAUCCUCCAAUCUAUUUUCUUCAUAAACACCUAAAAUCUUCUCAUUAUCUUUUAAUGUCCCUAACUUGCGUAAUUUCCUUUUAAUACUAUAAAAUAUUUUUCUUUCUUUUCUUUUAAAAUCAUCAACUUUCUUAUACAUAAUAUUUCUAUUCUCAAAAAUAUUAAUAAAACUCGCAUCAAAGGUACCUUCAUCUCGCGAGAGUACCUCCUCUUUUGUACCUCUAUAAUCUCGCUUUAUAGUAGUACUUCUCCAAAAUCCUUAAAUCCUUCGACAAUCCUUGACAAUGGUUUCUCCCUAUCUCGAUUCCAUUCAUAAUUAGAAGUAUUGUUCAAAAUUAUACAGCUUUCCUUCCAUCUUCACUACGUACCUGUCACGGACAUAAUCAUGUAAGCUAGUAAUUACAUAUACAAAUAGGUAGAAGUAAGUAAAAGUACGUAAAAGUAAGUUAAUUCUAUAGUAUUUAAUAUGGAAGCUUCCUAGAAGCUUAAUAGAUGCUACUUUGACUUCAUAGGUAUCUUUAAUUGACUUUUUGGAUUAAAAACGUGGUCAACAAGUUGGCCAUGUGCCACAUAUGUUGUUAGCUUGAAGAUUAAGCUAACUAUGUGGCCCACACGUAGAAGAACUUGCCUUGUAAGUCAAGGCAUGUGUCCUACAAAGUCAACACAUAUUGGAGGUCCUAUAGAACGUCGCGACGUAGCCCCUAGUUAGAUAGUAUAUAUAGAGACAAGAGUGAAGGCUUCUUCACUCUUGUCAACUCUUUUUUUGCUUUUAGUCUAGUUUCAAGAGUCUCUAGUUUUCUUGUCUUUUGGCAAUAGCCAUUCCAGUUUCUCUUUCAAUAUAUAUCCUUGUUUAUAUAUAUUUUGUUACCUCUCUUUGAGUGAAGGCUCACUUGUCUGAAUUGUUUUUUCAUCGAGUUCUUGUCCUUGACAGAUUGACAAGAGUACACCUACAAUAUCAGAGCUUUGUCUAAUCUUGAUUAAGAGUGGAUUAUCCCUUUUUCUUGAUAAGAUAUAAGUAUAUUAGAAGUUGUGGAUUACCUUCUUCUAAACUGAUAUUGUCCUUAGUAUUUUCUUUCUUCCCAAGUCGUCUCUUCUAUUUGUCUUCAGCGAUAUUAGACAUCUUCUUUCUUCUAAGAGUUUUCAUAGCAAAACUUAUUAAAAUGAAGAGUACAAUGGCACAAAUGUAAGAGCAAUUGAGGAGUUAAUGCUUGCGAUGCAUCAAUUCAAUUUACCACCAUAAGAAGCAACAAGAUUGGCAGGAAGUGAAGAUAUAGAAAUGGUUGGAGCUGCUUCAACAUCUGCACCAAACCAUAUCCUUUCUCCUAUGGUGGAACGCCCUUCAAAUAUUAGAGAACCAAGAAUUAUCCUACCCGAGAAGUUUGAUGGCACUAGAUCCAAGUUUUGAGGAUUUAUCAAUCAAGUGCAACUUAUGAUUGAACUUCAAUUCCAAAGCUAUCCAACUCCAGGAUCGCAAGUUAGAUUCAUUGAUACGCUUCUUUCAGGUUCAGCACUAUUGUGAUUUUCAUCUUUUUUGAAUGACGAGAUCUAAUAUUGGAUAAUCUAGAGGCUUUUUUGGUGGAGUUUUGAUCCAUGUAUAGAGAACAUGAUGCAAUUUUUGUUGCAACCAAUAAGAUCUCUAUUUUACAAUAAAGCAAUCAAUCAAAAACGUUAUAUGCUUCACAAUUUCAACAACUUGCAACUGAUAUCAAGUGGGAUGAUGUUGCACUUAUUAGUCAAUUUCUCUACGGAUUACAAUAUGAGGUAAAAAAAUUAAUGCUCAACUUACUUGAUCCUCAAAUAUUGAGUCAAGAAAUUGACUUUGCUGUGAAGUGCGACAAUCACCUUUUUGAAUUUCGAUCUGAGAACCGUACAAGUGGACCUCAAUGUUACUAUAAUUCAAUGGCAACACCAACACCUCUUCAACACAUACAUUCGGAGGUAGAGGAUAUGCAAAUUGAUGCAGUACGUUUCAAACUUCUUACUGCACAAAAAAAGACUCGUCGUCGUCAAGAAGGAUUAUGUUUAUAUUGUGGAGAACCAAAGCACACUGCUCAACAUUGUCCAAAGAAACGACGCAAUCACAAAAUGAGGAGUAUGGCUGUGAAAGAAGACAAUAUGUCGGAAAACGAGUUUGUCCAGUUAUAAUAGGGACUGUGUGGCUGGAACCUUGCACAACAUCUAGUAAAGGUCUAAUUCUCUCCUCAGAGCCCUCUCCUUGUUUUACAUUAAAUGUUAUUUUAGGACCUAAACAUUACAAAUUCUCUGCCUUGUUAGAUUCAGGAGCCUCAGCGUAUUUUUAAGAUGAAGAAUUUAUUAAAAGACAUAGCAUAUCUUUAGUAAAGAAAACUAAACCUGUUCAUGUAGAAGUCAUAGAUGGUCGUCCAUUGUCUUCUGGAGAUAUUACUCACGAAACCCUUCCUAUAGAAGUAAUAAUUAAUGGUCAUAAUACUUUUGUAGUAUUUAAUAUCAUUAGAUCUCCCUCUAAUCCAGUCAUUUUAGAUUUAUUGUGGUUAGAAAAAUACAACCCUCAAAUAGAUUGGAUUUCUCAAACUCUUACUUUCUCUAAAAGUAUAACUAACAGUGUAGUUAAUCGAGAAGAGAGUCAUAAGUCCAGUUCAAUUAAACCCGUAUUUAUAGGUGCAAAAGCUUUCUUGCAUGCUGCUAUGAAAGAAUCACCAUAUAUUAUUUAUGCCACACCUAUUUCUACUGGUGAAAAGACUUCAAGUGGCAUUCCAAGCCAAUAUCAAGAAUUUCAAGAUAUAUUUGAAAAAAAGAAUGCGUAUACACUCUCGGAACAUCGUCCCUAUGAUUGCACAAUUGACCUUCAAGAAGGAGUAAAACUGCCAUUUGGACCAAUCUACAGUUUAUCACAAAAUGAGUUGGCUAAACUCUAGGAGUAUAUUGAAGAAAAUCUACCCAAGAAUUUCAUACGCCAUUCUAAAUCUCCGACAGGAGCUCCAAUUCUAUUUGUGAAGAAAAAAGAUGGAUCAUUGUAGAUGUGUGUUGAUUAUCGAAGACUCAAUAAGAUUACCAUCAAGAACAGGUAUCCACUACUUUUAAUAUUUGGACUUCUUCAUUAUCUGAAUCAAGCUAAGAUCUAUACAAAAAUAGAUCUUCGGAGAGCAUACAAUCUAGUACGUAUCAAAGAAGGAGAUGAAUGGAAGACUGCAUUUUGAACUAGGUAGGGACAUUUUGAAUACAUUGUCAUGCGUUUUGGACUUACAAAUGCACCAGCAGCUUUUCAACAUCUAAUGAAUGAUGUUUUUCAAGAGUUUUUGGACGAUUUUAUGGUCUGUUAUUUAGACGACAUCUUGAUCUAUUCUAAGAAUCCAGAAGAAUAUGAACUUCAAAUUUGUCAUGUAUUACAAAAAUUCAGAGAUGCAGGACUCUAUGCCAAGAUAGAAAAGUGUGUAUUCCACACUACUCAAGUCGAUUUCUUAGGUUACAUCAUUUCAAAUGAUGGACUUAUGAUGGAUCCUAAGAAAGUUCAAACUAUUAUAGAUUGGAAGAUUCCAAAAACGGUAAGAGAUGUCCAAUAUUUUUUUGGGAUUUGCCAACUACUAUCGGAUUUUCAUCACAGACUUCUCUCGAGUUGCAGCUCCACUUACACAUUGUCGUAUUGUAACACGAGUAUACCGUGAAAAUAUAAAGAAAGGGGACUUUUAUUAAUAUUCAGUUACCUCGAAUAUUGGGAGCAACGACCAAUUCCAGUGCAAAUACUGAGUGGUCAGGUUCAGUCACCCCGUUACAGUCAGCCGAGGCAUACUGAAAUGCUCCGUUCGAUUCCAAUAACAGGAGUAAGCAGGAAGAGAAAGGACCAUUCACACGACGGGUGAGCCUAGUUCGAAGAACCAAUUGGAUCCAAUUUCAAGAAUCCAAUCCAGGUCCUCUUACCUAAUAUGAGACCUGAAUUGGCCGAGCAACCCAAUGUAGUCUAAUUACGAGAAAAUCCAGGUCUUACUACGGGCCUCAGCCAAUCUGACGUGAAGGACCAAUUUGAUCCAAUUACGGAAACAUCUAGGUCUUACUACAGGCCUCUUAGCUAAUCUGACGCGAGGACCAAUUUGACCCAAUUACGCUAACAUCCAAGUUACUACAGGCAUCUUACUCAAUAUGAGACCUGAAUUGGUCGGGCGACUCAAUGUAGACCCGAGUACGGGAUUUUGAUUCUGUUCCAGGCUAUCUUAUUCUCUGUGCCGUUUCAGAGAACAUUGUUUUUGGUAAAUGGAUCUCUUAAAGAUAAAAACGGAGGAGAAAGCUUUGACGACGAGAGCCAAUUUCAGAUCUAAGCCUUAAUGGCGAGAGCCAAUUUCGGUUCCAAGCUCUGACGGUGGGAGCCAAUUCCGAAUCCAAGACGGAAGAUUGAAGAAAUUCAGAGGAUAAGAUUAGGGGGGAGAAUGAGUUUUGGGGGUUUUUUUUUGAAGGAUCGAGAGAGUUAGCUUCAUGCUUCGGGUGGGAAAAGAAGACAGAGAAUUAGGGUUUUUUUUCUUCAUAGGAUUUUGGGAAGACUGAGGCAAUCGUUGCUGAAGUCAGUGUUGUAAUGGUGAAUCGAGAUUUUUAAUAAAGUGGAUUUGAUUACUCUUGACUGUUUUGUGAAAUCGAGUUACGUUUGUGAUGAAGAAUUAAAAGGAUGUCUAUAGGAUUGAGUAUGUGGAGUGAAUGAAAUUUAUUGGGUUAAUCUAACAAGAUAGUCAGUGGAUACAAGAUCGUAAGUACAAAGCGGUAUUGAAGAUUAGUAGUUUGGGUUAUUCAGGAUUCUCUAUAACGUCUAGAGACCUACCGGCUGGGGCAAAAAGGACUUCGGCAAGCAGUCGAAGGGCAUCCGUAUAGAUUUACCGUGUAUUCUUGUAGUCGUUUAUAUUCUAACAGUGAAAAACUGAUAGACUGCUUGACUAUUGGCGAAUCUCCAUACUACCUUCUAUAGCCAGACAUCCGGCGCAUUCUCGAGCAGGAAAGCAUGUAAUACGACAAAAGUGGUGAACCCGACGUGAAGGCUUGAGGUAGAAGGUAUUGGAUUUUGGUUGAUUUUAUCUUUAUUUUAUGAAAAACGAAAAUAAAAAAUUUUGAAGGAUUUUUGGGAGAAGUUUUUGGUGGGGAUUCUUCUAAAGGACAAGGUAUGCACAUGGAUCUGUCUAUUGUUAGUAUGUUUCAAGCUUUCUCAUUAUCAAUGUAGCAACAGCAAAGCAAUGAUCAAAAGAAAGCUUUGGCAACCAAAGCAUUGCAAGCAGUGGUCAAUAAAAUUGAUCAAUUUGAUGGAAGGAAUAUUUCAAGGUAUUUAAGAUGUUAUGUUCGUGAAAUGGAAUUACAUUGGAUUUCUGGGAAGAAAAUGGUUGAAUUAUUUGGACUUUCUACGAUACAGGAGAUAAGAGACCGCACUACAUCGAUUACGGAUCGUUAUGGGAAUUCAUGGGAGGUUUUUUCACAUGCUUUGAAAGAUGAAUAUUUCUUAGAAGAUGCUGAUUGCUUUACUAAGAAGCUGUUUUUGGAAUGGAUUGAACGGCCCAAUAAGAAUUUACAAGCAACAGAGCUACUAAGGAAAUUUGAGAGGCAGUACUCUCAAUUAUCGAAGGUAGAAAAAUUGACAUUGGAGCCGAACAAAGUUGAUCUAUUUCUUCAAACUACUGAUGGAGAAUUGUAAGGGAAAUUAGAACUCCUUCUUGAAGACAAAGAAGAAGAUGAAGGAUUGAUAACAAAGUGGAAGAACAUUGAAGAUGCGGUGGGGUUGCUUACAAAAAGAGAAAGGAGGAAGGAUAGGAGCAAUAUUCCGAAAACAGUAUAAGCACCUAAAGCUCCAGUAUGUACAACACCACCAACAAUGCCUACAAAUCAACCUUCGACAUCCUUAUCAAAAAAAGCAGAUAUGGUGAUGGAAGAAAUUAUACGAGGAAUGCGAGAUUUUCAAAUCAAAUUGGCAAGACUUGAAGAGAAUACUUCUAUAAAUAAUUCAAAGAAUGUUUCAAAACAAGGAUAUGUACAAAGAUGCAUUUGGUGUGAUGACGCUUCACACACUAGAAAAUAUUACAAUGAAUUUAAUAAUAUGAUAUGGCAGGAAAUUAUUUGCUGGAAAGAUGGGAAGAUAGCAUUGAAAGAUAGGAAGGAUCUUCUUCAAACCAAUUUUGGUAAGGGAGAAAUGAGAGCAUUGGUUCAAGAUUACCUAAAAGAGCAUGAAAUAGCAACACGAGAAAGUGCAAGUUAUGGUGCUAGAGUAGAUGAUGAAAUUGGUGGAAGUACGGAAACUAGUAAGUUUUGGGCUUCUGCCAUUUCUACAAUGCAAGAAGGAAAAUUACCUCAAGAAGCAUUAUUGAGAACUGCAGCUACAAUACGAGGUAGAACAGGUUGGAAGGAUCCUUUUGAGUCUCUUUCAAUUCAUGCAUAUAUUGCUAAGAGUCAACAUGAAGCUUUGAUGGAAGAAAAGAGACGAGGAAAUUUUGAUGAUACUAGAGAAGAAAAUUCUACUAAGAGGCAAACUCGAGGAGACAAGGCUCGGGAGGCACCUUCACAAGAAUUGCCUGUAAAGGAUACCUUAGCAUUAUUGGAAGAAAAAACAAAGGAGACAAAAGAUAAGGGCAAACCAAUUGCUUAUAAGCUACUUUUUGACAUUAAAGCGGCAACAAAUUUGAAAGGGGUGUGAGAAGAACGUAUAUUAAAUGCUAAGGUGGAAUUUACAUUGAAAGAAGUCUUAGAAAUUGUAAAGAAGGAGUUUCAUGAUGUUAUCAUUGACAGCAUUAAGCGAAAGAGGUAAUUAAUGGGCGAAAUUGGAAUGAGUCAUGCUAUUGAUGCAAGAAUAUAUAGAGAUGAAGAAGAGGUUGAUAUUAGUUACAAGCAACCAACAAAUGAAAAGAAUGGGUAUAAUCAACGAAUACGUUUCGAAGAUUAUAGUGACAAGAAAAUGGAAACUUUGAGCCAUUAUACUCGAAAGCAUUGGGCAAGAGCAACUAUUGAGGUAUUGGUGAAAGUAAGAGAUAUAGAAGAACCAAUAGUUGCUUUAGUCGACCAUGGUUCUGAAAUAAAUCUCUUGUCUAAAGAUCUUUAUAAGAAGCAAAAAUGGCCAAUUGACAUGGAACAUGGAUAGGCAAUACGAGCAGCUAAUAACACACGGGGCGAAUUAUAUGGAACUUGUCCAAAUGUCAAAAUUCGGAUUGGGGAUGUUGCGACGGAGCAACAUUUCUUUGUUCAAGAUACAACGUCUUAUCCAUUGAUUUUAGGACAACCUUAUAUUAUGGCAACACAGAUGGAAACAAAAGUACUUGAGGAUGGUUCUGCAUAUGCAAGGAUACAGAGCGAAGAUGAAAGGAAAGCUAUACAUUUUCUAACAAUACCUCCUAACCAUAAACGGAAUCAAGAUAGGUUGAGGGAGAAACCAUUGCCAAAGAUUGUUGAAGGAUUUAAGGAUUUUGGGGAGGUACCAUUGUAAAGCAAGAUUAUGGAGGUACAAAAGAGGAGGUAUUCUCGCGAGAUGAAGGUACCUUUGAUGCGAGUUUUAUUAAUAUAUUGGAGAAUGAAAAUAUUAUAUAUAAGAAAGUUGAUGAUUUUAAAAGAAAAGAAAGAAAAAGAUUAUAUAAUAUUGAAGGAGAAUUACGCAAGUUAGGUACAUUGCAAGAUGAUAAGAGGAUUUUAGGUGUUUAUGAAGAAAAUGGACUGGAAGAUUUAUUGGAAUUGAUUACAUCUAUUGGAUUAGGGGAUAAUGAUAAGAUUGUUGAAAUUCAUUCAAGAGAGGUUUAUACCAUACUUGAAUCUUUUCAAGCACCAGAAGUCAUUGUAGAGACGAGAUAUAAAACGGCGGAUAAAAAGGUAAAGCCUGUUGCCAGACCAUUACCAGAAGAUUCUAAGGAACAAAUGGGAGAAGAAUCAAAAGAAGCAAAUUUAAGAGAUCCAAUGAGUAUUGGACAUCAGUUUACUAAAGAGACUUUUGAAGAAUUGAAGAUUGGUUCUAAUGUUUCUUUAUUGUUGGAGGAAAUUACUUGCUUCAAAAAAAUGUUGGCCAAACAAGAUAGAUUGUUUGCUUUCGCAUCUCAUGAAAUUGGGUGUGUAGAUUCAAAUAUUAUAACACCUAUGAUUAUUUUCACUGUACCACAUGUACCUUGGAAUCUAAGACCGAUUCCAAUACCGAGGAUACAUUUACCUAAAUUGGUUGAGCUAUUAAAAGAAAAGAUAAAGAUGAAAAUAUUGGAACCCUCGUUUGCGCCGUAUUCCAGUCGAUGGUUUAUGGUACCUAAGAAGAAUGGGUCACUACGAUUAAUUCAAGAUAUGCAACCGAUGAAUGCAGUAACUAUCAAGAAUGCAGGAAUUGCACCUAUUAUAGAUGAAUUUGCUAAAGCAUUUGCUAGAAGGGCGAUCUAUUCAAUGGAUGACUUGUAUUCAGGUUAUGAUCAAUUUCAACUUGCCGAAGAAAGUAGAGAUAUGACAACAAUGAGGACACCACUUGGAUUGGUUAGAAUGUGCACUCUUCCUCAAGGCGCGACCAACUCAGUUGCGCAUAUGAUGAAUGGGAUGAAUAAGGUAUUGAGAGAUUUUAUUCCAAAAAAGACUAUGCCUUUUCUGGAUGAUGUUCCUAUAAAAAGGUGCAGAGAAGGAGACAAGGAUGAAACUUUAGAUAAGAGGAGGUGUCGCAAAUAUGUUGUUGAUCAUAUACAAGAUUGUGAAAAGAUUUUAACUCAGCUUGGAGAAGUUCAUCUUACAUUAUUGGGUAUGAAGUCCGUAUUUGGAAUACGAGAGGUUGUGAUUGUUGGACAUUUAUGUGGAUCUUACGGAAGAAAACCAGAUCCGACUAAAGUUGAUGCAAUUGGAAGGAUGAAAGAGGAUUGUGAUUCUUUAACAGAGGUUUGCAGGUUUUUAGGUGCAUGUGUAUUUUAUCGAAUCUGGAUCCCUCAUUUUGCUCACAUAGCGGAUCCAUUAUAUGAACUGUUACGCAAGGGUUACCGAUUUAAAUUGGAAGAAAGGCAUAUUCAGGCAAUACAAAGAUUGAAGAAAUUAUUGAUGUCACCUCUAAUAUUGAGGAAGGUUGAUUAUAAGUGCAAUAGACUAGUAAUUCUUACUGUGGAUGCUAGUCCAAUUGCCAUUGGAUGGGCUGUGGGUCAAGAUGAUUGAAGUAAAAAUAGAUUUACAAUUCGAUUUGGAGCUAAAGUUUUAAGUAUUCGUCAGCGUGCAUAUUCGCAAGUCAAAAGAGAACUUUGGGGAGUUGUUUUGGCUAUGAAAGCUGAAAAGAACUAUUUGAUUGGGACAGUAGUAGUAAUUGAAACAAAUUGCUUGCCAUUGCUUGGAAUGAUUACUAACUGUUCAACGCUAGAUAUUCCAAUGUUGAGAUGGAUUGCUUAUAUUAAGUCACUAAAUCCAGAAUUUAAGCAUGUUACUAGGAAGGACAAUUUAGUAGCAGACAUGCUAUCUCGAGCAAGACACGAGAGGGAGGACGAAAUGGUUGAAGACAUUGAUGACGUCGGAUUGAAAUUCUGUUCAAUAUCAAAUCUCAAUAGAAAAGACAAGCUAUUUCUUGAAGAAUCUUAUGAAGGAGAAUUAUUGGAUAUUGAUCAUUACUUGAAUACCUUGACUAAGCAGGGGAAUUGGUCUACAGAAAAAUUCAAACAAAUAAGAAAAAAAGCAUAUGGAUUUUUGCUUUGAGAUGGAUUCUUAUGGAAGAGACCGAAGAAAGGAAUUGGGAUGCCACAACGAGUGAUAGGCAAAAAGGAAGAAAAACUAUAAUUAUUAAAGGAGUUUCAUGAUAGUUUAUGGGCAAGGCAUAGAGGAAUCUGGGCUACUUUUGCUAAACUCAAGGAACGAUAUUGGUGGAAAAAUAUAUAUCGAGAUGUGCUCUCAUUUGUAGAGUCAUGUGAAAUCUGUCAAUCGUAUUCUAAUAUCCGACAUCGAGAUGGUCUUCAUCCUACGUAUCCUUUGGCUAUUCAUUUUAAAUAGGUUGUUGAUUUGGUUAUUAUACCAGUUGGAUUAUGGCUGAUGAGAUAUUUGGUUUUAGCUUGUGAAUAUUUAUCAAAUCAAGUAGAAGGAAGAGCAUUGUGGACAAAAUCUACAGAGGAGAUUUGUAGGUUUUUGCUUGAAGAUGUCAUUUGCCGCUACGGAUGCAUAGGAAAAAUCACUGCAGAUCGUGGAGAAUUACAUGGACAAGAAGCUCGUAAGUUCUUUGAAAGAUGUGGAGUUAAACUAUCACUGACUACUGCUUUUAAUCCAGAAGGGAAUGUAAAAAGUGAACGUGGUCACCCACCGAUUGUGAAAGCAUUAGUUAAAGCUUGUAAUGGGAAAGUUAUAGAGUGGCCACGGCUUUUAUCAUUUGCAUUAUGGGCUGAUCGAACAACACAUAGUUCAGUGACAGGAUAUAUGCCAUUAGAACUUAUGAUAGGUCGAAAAACAAUUAUGCCAAUUAAAGAAAAGGUACUUACUUGGAGUAUGCUACUAUGGGAAGAUCGAAUGACAAGAGAAGAACUUCUGGCUAUUAGGAUUUGACAAUUAGAGCAAAGAUCGAAAGAUGUGCAGAUAGCAUUAGAAAGAUUAAAAAAAACAAGGUUAUAAAACAAGGUGCAAUUCGAUAAGCAACAUCGAUUGAAACCUAAAGCAAUCGAGAAAGGUGACUGGGUACUUGUUUAUGACAAUAGUCUGGAUAAUCAACAUAGUACUUUGCGGAAAUUUUCAAAACGUUGGUUUGGACCUUAUGUUGUAACAACUGUUCAUGAUAAUGCGACUUAUUCAUUACGGGAGUUAGAUGGUACAAAAUUGAAAAUACCAAUUGCAGGGAAGCGAGUAAAAAUAUUUAAACGAAGACACGCAUAGAUGAAUAUGGAAGAUCUUAAUGAAGGUAUAGAGAUUCCGCAGCAAGAAGAUGAAAGUGAUUUGGAUAAUGAAGGUGACGAAGAUGAACUGGACAAAGAUGUAGAGGAUAUAUUCUGAAUCAAGCAGCAAUUGGGUAAAUUGGUGCAUACUGGAAGAUGCACAGGUUCAGAGGGGGUGGAUGUCGUCUUGUAACACGAGUAUACUGUGAAAAUAUAAAGAAAGGGGACUUUUAUUAAUAUUCAGUUAUCUCAAAUAUUGGGAGCAACGACCAACUCCAAUGCAAAUACUGAGUUGCCAGGUUCAGUCACCCCAUUACAGUCAGCCGGGACAUACUGAAAUGCUCCAUUCGAUUCCAAUAACGGGAGUAAGUAGGAAGAGAAAGGACCAAUUCACACGACGGGUGAGCCUGGUUCGAAGAGCCAAUUGGAUCCAAUUUCAAGAAUCCAAUCCGGGUCCUCUUACCUUAUAUGAGACCUGAAUUGGCCGAGCAACCCAAUGCAGUCUAAUUACAAGAAAAUCCAGGUCUUAGUACGGGCCUCAGCUAAUCUGACGCGAAGGACCAAUUUGAUCAAAUUACGGGAACAUCUAGGUUUUACUACAGGCCUCUUAGCCAAUGUGACACGAGGACCAAUUCGACCCAAUUACGCGAACAUCCAAGUUAUUACGGGCAUCUUACUCAAUAUGAGACCUGAAUUGGUCGGGCGACUCAAUGUGGACCCGAGUACGGGGUUUCGAUUCUGUUUCAAGCUGUCCUAUUCUCUAUGCCGUUUUAGGGAACGUUAUUUUCGGUAAAUGGAUCUCUUAAAAGUAAAAAUGGAGGAGAAAGCUUUAACGGCGAGAGCCAAUUUUGGAUCCAAGCUCUGACGGUGAGAGCCAAUUUUGGAUCUAAGACGGAAGAUUGAAGAAAGUCAAAGGAUAAGGUUAAGGGGGAGAAUGAGUUUUGGGGGUUUUUUUUGAAGGAUCGAGAGAGCUAGCUUCAUGCUUCGGGCGGGAAAAGAAGACAGAGAAUUAGGGUUUUUUUUCUUCAUAGGGUUUUGAGAAGACUGAGGCAAUCGUUGCUGAAGUCAGUGUUGUAAUGGUGAAUCGGGAUUUUUAAUGAAGUGGAUUUGAUUACUCUUGACUGUUUUAUGAAAUCGAGUUAUAUUUGUGAUGAAGAAUUAAAAGGGUGUCUAUAGGAUUGAGUAUGCAGAGUGAAUGAAAUUUAUUGGAUAAAUCUAACGAGACAGUCAGUAGAUACAAGAUCGUGAGUAUAAAGCGGUGUCGAAGAU